This 119444-nucleotide long non-coding RNA is filed under the name Gossypium barbadense (sea-island cotton). RNAcentral's name for it is "long non-coding RNA (GBAR_LNC018070)". The stretch from base 41674 to 41780 matches the Rfam family "Plant small nucleolar RNA R71". Lineage: Eukaryota; Viridiplantae; Streptophyta; Magnoliopsida; Malvales; Malvaceae. The record is from RNAcentral.
ACUGCUCUCCUCUGUUUUUCUGUUCUUUCUUUUUGGCUGAGGGCGAUGGUUAGCAAGGAGUAGGGAAGGUAGGUUUUUAUGGUCUCUGUAAAAUAUAUCAUAUGUUAAAAUCAUAGGUGACAUAUCUUUUUUCUGGUUAAGGAGUUAAUGCCUUUACUUGUUCUAUGAAGUUUCAGUUUUAAUUAAUUUCAUUUUUAAGUUUCUGUAUCCUGAAAAAACUUGUUUCGUUUCCCAGGCAAAUUUAGUAGAACUAUUUGUUUGCAAAUUUCUUUGGUCUUUUGAUGAAUAAACUCUGCUGCAAUUUUAUGGAUAUCAUUUUAUAUAUUCCAAUUUUCUUACUGUCGUGCAUAUUUUUCUAUUAGGGAUGCUACAAAAUCCUCAGUACCGUCAACAACUGCAAGACAUGCUGUUAGCUUCCUACUGACCUUCUGCAUUUGAUUACUUUUAGGGGUUUUCCUUUCUCUUGAUUUACACUUGUCACAAGCACUGUCCCCAAAGAGAAUUUAUUGUUGCUUGCUUCUUGUCUAGUUCUAUUACAGUUGUCUUGCUCACUAUUGUAUCUGGACUUUUUAAUGUAUGAUUCCUGUUCUUCUUUUCUUCUUACAGAUUGUUUGAAUGGAGAGUUGGAAUAUGAUGAAAUUAGAAAUGAAUACUCUAAUAUAUUGAGGAAAAAUUCACUCGGAACUAUUAUUUCUCAAAAAUAUUUAUAGAUAUAUACAUGAAGCACUGAAUCAUGUAAGGAAAGAACAUCUCUAAUUAGAAUCUCUAAAAAUCAGCUAUAAUCCCUAAGCACCCCCCCUAAGGUUGGUGGUGCAUAGAUGUCUCGCAUGCCCACAUUGCAAAGAAGAUUAUGAUAAGUCUUACAGUUGAGCUCUUUAGUAAAAACAUCAGCCAACUGUCUUUAGGAUGCUAGAUAACAUAGCUUAAGACACUACUGGCUACUUUUUCCUUGAUAAAAUGACUAUCUAUUUCGAUGUGCUUGGUCCUAUCAUGUUGCAUUGGAUUUUGAGCUAUGUUGAUGGUUGCUUUGUUAUCACAGUAUAAGGUUGAUCCAUUUUCAUUCAACAACUUUAGCUAUUCCAAUACCUUUUGCAGCCAUAAAAGCUCACAAACACUUUGAUUCAUGGCCCUAUAUUCAGCCUCUGCACUUGAUCGAGUAAUAACACUUUGUUUCUUACUCCUCCAAGUGACUAAGGGCACAUUUGGUUCACUGUAUUGGAUUAGAGGUGUAAUGGAAUAGAGGUGUAAUAGAAUAGAGGUGUAAUAGCAAAUCAACUGUUUGGUUGAAUGUAAUGGAAUAGAGGCGUAAUAGUAAUCUUGUGUUUGGUUGAAUGGAAUAGAGGUGUAAUAGCAUAAUGGAAAAAACUAAAAUGACUAGAAUACCCUUAGCAUAAAUUUAUUUUGGUAAAUGAUUAUUGUUAUUGUUAUUUAAAGUUUAAUAAGAUUAUUAUUAUCAAUAAUAAAUAAUUUAAUCAUAUUUAAACAUAAUUAUUAUUAAAUAUAUUAAAUAUAUUAUAAUUAAAAUAUAUAAUUUAAUAAAAUUCUUAAUAAUCAAUAUUCUUAUAUGAAUUUAUAUACUCAUUUCCUUUUAUAUAUUAAUAUACCACAUUAACCGGUUUAUAUUUAUAUCAAUGGCACAAAAAAUUUGGGAGAAGAUUUUUGAGGACUGCUUUUGUUUGCAAAUAACAUCAUUCAUUCUGUAGGGAAAAAAUUAUGCAUGAGCCUGCUUAUUGAUUACUUUUUUUAUUUUGUACUGAAGUAGUUGCCACUGGUUCAAAAGUCGAUAUAUAUGUAAUAUUAUUAAAAUAAUAUUUUUAUUUUAAUUAUUUAAAAAUAUUUUUAAUUAAUGCAGUGUAUAUGAAUAUACACAUUUAAUUAGUUUUAUUUUUAAUAAAAUUUUUCUAAUUUAUUCAUUCAAUUUUAAUCACCUUACAAUUUAUUGUAUUAUAUCUACUGAUCCAAUUUUAAUAUAUUGAAUAUUUGUUUUUUAAUCAAGUUCUUUACUUGAUUAUAUCUAAUGUUCCAAUUUUAAAAAAUUCGAUUAAAAUUUUCGAACUACAUCAACUUAAGAAAUUCGAUCCCAAAUUCAAAUUAAAUAUACCAAUAAAAAUCAACUUACUACAUCACCACUUGCAAAAUAUAACUCUCCAAACAUUACUAUGGAGUAAACAAAAAAAAAAACUGAACAUAUAUAUGUCUUACAAUUUUUCUUUAGUUUAGAAGGUUUGAUAAGUUACCAAACCUCUUGAAUUGCAACUACAGCUUCAGCUUGCCAACGAUUUAUGUCUGGAGCAAAUCGGUAGCUAACAGUCCAAUACCUACAAAAUUCCACAUAGAACAUCAAUUUACUGGAACAACAGUGGUCAGAAUAAUAAUAUAUGACUUAUGUAACUAUUACACAAGUAAUGGUACUAUGACUUGAGAACAAUUCAGGGACAACAUGAAACUGAAAAAAGAUCAUCAAUACAAACUACUACAGCAGCAAUAAAAUUAUUAUUGCAAUUCCACCCAAAGUAUAUGGACGACAUCCCAUUGCCUCAGCACUAACAUAGCACAUUAUUUUUCUUAAUUGAACAAUUGGGCAAUAAACUGAUUUAAACAACAAAGUUGAGUUAGUAAAGGAAGAUAUGGCAGCUAUUAAAAAAACAUAUCUUACAUCUAGAUCAUACUUUUUAAAACAAUCUUCACAUAGUGCCCUAUCAUAUGUCCUCUUUGUUUUAUUUAUUUUCCACAUUAGCAUGUUGCAUCAAAGCUGGACAUUGACAACAAAUAUGCCCCUCACUAUAAUCACUAAGGAGGAAAUAUUUAUAUUGGUAGACAGUGUCAUACUGGUUGGAAAACUACUGGUUUUUUGUUGAGUUAGGAGCUCUGUCAAUGGAAGAAACAAAUGUAUAAUGAUUUGGUACCGGAAGAGACAACCGAAGCAAUGAGCCCAAUGAAGUUAAACAUAAUUUCAAAUAACUUCAGAGGGUUCUAGCAAGCAGUGAAAGAUUUUAUAGGUUCUGGAAAACAAAUGCAAAUCGAAACUCAAUCAUUCGGUUAGUUGAUUGUGUGGUUCUGUUUUGGUUUUAGAAGUGUUCAAACCAUCGUGAGGCAAUCUUAAUGUAGAAGACAUGAAAUAUUAUAGUUUGUGCGGAAAUGUGCAUAAAAUAUUGUGUAUUGUUGUUGUAUUUGAUUGUGGAGCAUAUGCACAGUAAUCCCAGAAUUUGUAAUUGAUAACUCAAGGAAUAGAUAUGAUUCUGCAUUUACCUGUUACAAAAUGGUUAAGUUGAUGUUUAUCGAUGCUUAAUGUAGGCUAGCAAGCAGGUUGAGGACGCUCCCAAGAAGAUAAUCAGAGUUCAAAAGCGAUGUUGGAGAUCCAUACCACAUUUGUCGAAGCCAGGAGAAACAACUUCGAACUUGAUGAAACCAAACAGAAAAUCCCCACAGCCUGAAAUAGUGGAUGGUAACAACAUGCUAUUGUAUUCUCCCUAACUCAUUCCUUAAAUAUAAAUAGGUUUGUGCAAGCAGGGUAAACCGAAUAGCUUGCAUAGGCAACUCUAGUUUGCAAAUCCAAUGAAAAUAGUUGAUGAUAAGUGAGAUAUCAAACGAAAAGCUUUUGAUAUGAUAACAAAAAGAAGUAAUUCAGAUUGAGCUAAUGACCACAUGAUAGUCUUAAGAUGUGGAAGAUAGAUGGUAGGAAAUCAUUUUCACUCGCUCUCUUCUGAAUCAUCACCACUACUGUCUUGUGAAUCAAUUUUCAAAGCCUUCACAGCAUUGCUUGCUUUAAAAUGUUCAACAGCCUUGUCAAAAGUGCACCUCACAUGCCUACACAUCAACAUCAGAUUUUGACAUGCAUCUUUCAAUACCUCUCUUGCUGGAUCACCUGUAAAUUUUCACAUAGAACAACUAAAGGAACUUGAACCCAACCAAAGUACUUGAAAAAGAGUGUUAUAUUGAGUUUACCAGUGGUUUGAACUCUAAUAUUAACUUGAGCCUCUGAAGGAUGAGGAAUACUGUAGCCACAGAAUGUAACCCUUGGGCUGCACAACAUAAAAAGGAUAGCUUCCACUUUCAAUACAAUCACUUAAAACAAAGAAAACCCAGCAUGAAUCAAAGCCAAAAACAGAGGUGAAUGAACUGACUCUUGAUUCAAAGUGAAUCUAACAGCAUUAGCUAUGGUAUGAUCCUUAUCAGUUAAAGAAAAAGUGGCAGCACUAUUAUCAGUGAAAGACCCGUGUUCCAUUGUUUCCUUUAAUCCAAUUUCUAAAUCUCCAAACCAAGAAACAAAACUAUUAAAAGGAUGAAAUUGAAUCCAAUAAUCAUUGGGAAAACAUAUUUUUAAAUACAAAAUAAGGUUGUAUCUUCCUUACCGGUUCCAAUGGACAGGACACAGUUUCACCGAUGGAGAGGAACGGAAAACGUGAGAAAGUGGCUCCUUUCUGAUCGGUGUUCGAAGUCCAGUUGUGACGCCAAAGAGAGGUAAGACAGAAAGGUAGAAGCGUGAAUCGGUGGAGAUAGAAAGGUAAGACAGAAAGGUGAUGAGAGUGGAGAAGAAAGGUAGAAGGAAGAAACAGAAGACAGUGGAUUUUGGGCAAGACAAAAGCGUGAAUCAGGAGGGUAAAAUAGGGACCAAAACUCAAUCCGGACCUAAACUGAGCACAAGGAAGGGAUUAGAAAUCGGUGGAAUUUGGGGAUUAGAUCAGUAAUUUAAUAGACCCGUAUUAGGCUAAUACACCCAACCAAACAAUGUAUUGAGUGGGGCCCACAAUUAGGGGUGUAAUGGCUAUGCCAAUACACCCAACCAAACAUGGUGUUAGGAUAUACGGAACUGAUACAGAGGUGCAUUAUUAUGCACUAUUAAACAGAAAGCACUAAAGUAUUAUACAGAGAACAUAAAUGUGCUAAUAAUUAGAGAGCACUUAAUAUCCUAAUAGUUCUAAUCUCGUCUACUUGGGUAAGUUAUUUAAUUCUUGUACCACUAAUCUAUAUAUUUAUAUCUUCUCCACCUUUAAUACAUGUAUUAUAUUUCAAAAUUCAUUAUUCAUCCAUAAUUUUCUAGUAAUCCAUAUCAUGUACUUCAUAUAUCACGUUUACAUGUUUUGCAAUUUAGUCAUCAGCACAAUAUUUCUUGUAGCAAAAUAAUACACUUUCUAAAUAUGCAUGCAAAAUAGAAUAAUAACCGGUCAUAAACCGACCAGACCAACAGGGCUUUCGUCUAACAUUAUAAUUAGCUAACAUUCUCUCAACAUAAGAACUCUAUCAGAACUGAACAAUUACACAUACAUAUCUCUGAGAAUAAAAGAAUAUAUAUAAUAUCAAGAAAAGAUCAUCAUGUUCAUUUCGACUGUAACCUUCACACACAGACAUCUUUACCACUUAAUUAUCAUUUCUCUGACUAAUUCUGUUAUCACACUUUAUUCCAUUCACUAAAAAAAACUUUAAAUUAACACAUACAUUCUUUUAAGUAUCAUACCUCAAUAUUUUGUCUCAUAAAAUUUAACUUCUUCUUUAUUUACUCUCUCACUUGUUUACUUACUUGCUUGCUUAAACAACUCAUGAUUAUAACUUACUCCUUCCUUAUUCAAAUUCUUUUCUUAACUGAUAACUAAAAUAUUCUUAACCCUUAUACUCACCUAAAUCUAUUUAUCAUACCUUUACCUGAACUUUCAUGUAACAUAAUUUCUUUACUAGCCGUUGAAUUACUUGAAAUACUAAAGAUACUCAAGUCUCUUAUCUGAAUAUAACAUGCCAAAGCUUUGUCCCAGAUAUAGUCUUACAUGGGAUGUUUCCUAUACUGCCAAUUCCAUAUCCCAAGUAUGGUUUUACAUGAGAGUUCUCAUAUCGGUGCCCAUGCCAUGUCCCAGACAUGGUCUUAUGGGGGACCUCUCAUCUCGGUGCCAACGCCAUGUCCCAAACAUGGUCUUACAUGGGACCUCUCAUCUCGGUGUCAACGCCAUGUCCCAGACAUGGUCUUACAUGGGACCUCUCAUCUCAGUGCCAACGACAUGUCCCAAACAUGGUCUUACAUGGUAGUUCUCAUAUCAGUGCCCAUGCCAUGUCCCAGACAUGGUCUUAUGGGGGACCUCUCAUCUCGGUGCCAACGCCAUGUCCCAGACAUGGUCUUACAUGGGACCUCUCAUCUCGGUGUCAACGUCAUGUCCCAGACAUGGUCUUACAUGGGAUCUCUCAUCUCAGUGCCAACGUCAUGUCCCAAACAUGGUCUUACAUGGUAGUUCUCAUAUCGGUGCCCAUGCCAUGUCCCAGACAUGGUCUUAUGGGGGACCUCUCAUCUCGGUGCCAACGCCAUGUCCCAGACAUGGUCUUACAUGGGACCUCUCAUCUCAGUGCCAACGCCAUGUCCCAAAUAUGGUCUUACAUGGGACCUCUCAUCGGACCUCUCAUCUUGGUGCCAACGCCAUGUUCCAGACAUGGUCUUACAUGAGACCUCUCAUCUUGGUGCCAACGCCAUAUCCCAGACAUGGUCUUACAUGAGACCUCUCAUAAUUUCAAUAAUGCCAAUGUCAUGUCCCAGACAUGGUCUUACACUGGCUCACAUAUCGAUGUCGAUGUCAUGUCCCAGACAUGGUCUUAUACGAGAUCGCACGUUGAUGCUAUAUCCCAGAUAUGGUCUUAUACGAAAAUUACAUAUCAGAUGUUGCCACGGUCCAACCAUGGUCAUUUCUGUCAAUUCAUUACAUAUCACUGAACAAAAGUACUCAUUCCUAUGUUUUACUCAAUUUGAUCUUUCAAUUCAAUUUUCAUACUAUUAUAAUAUUCAUGGUUCAAUAGCAAAGACAUAAAACAAACAUCAUAUUAUUUCUAAUUUAACAAUUAAACAUAAGAUUCUAUCAUAUAAACAUACUGAUUACACUUAUUCAAGCAAGUGUACGUAAACAUACAUUCCAUCUAUUUGUGUAUAUUUACUUACCUUAUUUACUUAAUCAAAUAUGUUGAGCACAUAACAUCAUAUGCGCGCCAAGCAAACGCAGAUGAGCAUAUCACCAUAUAAACUUUCAUUUUAUUCUACGUUUCUACAUUUCUCAACUCAUGGUUGUGUUACUUCAUACGUUAACACAUACUCAUCAUGAAUUUUCUAUUCAUAUCUUUCUAAAUUCCGUUUCAUCAUAAACAUAUUUCAAUUACCUCAACAUCAAUUUUUUUUAGCAUUAUUGGAAACAACUCGGAUAGAAGUCAUCUUUGUCUUACAAAACAAUUUCAUUGGAGUUGAAAGAUAUUAAAUUAUCACGAGUAAUAAUAUGGCAUGUAUAACUAAACUUACAUACGCUAUGUUAGUUCGAGAACCGACUAAACCAUAGCUUUGAUACCACUAAAGUAACACCCCAAACCCGAUCUAAACGUUAUGACCGAAUCUGGCGAUGUCACAUUUUAACACCCCUUACCCGUAUUCGACGCUCAAAUAAGGUACGAGGCAUUACUAGAAGACAUACAUUUGCAUAUGUAUUAAACCGAGUUACAACAUUUCAUCCGAAUUAAAACUUUUAAAUUAUUAACGUGCUUUUAUAAUUCUUUACAACAUAUCCUCGAAAUAUUAUAUUCAUAACAAAUAGGGCCUACGAGACCCGAUAUUUACUCAUGUAAUUCAAAGCUUCAUUUCCAUUUCAUUCAAUUUACAAUUUCUCAUGUUCACAAUUCAAAUCAAUUUCUCAAUCCAAUAUUUAUAUUUAAAUCAUCAAGAAUAUAAUUCAAGUUACACGAACUUACCAGGCUAAAUUGCAGAAAUACCAACCUCAAAUUUUCACCCAAUCUUGAUAUAAAUUAAUAUUUCAUUCAAUUUAUUAAUUUAAAUAAUAAAACAAUUCAUUUCAUACAAUUUGGUCACUUUUUGACAUUUUUACCAAUUUACCCUUAACAUACUACUUUUAUUCAAUUUAGUCCUUGAACCUAAAACAUUCAAAUUGGUCAUUUUUAAUGAGAACUCAUGCUAUUUGAAUAAUCAUUUCUUUUCCUCCUCCUCUGCAUUCCACAUCCUUAAUGUAUAAUAUGCUUAUAUGUAACAUUAUUUAUAAUUCCACCAUUUAUUUAUAUAUUAAUUCAAAGCUGUCCACUUGAGUCAUAGUCACUAAAUUAUUUAUAUCUUUAGCUACGGAACUCCAAAUUAAGCUCCGCUAAAUUCCUAUGAAACUAGACUCACAUAUAUUCUUACCAUAAGAUUUUUAUAAUUUUUUGUUUGGCCAAUAAGUACAGUUUAUUCUAUAAAGUUUCCCCUGUUUCACUGUUUGACAGUUCCGACCCCUCUUCACUAAAAAUUAAUUAUCUCUUUGUACAGAAUUUGGAUGAUGUUUCUGUUUAUUUCUAUUGAAAAUAGACUCAUUCAAGAUUUUUAACAUAUAAAUUUAAGCCUCUAAUUUUUUUUGUUAAAUUUUUUAUGAUUCUCCAAAGUCAAAACAGGGGAACCCGAAUUCAUUCUGACCUUGUCUCACAAAAUUUAUUAUAUCUCAUGAUUUACAAUUCCAUUGCUUAAACCAUUUCUUCUAUGAGAAACUAGAUUUAAUAAGAUUUAAUUCCAUAUUUUUCUCAUCCUCUAAUUCGAUUUCCACAAUUUACGGUGAGGUUUAAAAUUUAACCUAUUGCUGCUAUCCAAAACUGUUUUAAUGCAAGAUAUUGAUUACUAAGUUUAUAACUCCCUAAUUCCCUUUCUCUAUAAUAUUUCCCACAAUUUUCACUUAUUUCCCUUCACUAAUAUAUCAAGAACAUAAGACUUUAUUUAAGAAAACUCGACUAUAACAUCAUUUCCAUGCUUUUUCAACAAUAACAAACUUAAAAAUAUAUUGAAAUCUUGAUGUUCUUACCUUGUGCUAUUGAUUUCAAUCUUUAACUUGAUUUUCUCUCUCCUCCAGCUUCUAUUUCUUGAAUCUAACUUGACAUUAUAGCUCCCCAUUGUCUCCUUAUUAUUUUUCUCUCUUGGAAGCUAUGGAAAUUCUUUUCAUUUCUAGGUGAAAAUAGUGAAUUUUUGGUGAAAGGACCAAAUUGUAAAGAAAGCAAAACUUUCUUUCUUCUCUUCUCUUCUAACGUUGGUUGCAUGGAAAGAUGAUAAUUUUUUCAUCAUCCUUCCUCCUUUUUAUAUUAAUCAUCUAAUAAUAAAAUAAUACCAAAGAUAUUAAUAAAAUAUUAAUUAAAUAACAUUUAUCUAAUUAAUUAAUUAAAAAUAUCACAAACAUCAUCAUUACCUUUUAGAAUUCUCUCUCUAUUUGACCAUUUUGCCCUUUAUAAUCUUUUGAAAUUCCAUCCUUGAGUCAUCACUUAAUUUGAUAAAAUUGUAAUUUGGUCACUCAAAAUUCUUCACCUUUUUAAUUUGGUCCUAAUUCAUCCAUUUUCUGUAGUUUCUAGAUUAUUCCACCCUUAAAAUAGUUACACUAUUAGUCCUUAAAAUUUUUCAUAUUUACACUUUAACCCCACAAAUUUUGAUUAUUUACUCUUGGGCAACAAAACUUUUCCCACUUUUCAAUUUAAUCCUUUCUUGAAUUAAUAUGUCAUAAUAUACUUCCCGAUGUUGACAUAACUCAAUAUUACCCUUUUUAUCACUUUAUUUCCUUAUUUUACUAUAUCAAGGAUAUUAUCUUACUUUCUUACUGUAGUGAUUUUCAGGGUAUUACAAAACUCAAAUGCAUUUAACUCAAAUUACCUUUCAAAUGAAUGACCCACACUAAUUAAAACAACUAAGUCAAUUUUAUCUAUCGAAUAAUAACAUUUCAAAAUAAUCCUUUGUUCUUGUUGUCAAGACAACCCAGACAUUCAAUCUAUCAUAAUUCCCUCAUAAAACCAAUCAAAAAUCUCAACAAAUUGCCUUAAGUCAAACGAAACAUAACAUCUCGUUUUAACUCGUUGACAUAAAUUUAGAUUACCUGAGGAAUGAGAACCGAUAUACAAGUUUAAGCUCGAUCUUCCACCAUUCUACACUUUUGUUGUUGACUAUCCUUUCAUGAAAGCUAGAAAUGAGAUGUAUAAUAAAACUAUUUCAACUAAUAACAUCGAAACUUUAAAUCACACAAAAUCCGCCACCAUCGGAUGAAUUAAAAGCACAGUGCUAUAAUGAAAUCGGCCUUGCAAUUGUAUAGAUAAAACAAUACCUCAAAUAUCAAUAGUGUAAUUCGAGACCAAAGAGAAAAAACCAAAUGUAGUCCCAAUAACAACUAGUGUAGUAAUACCACCUCUAUAAUCUGAGUUCUAUAACAUCGUUCUCCCAUUAUCAAAUUAGGAAUUAUAACUAUAAUAGAUGUUUUUAUCUCCAGCAAUGAAUAUCCCUUACAGAUGAACCAUUUUUAGUAGAUUAAACAAUAAGAAUGAGAAGAAAAACAAGAUAACGAAAUCCAAGAUGUGGAGCUCUACUGAAUCUCUGAGAAUACAACCCAUAUUGAAUGAUAAAGUGAUUUAUGAUACCCUAGAGAAAAUCUAGAAGAAGAAUAUAGCUCAUAUGCACUGGAACCAGUUGUGACAGACACAACAUAAUAGAAUCUUCUACCGAACAUAAUAAAAUAGAAUGCCAAAGAAAGAUAGAGCAAUACCGAUUAGCUAUAAUCUUCUACCGAACAUAAUAUAAUAGAAUCACAUCCGAAAAUGAACAAUUGAAUAUACCUCUAAGGAUAAAAGAACAUAUAAAAUACCUAGAAGAGAUCGUCAUAAGUUACUCGACUAUAAUCGCUACAUUCAAAUAUCUUUACAAUUCAAACAUUAUCCCACUGACUACUAAAUUCAUCGAUAAUCUCACAUUAACCCGUUUCACUAAUGAAAUCAAUUCAUAAGAAAUUUGUGUUAAUUUGUUCUUUAGAUACCAUACCUGAAUAAAUCAAUUACCUGUGAAUAACCUCUUCUUUAACAGCGACAUUGCGUACCCCGAGUGAUCUUCAAAAGAAUUGAUACCCUUUUUAAAGCUCUCUUUACUUGCUAACCUGAUGUGAUCAUGGUCCAAGACCCAACUAAGGCUGCUGAAGAACCCAUGGAGCUACCAAGGGACUGAUUACUCGUGCUCGAGCUAAGAGGUUCAUGGAAGCUGUUGCGGGCUUUAUUGUUUGAAUUUGGGGUGAAGCCGUUGCGGGGUUUAUUGAUCAAUCAUGGACAUGCACUCCAAGCAUGCCAUGCAACCUACUUCAAGCUCAACUUUAGUUUUCUUCAGCUUGUGAAUUUAUUUGCUGGAAUAAAGAAUUAAAUUCGGUUCUAGUUAUUUUAGUUAAAUUAGUUUAAGUAUAUAAUUAUGUCAUAAUCUGAACAUAUUUAAUAAGAUUUUUUAAUUAUGUCAUAGUUUAGGACAUUUUAAAUACAUAAUUUAAUUAUGUCCUAGUUUGGAAAUCUUUAAUAUAUGUGUUUAGUUCAGACAAAUUAAAUUAUGUUUAAGUUGGGUUUAAUGUGUCUUGUAGGGUGAUCAAUGGAUGGCAUUAAAUGGGGAAACAUGCAUUUGGACGUGCAUGCAUGGAUGCUGGUUGAUCUCUUCCAAGCAACUUUUCAUGGAAUGCAAUGGACACAAGUGCUUUCACAUUAGUCCAAUCAGCUGGAUGCUAUAUUCACACUAAGUGACCAUCCAAUUUUGAGUUUUCACACCUUAAGAGAUGUUCGUGUGCUCUAUGCAACAUUAAAAUGGAGACUGCACAUUUGGCUUUCCAAGAAGGCAUCAACCAUGUUCACACCAUCCAAAAUCGAUCAUCUACUUGAACCAUCAGCUCAAAUUAAAGGCUACACGUUUUGGCUAUUUGGGGAGUGCAAAUGACAUGGCUGUUGGCGUCACCUAUGCAUGAGAGUCUUCAAAAGUCAUGUAGAAUAGGUCAAUAGUUAGUUAACUCAAUUAAGCUGAAUUAAAUUAGUCCACUCGGCUGGACUUCUGUAAAGCUAUAAAUACUAAGCUCAAAUCUUGUAUUUGGAACUUUUGAUCCUUUAAUGAAUUUUAAUCUAUUUGUGAGUUGUUCAACUCUCAUUGUUCUUUUGUGACUCAAAUUUACUUAUCUAGCUAGUCUAGUGGCGUCAAUCUGUUUCUCUUUGUGAACUUAUCACUCUAAUGAAUGUGGCGUUCAACCUAUACCAACUGGUUCCUAUCUCUUAUAGAUAGUAGGUCACGGUUAAGCUAUCAAGUCCAUUUUCAACUUAAGAGCUACUAUAAGAAUUAGGUCAAUAUUACCAUAUAAUAUUGGUUCUCUCUUUAGCCUUAAGCCAAACCUAUUUUUGCCACCUCUAUCCAUUAAAAAUUCCUUUGUUUCAAGCCAACUUUGUUCGUUUACAACCCUUUCAAGAACUAAGUCCAUACUUCUUAAUUUUACGAUUGAAAACAUAAGAUGCUCGAUUUGCCCAACGAGUACGAGAUCGCAUCAUGACCCAUUCUCGACUCUGACAACAUUAUUAUUCAUUCAGUCACUAAUCUUUUUGAUUUCAUACUUGUAGGCUUAACCAAAAAAAAUCUUGUGAAUUCCAUUGUAUACAACCUUGAGGGUGGGGGUGGAGAUCGUAAAGCCUCAAAAUUUGACUCUUGCAUAUAUAAACACAUAGCAUAGCAUUCCUCAUUAACAUAAUCAUUAUAAAAGUUUAUGUAUACCUUCAUAAGUUUCUACUCAUCCUUAACAACAUUUUUACCCAAAUACUUGAGUAUCACAUUCAGCAUUAUCGGAAUUAGCUCGGUUGGAAAACAUUUUUGUCUAAAAAUAAAACAAAUCUCAUUAAAGUCGGGAGAUAUCACACUAUCACAGGUUAUGUAGUGGCAUGUAUUUCUAGACUUCAUACAUGCUACAUUCAGUCCAAGAGCUGACUAAACUAUAACUCUGAUACCACUAAAUGUAACACCCCUAACCCAUAUCUGUUACAGAAUUAGGGUUAUAGAGCAUUACCAAAAACUUUUAAUUUAAAACAUUCAAUUACAAUCAUUUAUAAAACACAUCAUAUUCAAUUCAAACACAUGCAUAAUGUCCCUUUUUCAAGCCCUCGAGGCUUUAAAAGAUCUUAAGAAAUAAUUCGGGACUAAAUCAAAAAAUUUAGAACUUCAUGAACAAAGAUAGAAAAAUUCAUACUACAGUGGUCACACGGCCGUGUGACCAGGGCAUGUGACUCACAUGGCUGAGACACACUCCGGUGUCUCAAGUCGUGUGGGUAUUCGAAGUAGGGACACACGGUUGUGUCCCAGCCCGUGUCCGUGUCACUAUCUUACUUGGGUCACACAACCAAGCCAUACGCUCAUAUAUCAGGCCAUGUAAUGCUUGAAAUGUAACCAAUAAAAACCUACAAGGGACACAAGGCUGUCUUGCGUGACCGUGUGUCACACACGGUUGAGACACAUGCCCGUGUCUUAGGCUGUGUGGAUGAGAAAUAGGCCAUUUUCAAGCCAUUUCAUUCACUCUAAACAUGCUCACACACACAAACCAUUUGUACCUAUUUCAAACAUCAAAAAAAUGUACCUAAAACAUGCAUAAUGCAGUUAAAUCAAAUUGGCAACUAUAUCUACAACCAAUAUGCCAACAAGCACCUCAAUCACAACGAUCAAAUAUACUUAAACAUAUGCAUAAUUUAGCCAUUCCUAAACCAUACAUUUCUAAUCUAAUUCAAUACCAAUCUUACCAUAAUGACCACAUGCCAAAGUCACAUUCAAACAUACCAAGUUUCUCAUUCAAAAAUGCAUUAACCCCUUAUCAAAAUAACACACACCAAAUAGGAAUCAAAGGUACCAAGGUUACAUCAACCAAAAUGACAUAUGCAUGUCAAACUCAUCAACUAACAUAAAACACAAGUCCACCUAUACAUGCCAUUAUAACUUUGAUUUGGACACCAAAAUCUACCAUUAUAAUCGUUGGAUAGUGUGAUAGAUCUCUGACCAGCUUCCUAACCGAUCGAGCUUCCGAUAAUCUGUAGAGUAAGAGAAAGACAACCACACAAGCAAUGAAUGCUUAGUAAGCUCAUAUAAAUUUUAAACAUAAAAUUCCAUUUUUAUACAUGAACUUUAUAAGUCAUAAAUAAACCUAUACCAUUGCUUCAAGAUUUAUCAAACUAUAUAACUAUCAACUCACAAAUGAAUAGGUUCAUUAACAUCCCGAAUACUUUCUAUUCAUACCAUAAUAAAGUCUUAUAAGCUGAAUUACAUAAUCAUCAACCUUUUCUUAAAAUAGUGAACCAUUUCAUUUACUUACUUACCAUUUCAUUUACUUAGCAUAAGGUUAAUUAUGUAUCAAUUCACGAAUCAGUAUACCUAUUCAUGACAUAAGUAAAUUCCUUCCUUACAAGUAAGUCCUUUAACUCGACAAUCCUUUUUAUUUCAUCAUAUUUCGUCACAUCUAUGAACUUACCAUUUCCAUAUAUAAUCUCACCCGUUUCAUUUGUAUAACUCACAAGAUAUAAGCAUAAACAUCAACCAUAACCACAAGCUAGUGCACUUAAACAUAACUCCUUCACAUUUAACUAAUAAUCAUUCUGUAAUUCAUCAUUCAUCUCAAACUUUCCAAUAAACAUGUAAUCUGGAAUUACUUACCUUCACUAAAUAAGAUUAAAUCUAAAUGAAUAAAUUAAUCAUACCUGUUAUACAUUUACAAAGCACUUAUAGGCUUAGUAUUGAAAAUGAUUCAUCGUAUGCUUCCUGUACUAUAAUAGUUCAACCCAAACUCAUUUAUAUAUGUAUAUAAACAUAUAUCUUUAACUAAAUAAUCAUCAAUAUAACGAUACUCACAUAUGAUCAAGUAAUUCAUUGAACAUUUAACAUUUAACACUUACUAAUUUCUUGACUAUACAUUAGCCUUUAACAUUAAACUAAUUUUAUAAAUUUCAUUCACAGUUAGCCCGAUGAACUAGUAACUUGAAUAGUAUACUCGGGUGACUACACCACACCAAAGGCAUCAUAGAUGCAUAACAGGGGCACCAUAGUGCGAAUAGAGGCACCGAAGUAUAUAUUGGGGCACUAAAGUGCAAACAGGUGCACUGAAGUGUAACUCUUGUACAAGUGUGCAUUCUAACCCUAUUGGUAUGCCAAUCGUAUGCUAGUGAUUACUACAUUCAACCAAGCAUUUCACGUAAUCCAUUUAUUUUAAACAUAUUUAUCAUUCAAGGGCACUUCAUUAUUUUCGUACACAUGAUAUAAUAUCAAUACAUAUAUUCACAUUGUCAAUGUGGCAUUACAUAGAUUAACAUCAUCUAUUUAUCACUUUCAUCUUUCUCGAUACACGUGCUGUAAUAAUUCAUAAUCAUGCUGAAAUCACAUAUAUAUCAUAUCUCAUAAAUAUUCAAUAGUUUUCUAAUAAAUCCUUUCUCACCUUAUAUUUAGUUAUAAUAUUUCGAGUUUCAGCUCACAUUUUAAACAUCAUAUAUAAGUAUAUACAUUCAUGAAUCAGCAUUAACAUUGUUUAUAUAUAUAGGUUUGUACAAUUCUAUACCUACGAGCUUACCUGGCUAAAUUACAGAAAUGUCAAAGUAUAGGGGCAUUUUGGUAAUUUUCCAUUCUCCUAGAUUUUUCACCCGACAUUGAUCUAAAUUAAUAAUUGUAUUCAAUCUAUUAAUUUAGAUAGUAAAAUAAUAUAUUUUAUACAAUUUUGUCUUUUUUGACAUUUUUACAAAAUUGCCCUUAAAGUUUCACUUUUAUUCAAUUUAGUCCCUGAGCCUAAAACAAGCAAAUUAACCAUUUUUACCCAAAAUUGAGCCCAUCUGAAUACUUAUGCUCUCCAACACAGGCCAUUCAAACAAUAAUUUCAUAACAAAUCCUUAUAUUUUUACUAUUUUAACAAUUUAGUCCCUAACAUCUAAAAUCACAAGGUUCAUCAAUGGCAAUAUUACAAAUCUUUAACAGUUUCAAAAUCAAAGGUACGAGCUAGCUAUAACUAAUUGCAACGAUCUGAAAAACAUAAAAAUUAUUAAAAAUGGAGCCAAAAUCACAUACCAUGCAAUAGGAAAACCACUAUGGCUGAACUUAGCUUAAAACCUCCAUGGACAUUCAUUUGUUUGAAGAAGAAACUGAAAAGAUGAUAACCAAUUACCUUUUCUUUUUAUUUUAUUUUAAUUUAAUAUACCAAGUUACCAUUUUAACCUUAGUUAAUAAUUAAAUAAAACAUCAAAUUCAUAUCCAUUAUUGUCCACUAACACCUUGAAUGGUCUAAUUACCAUUUAAGUCCUUUUUCCUUUAUUCAAUUAACCAUUUAAUCGCUCAAAUCAAAUAGUGAUUAAAUUUUACAUCUUUUCCUAAUUUAGUCCAUUAUAAUUAAUUAACUAUUGAAACGUUAAAGUUUUUCAAUGAAACUUUAAUACAACCUGAAUGACACUCCAUAAAUAUUUAUAAAAAAUUAUGGUUUGAUUUAUAGAAACGAGGUCCCGAUACCUUAUUUUCUAAACCCACUUGACCUUAGGGUCUUACCACUUGAACCUAUUAAAUCAUUUAUAUAACAAAAAUCACUAUAUCACAAACCUUUUUAAAACCAUGUUUGACUCGUAAAUAUUAAAUGAUAAUAUUUACGAACUUAUUCAUCGAAUUUUGUGGCCCCGAAACCACUGUUUUCGACACUACUCAAAAAUGGGUUGUUACAUCUUCUCCCUUCUAUUCAAAAAUAAAACCAUUGCUACCUUACUCUUGAAGCUAAUCAGGGGUUUCUCACUAAUAUGAAACUAAAGAUGGAGUUCAUGUAUGAGGUUGUUUCUCACACGGGGUAAGUAUUUUGGACUCACGUGUUGUUUUUAUAAGAAUGAGUUUGAUUAUGUACGUAAAUGGGAAAAAAAGAACUAAGGCCUUGCAUGGUGAAUGUUUGUGCUAGAAAUAAGGGUGAGAUUUGAUAAUAUUCCUAUGUCUUAUAAACAAUGACUUUUAAGGGUCCGCAAGAGGAUGUGUGAACUUGGGGAUCAAGCUGUUGUUUAUGGAAGUAAGGUGAGUCCCUCAAUUGAUCAUUACAAGUGUAUUAUGCUUAUCUAGAAAAUUCUAUGUUAAAAUUCUACGCUAAGUGGCCAAAGCAUGAGAUUAGAACUAGUAAAGCAUGAUAUGACGAAUCUAAUAAGAAAUGUAAGACUUAUGAAACUGAAUGAAUAUGGUGCUUAUGUCUGAAAGUAAGAAGAUCGAGUCUGAUAGGAAGUGCAUGUGUGUCUGGUAAACAUAAGAAUGUCUAUCAUAAGUGAGUUAAUACGUGAUGAGUCUGUGUCUAUCUCCAAAGUCGUCAAAGGAAUCCGUUAGGACAAAAUCACAAAUCUUUGAAAGGAAAAGUCCAUGUCCAUGGCACUACAGAAGAUGAUAUCAUGUAAUACCAUAAUUGGUGGGUUAUGACAUCAUAUUGGAAGAAUAUCAUAUCGUGUAAGACCGUAACUGGUGGGUUAUGGCAUCAUAUGGAAAAAAUUUAAGGAAGGUUAUUACCAAAUGUGGUUCUGUAUGUGUCCUAGGACAAUAAGGGGAAAACCUUACUAAGUGUGAGUCUAGACAAAUCCCUAUCGCCUAAAUCACCAGGAGAAGAAAAUCCUUUGUGGCAAAACUUUGGAAAGGCAAGCCUUUGUGGCAAACCUAUUAAAGGAUAACCUUUGUUGCAAAACUUUAGAAAGGCAAGCCUUUGUGGUGAACCUAUUAAAGGACAACUUUUGUAGCAGUGGUGAAACUCUUAAAGGACGCCUUUGUGGAGAGACUCUGAAAGGAAAAUCUUUGUGGCCACUACUUAAUGAAAAUGAAGCCUUUGUAGAAAUAUCUAGAUAAGGAAGCCUUUGCUGAAAUCUCUGAAUUAGGGGGCCCUUAUGGCAAUAUCUGGAUAAAGAAACCUUUGUGGCUAUCUCUAAAAAGGAAUGUCUUCAUGGUGCCAUCGAAAGAAUGAAACUUGCAGUAACCAUUUGAAAGAAAUGCCUCUGUUGUGGACUCUGAACAAAAAGAAAGAAACCCAUGGUGAACUCUAACAAAAUGGCGUAUAAAGUCUCUUGAAGGAACGAUAAGUAUGGUGAACUUUGAAUGAAAGGCUCCGUAAGAAGUGUUAUGGCUAACCCAGUAUAGUAAUAUGGUAAGAAAAACGAGACUAGAGUGUGCCAACGUAAGUGGUGAACCCAAGGUCUUCUAUCUGUAAGGCCCUCUGUAAUAGAAAUGGUUAAGAAAUCAUGAAUGAACAAAAUGAAGAAUGUGAAUAAGGCAAUGAUGAUAGGAAUAGUAUGUUAUGAUCUCAGAAUGAGGAAUGACACCAAUGACACAAUGAACAGAAUUUUAUGGAUGUAACUGCUUGAGUCAAGGGAAGGACAACAGCAAAGGAUAUGAAUAUGGAAUUUUCAAGUAUGAAAUAGGUAAAGGAAGAUUUGCUCACUAAGUUUUCAUGAGCUUAACUUUGUGUCUUUUAUGACACAUGUAAGCUUAUUUGAGGUUAUAUCAGGAAGGACUACGCUAGGUGAAUGGCGAGAUGGGUUGUUAUGCAUACAGAGUGAGCUUGAAAUGAAGUGAUCAAGUUUGACAGAAACACUCUGAAUGGGCUACGCAAUCUAUUUUGAAGCUUGAUAGUGAGAAUAGAAUGUGUUGUGAAAAUAAGUGUAAUAUAUAUACUUGUGAACCCUCGUCUAAUUAAAAGGCAUGUUUAAGGUUUGUAAUUAGUUAUUAUACAUCCAGAUGUGAUCUAGCUAAGUAGUCCUAUUAAAUAAAAUGGAUUUUGUUGAAAGUUUAAAUGUUUAGAUAUAAAUAAGUCUAUAAUAGGAAAUGUAACACCCGAGAUCCCAAUCCAAUGAAUCAGAUCAAGUCGAGGGCAUUAUAGUUAGUUUAAAACAUUUACUUAACAUAGAGCUUACAAAACACAUAAUCAUGUAGAGCUCGUUGCAUAGAGCUCGCAUGUCACUGUUCAUGAGAUCACAUAUUGAAAUACUUUCGUAAAAUCAAGUAAUAGAAAAGACUUACUUAUCAAAACUUAGGUCAAACCCUAAGCUCCUGAUUAACAUUAUAGGUCGCACAUACAAGUUGCAAUCCCUAAACACUCACUAAUUUUUCUUGAAGACUUAGACAAGUUUUGCUAUUCCCUUGACUUUGCUUAAAGAUGGCUCUUGAUUUCUAAGUGUUGGGCUCUUAAGACUUGCAGACAGAAUAAUUGAUAGUAAAUUUAGGAGAAAAUAAUGUGUAAUUCCCUUAAUGGAAAUGGCUUAAUUAUAGGCUCUAAGUGUCUUAAUGUCUUUAAUACUCUAAUUGUAAUAGAAGUAAUAUUUAACGACAUGCAUGGAUAGUGUUGUAAAGAGAAAAGUAAGCUAUCAUUCCUAACUGAGGCACGACUCUACUUUAACCAUUCUUAUUUUUAACUCACAACCCAAAACUGUAGUUCGCUGGCCUAUUGGCGAUCCCUAUUUCGCCAAAAAUGCUAGCGAUCUAAGUUCACUAAAUUCUUAGGCGUACUCUAGCUCACCAAGCCUUUUAGAGAACUCCUACUUGCAAAGCUUAUUGGUGUACUUUAGCUCACCGAACUUGUUGGUCAUACACUUGAUCACGAAUCUACUAACAUAUACAUGCUUGUCAUUUUCUCUAGCGAACCCUUGUUCACUAGUCUUACUGACGAGUACCUAUUUGUCACGCUCUUGGGCAAUUUUUUGUUCGCCUUGGUGAACCCAACUCACUUGGCCCCAUACUUCUAGGCUCUACUUUAGGAUGUUACAACUCUCCCUCUCUUACGAAAUUUUGUCCUCGAAAUUCCCUAUGUUUAGAACAGGUCAGGGUACUGGUGUCUCAUGGCUUCCUCUAUUUCCCAAGUGGUUUCGUUGGUCUUGUGAUUUCACCAUAACACUUUAACUAAAGGUAUCUUCUUAUUUCAUAGAGUCUUUUCUUCACAAGCUAAGGUUUCCACGAGCCGUUCAUCAUAAGUAAGACCAGGUCGCACAUCAAUUUCAUCUGUUGAAACAAUGUGGGAAGGGUUCGCGCGAUACUUUAUCAACGUGAACACAUGAAAAACAUCAUGAAUUUACUCCAGUUCUUGUGGUAGCUUAAGUCAGUAGGCUACUGGACCAAUCCUUUCAACCACCUCAUAAGGAUCGAUACUUACUUACCUAUUUGGUACUCUAUGUCUCAUCAUUUUAGAUCGGUGUAAGACUUUUGUUUGUCUAAAAAAACAUCCAGUCUUUCGCAAAUCACUUUCACCUUAUCUUCUAUUUCACGAAUUAGCUCUAGUCUAACCAUUCACUUAUCAUCUAAUUCCGCCUAACACAAAGGUGUUCAACACUUCCUUCCAUACAAUGCCUUGAAGGGUUCCAUUUGGAUACUUACUUGGUGAUAACUCUUGCAAAGAGUUAUAUUUCAUGCCCUUAGGCUUAGUUAAUUACCUGUACUUAAGUGUUGUUAGUUCCAUUUUAGGAUAUUGCAUUGGCACUUUUAAAACAUUGCAUUAAAAAGCUUGGAUUGCGCUUAAUUGUGAUUACAUGUUGAUUUUAACUGCUUGUGGGAAAGAUUUGUUUGGCGAUUGUUUAGUAGGUGUAAAGUGUAGAGAAAAGUUUAACGGUUUGUCAUGGAAAAUACAGAUAGUUUGCCAACACAAAUGUUGUGGCAAUGCUGGAAAGACGCCUAGUCAGCACUUAAGGCGUACCACUCUUGUCCCCACAUAUAUAUCUACUUGGCAAAUAAAGAAAGGAUCACGGGUUGAUGGACCUACCCUAGAAGGUGAAACUUAUAAAAGCCAAGCAAUGAACCCUAUUUAAAGGGAGCCUUUAGACUAAAAAGAGCAACCUUGAGCAGUCGAAAAUAGACUACGACAGCAGCCUUGGAUGAAAUAGUAAAUAUCAGGUAGGGGCCAAGAACAAGGGUAGCAAAAGAAGUAGAAAACAACUGCAAUCACCUUGGGCAACUGCAAGACAUUGCACUGCCUAUAUUGAGAGUUGGAUAGGAGAAAGUUGUAAUCUUAGAUUUCCUCCUUUGUUUCUUAUCAUGCUUUUCUUUAAUGCUUAUCAGUUAUUGAUGAUGUUGGUUAUUGUAUUAAACUCAAACUUGAUUUUCCCAACCAUGAGCUAAAUCUCUUAGGCUUGGGAUUACUUUGAUGAAACCUUUAUUACUAUUAAUGUUUAAAGUUUAAUUUUGGUUUGCUCUACUAUUUUAUUCAAUGGCAUAUCACGUUAUAUGUAGGUUGUACAUUAACGAAUGUACGACAGGUUUAUAAAGAAAACUUAAUACCGAUAAGGUUGGGUUACCUGGAUAAGUGUUGGAUAAUAUGAGGGAAUGAUUAAUCACUUAUACAUGGCAACCUUUAGACAUAGAUCCUUGCCUUGUGUGAAAGAAGGUAGGAAAUAUUAGUGGUAGCCGAACUCAAAGCCUAUAGACAUAUAAUGCCCUAAGGAACGUAACCGAAGGUCUUGCUCUCGAGAGAGAAGUAGACUACUGUAGCAACCUAUUGAAUAGUAGAAUAUUCACGACUUUGUUGUGGCAUUAGUGAAGGUUGAUCCAUUAGUAAUCCCAGCUGUCCUAAUCAACAUUGUAGCUCCUCAAGCCUUUUUUGUAGUGAUUUUGCCAUGGCAUUCUUGUUCUGUUUACUUGUUUUGCACAUUUUAUACAUCAUCAUUCUCUCAUUUUUCCAUUGCAUUCUUAUUCUUAUUUUUCUUUAGCAUUAAUCGAACUUAACUAUAAUAACUCAACCAAUUUAUACCUAUCUAAUCCCUAUGGAGAUGAUAUCACUCAUCACUAUAUUACUUGAUCAACUUGUACACUUGCACGACUUGCAUAUCAGCUGUGCAACCAACACCUAGGAACUGUUUUUAUAUACGAACUCUACUGAGGGCAAAAAUCAUUCCCAGCUUCCUGCGAAUUCCACCACAUGGCUUGGUUGCAUGUCUUCUAGUACUUGGAUCACCCUCUCUUAUUGACCAUCUAUCUAUAAAUGAUAAGAAGUACUGAAAUUCAAUUUCCAACCCAAGGGUUCUUAUAAAAUUUUCCAAAAUCUCGAUGUGGAUCGUGGAUCUUGAUCGACGGUAAUGAAAUCAUUCCCAUCUAUAUACGAACUCUACUGAGGGCAAAAAUCAUUCCCAGCUUCCUGCGAAUUCCACCACAUGGCUUGGUUGCAUGUCUUCUAGUACUUGGAUCACCCUCUCUUAUUGACCAUCUAUCUAUAAAUGAUAAGAAGUACUGAAAUUCAAUUUCCAACCCAAGGGUUCUUAUAAAAUUUUCCAAAAUCUCGAUGUGGAUCGUGGAUCUUGAUCGACGGUAAUGAAAACGAGCACGCCAUGAAGUCGUACAAUUUUUUUGAUGUAUAACUCCACCAAAUUUUGCAAAGUAUAAGUGAUGUGGACUUCGAAGAAGUGAAAAAUUUUAGUGAGACAAUCUACAAUCACCUAUAUUGCAUCUUUCUUGUCAAGGUCAGUGACAAGCCGGACACAAAGACCAUGGUGAUCCUUUCCCAUUUCCACUCUAGAAUUUUGAUUGGUUGCAACAAUCCUAAAAGAUACUGAUGCUCAACCUUCACCUCUUGAAAAAUAAGACAUUUUCCACAUAAUUCAUAACGACUUGCUUCAAGUUAGGUUACCAAUACAAUUCAUAAAGGUCAUGGAACACCUUAUUGCUCCCUGGGUGUAACACGUAAAAGUAGUUGUGAGAUUCUAUAAAGAUCGCAUAUUGAAGUUUUUCAUCAUAGGGCACAUAUAGUCUUCCUACGAAACAAAGUAUCCCUUUUUUAUUCAGUGCGAAGUCCCCCUAUAACUUGGGGUUUGUGCAAGUGUACAUAGUCAUUAUCAAGUAAUAAGUAAGUAUCGAGUUAUCGUCACCACAGGGAUUGUAUUUGUGCUAAGUCACUUAAUUUGUAAAAUUAUAUUAACAAUUUGGUAAAUAGAAACACGAUAUAGUUGAGAAAUGGUGAUUAAAAUAUAUUAAACUAAAUGCAAUGAUCCUUAAUGCAAAUUAUCCUAAGUAUGCAAACUAUAUGAAUAAAAUAGAUUUUAGUAAAAUAUAACACAAUUUGAAACAAUUAUAACAUAAAUAAACUAGGACAAUUACUUUAAUUAAACUCAAUUUAUUAUCAACAUGCUUAAUAACAUUCGGAAAAACAUUCCAUGGCAACUCCAUCUUUCAUGAGUUUGGAAACCACCUUAGGUCCUUUCGAAAUCCUUUACUUGGUAAAUACACAUUUUACUAAUCCUUAAUUACUAAGGGUUUCUUAGCAUUCGUGUGAGGUAACAGGGAUGUGUUAGGUUUGAAACAAUUUAAUCACACAAAUCUAAAAACUAUGCAGAUAACAGAGCUUGGUUAGAGUUGUUAUGCAACCUACAAUUCAAUCGGGUUAGGAUCUAAAUUGAGCAUGCAUAAUUCAAUUAUGCGUCCAUUAGCCGUCAUCUGGUUAGGAUCACUCAGCUAAUUCAAGUGUGUUUCAGUCACGUAUGAAUGAAAUACAGACUUGAUUUUAAUUGAAAACAUGAUCAAUUGAGGCACAAACAUUAUAAGCAUGAAUCAAAUAAAUAUUAUUUAAUCAAAAUAAACAUCCUAGCUUAAAUAAAAUUAAGCAAUCAUUGUUGUAAACAAGAAAAAAGAGCACAUAGAAAACAUAUUUAAAUUAAAUUUAAAGAAAAGAAUGAUUAAACCCAAUUUAGAGUGGUUGUCACCCAAGACUCUGACAGACGAGGCUCCUUUGCUUCUUUACGUUGCUCGUUUGCUGAUGGCUUUCCAAGGUGGCCAACUAAGAAUUCUUUAAGAGGCUUAAUUGCUAAAAUCCUUAUGCAAGGAUGAUGAAGGGGAAAGAUAGCUAAAAGAGUUGAGAGAAUGAUGAAUGAGUGAGAGAUGAUGGGAUGAGGGAUGAUUGAAAAAGAGAGAAAUGAGCUCUUAUUUAUAGGUGAGGCAAAGGAACUAGUUUGCUAAAAAUAGGAGUGUUUAUCCUUUGAAACUUCCUCCAAGAGUGGUCGGCCAUGAAGUGAGGAAAGGUGGCUGAUUUUUCCUUGAUUUUUGGUCAAUUUGAAUGCCACAACAACUCAGGACUAAGACUCGGUCAUCAGCAAAUCUUCGAGAAAAUCUCUGAUUUCUUUAACUCUUCAAGGACUUUGUAUAAUUAAAUCAAAAAAUGGUUUAUGACAUCCAUGUGCAGCCAAAAAUUGGGUUGACUUGGUCCCCAAUUUGGACGGUUUUGCAAUUAGAAUAAAACUCUCAGCCCUGUCAAAAAAUAGUAGAUAGUUUAGAUGACCAAAUAAUAUAAUUUAACCACUCUAAUUAAUCAAUUUAUUUAAUUAAUUAAAACCCAAUUUAUUAAUUAAUUAUUAAAUAUAACUUUAUAUUUUAUUAUUUAAUUUAAUCAUGCAUGGCCCACUUUAUAGCUUAAAAAUAUAAUAUGCUUAAAUUAAUAUAAAAUAAGUCAUUUUAUGCAUGAAAACUAUAUAAUAAAGUAUAAAAUCACAUUUUAAUAAUUUCUAUGUCCUAAUUUCAUAUUUUCGCAUAUUUCAUUAAUUUAUUAAACAAUUACUUGGUUUUAACAACAAAUUUAAGUAAAAAGGUAAUGAAUUAUAUAGGAAAAAUCUUAUAUAUUUUUUAGUUUACACACCCCCAAACUUAAAUCAUUGCUCGUCCUAAGUAAUGUUCAUGCACAGCACAAGGUCUUACUAAGGCAAAUUUUGCUAAGAGUGUAAGUAGCAUCAAUCUUUGUUUUAUAAUCAUGCAUCAAUAAAUUCAUGCUCAUAGACCUUCUUUAUUAACAAGUAACUCAUAUACAAACAUUUUGAAAAUUUUAUUCUAAGUUUCAAGAUAUGCCAACAUGAAUCAUAGUUUGCAUGUAUGUCACAGUCAUAGAUAAUAUUUUUCAUUCAACACAAAUUCUCAUCAAUCAAGCAAAACAAUCAUAAGGCUUAUUUAUGAUCUUCAUAUGUUGAACUUAAUACUUCCUCUCCACUAAUGUAGGUGACAUAAUCAUCAAAUCAAUAGGUCUUUUAUAAGGUUGUAAUGGGGCUCGGUUAAAGGCGGGGAUUUUAAGAGAUGAGACAUUUCGGUUUCAAAAUCUUAACCUUUAACUUGUCUUGAAUUUCUCAAAAUUCAACCUUUUUCUUCAAGUGAACCUAUGGAACUCCGUUUGAAGUCAUACUCAUACAUUUUCUUUUUGGAGACUGAGCAAAUUUUUCUUCACUCUUUCUUUGUCUUUGUUGUUGCUAUUGUUGUUUUAAGCAUGAACACAUACAUCUUUAUGAAAAUUUCCUCAAAUGUUCAUUCCCAAGACAACUUUAGUUAGGAUAAGUGCACAAAAUUAAGAUAAUUUUAAAAAGAUGGUACUGGCUUAUAAUGUACGUUUAUUACAAUGAACAGGCUUUUAAGCUCAAAAUUAUAGUUUCAAGGGUCUAAGAUCAUAAGGUGGGCUUGAAAAGGCUUAAACGAUCCAAAGAAAAACGGUGCUGUAAUACCCCUUACCCGUGUUCCUCGUCGGAACAAAGUAUGAAGUGUCAUUAGAACACAAAUACGAAAAAUUAAUUUUUUUUUUACAAAAAUUUUGACUUAUUCCUCUUUAUAAAUACAUUACCUCACCUACACAUUUUCAGAUCAUAAUCCAACCAAUUCCAAUAUUCCAACCAACAUUUAUAUUCUCAAUUAUAUUCAAGUUAUACACAACACUUUAACUAUCAUCACUAGCAUUGCAUAAAAAUAAUUUAUCAUAUAACAUACACUAACAUUUAAACUAAAUACUUUGUAACAUACAACAUCUACUUAAGCCAUCUAUACAUGUCAUAAUUUAGAAAUGUUGAUUUCAAAAUACCAAAAUAUGUGGAUAGUGUUAAUGAGUUCCCGACUAUUUCCAAAUUCUGAGUUGAACUGGUAACACUAUAAAACAAGGAAAAAGGAAGAGGGGUAAGCAUAUAGCUUAGUAAGCAAGUAUGUGAUUAAUAAACAAAUUUCUAACAUGUUUUCAUAGAUGAUAUAAUUUAAAUCACACAUAAUUUCAUUAUUUGCACAAUUUCCAGCAAGCUGUUUUUAUGCAUCAUAGUCACUAAAUUAUUUUUAUCUGGAGUUACAGGACUCCAAAUAAAUAUACGUAAAUUUCCCUUGAAACUAGACUCAAAUAUAUUAUUUUCAUAAAAUUUUUAUAAUUUUUGGCUUGAUCAAUUAGUACAGUUUAUUAUUUAAAUUCACCCCUAUUUUACUACUCAACAUCACUGACCUCUUUUCACUAAAAAUGAAUUAUCUCAUUGUAUAGAUUUUUAAUGAUAUUUUUGUUUGUUUUCUUUGAAAAUAGACUAAUUCAGGAUUUUAAACAUAUAAAUUAUAACUCAUAAUUAUUUUUUUACAAUUUUUAAUUAUUUUCCAAAGUCAGAAUAGGGGAUUCCGAAACCAAUCCAAAUCUGCAUCACUAAAAUUCAAAUAUCUCAAAAUAUAUUACUCUUUUGCUUGCUCUGUUUAUUUUAUGUAAAAAUAGACUCAUUAAGAUUUUAUUUCAUAUCUUAUUCACUCUCUAAUUCAAUUUCCACCAUUUUUGGUUAUUUUUCAAAGUCACACUACUGUUACUGUCAAAAACAGUUUUGUUGCUAAUUCUACUUUUUCAUAAUUUCACCUUUUUACUUUUAAUCACUAUUCCAUUCAAAAUUCACUUUUCCAUUUUCAAGUCAAUAUUCAAUUUAGUUCCACACAUAUAUGCACUUAUAAAUCACAUAGUCAUUUCAUCAUAUCAUGUAUUUCACUUAAUAAAUUUCUCGUUGAACUUAUCGGACUAAAAAAAUAGAUUUCUCGGUGGCCUGCACACAGUCCGUACCACCUUUGUGUAAUAACAGAUUCUCGGUGGCCUGCACAUAGUCCAUGUCACCCUUGUAUCUUAACAAAUUAUUGGUGGCCUACACAUACUCUGUGCCACCCUUGUGUCACAACAGAAUAUCGGUGGCUUGCACACAGUCCGUGCCACCCUUGUGUCAUAACAGAUUAUCGGUACGGAUAGUAGCCUACACUUAGUUUGUGCCACAUAUGCGACCUAUCAGUCUGGUACACGUAGUGGCCUACACUUAGUCUGUACCACACGUGACCCAAUUACGACCAUUCAUAUCUUUUCUAUUCCGAGUUUCAAACGGAAAUUCUUAUUUUUCAAUCUUUUCCCAAUUCUUCUCUAACCAAUCUUAAUUUAUAAUUUGCAUCAUAAAUUUGUUACACAUAUAACUCAUCUCUUAAAUAAAAUAAUAAGACACUUAAUCAUAAAUAAAACAAUAUAUUAUCUUCAUACAAACUUACCUCGGUGCAAAAUAUUGUAGUUUUUGCAAUUUAAUCCACGAUCUUUUCCUUUCCCCGAUUGAGGUUGACUUCUCUUCUUUCUUGAUCUAUAAUAGAAAUUUUACCUUGUUUAGUAUUCACAUUUAUCAAAAUAGUCCUCAACUCAACUUUUAGGAAAAUUAUGAUUUUGUCCCCAAAUUUUUGCAUAUUUAUGUUUUUGCCCCAAAGCUCGAAAAUUAAAUUUUAUUACUUAUUCUUGCGUUUUAUAACAUGCUGAACAUUUUUCCCUUCUAUAGCAACAUCCAAUUCUCACUCUAACACUUACUUAUGUACAUUAAGUAUUUUUACCGAUUAUGUUAUUUUACUCCGUUUCACUUAAAAUCGACUAGCAAAAAUUGUUUAACAUAAAUUCUAGCUUCAUAUUCUACCAUAAAACAUCAAAAUACAUACAUUUCACAUAUGGGUAAUUUUUCAAAUUUCAACCCUAGCUCGAAAUAGCAGUAGAAAUAGGUAAAUCGAGCUACGAGAAUCUUAAAAAUGCAAAGAACAUUAAAAACUAGGAUAGGAUGUACUUACAAUCAAGCUUGAAAGUGGCCAAAACCCUAGCUAUGGAGACUUAGAAAUAUUCAGCCAAGCAUGGAGAAGAUGGACACAAUUUUUACCUUAUUCUCCCUUUUUAAUUCAUUUAAUUACUAAAUUACUAAAAUGCCCCUAAUUAAAAAAAAUCCCAUUUCACUUUUUUUUCAUGUCCAUUUUUGUCCAUCAACACACUAAUGGGCUAAUUCACAUAAGGACCCCCAAUUUAUAAUUUCAUAACAAUCAAACACCUUUAAUAUAUAGAACUCAACUUUUGCACUUUUUACAAUUUAGUCCUCUUGACCAAAUUGAGUGCUCAAACGUAAAAAUUUUCGAACGAAAUUUUCACGAAAUCUUUCCGUGAAUUUGUAGACCAUAAACAUAUAAUGAUAAUAAUAUUCUCUUUUUUCAGAUUUGUGGUCCCAAAACCACUAUUCCGAUUAGGCCUUAAAUCGGGCUGUUACAGGUGCCUAUAUCAUUUUAGAUUUUUAUGUCCCCUAGGAUUUCACCUCAAGAAAGUUACUAAGUCAAUUAUAAAGAUAUAAACCUUUAUGCAUGUCUAAUCUCAAGAGAAACUAAGUUUUCAUGGCAAACAUUACCUAAGACUAAGAUCAUAAAAACAUUCCAUUUUUCAUGAUAACAUGCAAUCACUCAGAUAAAAUCAUCAUUCAUGCUUGCAUACAAGCUAUCUUAUUAAAAAGAAUUUCUCUAAACAUUUAUUUAUUAAGACAUGUUUGUGAAAGAAUGAUUUGAAACAUACUUGAAAAUUUUAAAAAUUUGAGCAAUUUGCCUUACCCCCUUUAAAAAGAAGCAAUGUCCUCAUUGCGAGAAUAAAGUAAUGAAUGAAAACUGAACACCAGGUAGGGUUGUCAAGAACGAGAGGUGAGUCAUUAAGACUACUUAAAUACCAAGUCUUUCCUAAUAACACAAUCCUAGACAUGUUCAUUCCCAUUGCCACAUCACUUAAUCUUUUUCUUUCUAAAGAAGUAUUUAUUCAUGCUUGUUAUGUUUUAUUUUGCAAAAAUUAAAUCCUAUUUACUAAAGAAAUAAAUUCCUAAAGACCUAAAAAUAAUUAAAUAAAAAACAAGACAAGAAUCCCCCCCUUUUAUUUUUCUGACUUAUUCCCCUUGUCUUUUUUAGCUUCAUCUUCGCUUGCAUCGUCAGUCUCUUACGUCCAUGUCUCAAAGAUAGCAUCUGGGAACUCAGGAAAAAAGGUAUUUGAGAUAUUCUUAAAAGUAUUUCAUAUUGAAUCAUCUCUAAUUUUUUCAUAUUUCCAGUAAGUUUGUUGUUGAUUAUGCAUGAACGUACAUAUCCAUCAAAAUUUAUAACUCUGAUUUCCUUGAAGUACUUGCAGAAGUCGGCAUGGGAUUUGUAUAUUCAGGUUCAACACUUAGCUUGAUUGGUUCUUCUUUUGGCUCAACCUAGGUUCAGGGUUUUCAGCUCCUUCAGCUGGUUGAGGACUAUUUGGUUUCUUAUCAGAUUCUUCUUCUUUAGUGUCUGUAACUGAAUCAGCUUUAGUUUCUGUUUUAUUUGUUCACUCUUCGGUUUCUGCCUCAGUUGGUUCCUCUUGCUCACCUUGGUUCAACUCAUGCACUCUUUCUACCAACCUUUCAAGAUCAUGACUUGUAAUGCACCCUUGGACAUACUACCCCUUCAGAUUUUCUUGUGUUUUAACAUGGGCCCUUAAGCAAAGUGAAGUAAUUAAUGAUGGGAAAUAAGCACUUCCUGCCUUCUUUUUAGCACAAUCAUGAAUCUCCUUGAGGAUAAUUUUCCUAACAUUAAUGGACUUUUCUGUCAAGAUUGCAUAUAACAAGAGCAUUCGUUCCCAUUUGAGAGCAUUGAUUAUCUUUCUAAUUGGCACAGGAACAACCAUCACAUCAUUGCUCUUCAAAUUAAAACCUUUUUUCGGCAUCAUAGGUAGAUGCUUGAAAAUUAAAUCAAAUCACUCUUUCACUUCUUUAUCAACCACAAUCAGGUUUUCAGGAGUUGUUUUUGACGAUCUAGUUCUUUUGCGAGACAUGGUACUUUCCCAAACAUUUGGUAGAGUUUCUGCACAAGAGAGAAAAGAGAAAUCGGCAAAGUUGGUAUAACUUGCUAUGGCAAAAAUCUUGCGACAGUAAGGAUGGUGCGGCGGCGAUCUCUUUGCGACAGCAAUAGGGAAUUUUGGCAAAAAGAAAGGACUAGGGUUUCUUUCGAUAUUUGAGGUUAAUGACACAAAAAAAAAGAUUUAGGGAUUUUUAGGGCGGAAGUAAAUUGCUUUGAGGGAGAUGAAAAUUAGUAGAAUGAAGAGGGCUUUAUAUAGGGAAAAUUAGGGCAACAUGCAAUAAAAAUUUAGCUACCUUAAAGUUACUUGGGCAGCAAGUAAUGGGUGUGACGGCAAGGCCUAGUUUUUUCCCUCUUUUUUUGUUGUCUUGGGCCUCAAACUCAUACUGUAUCUUAAAAAAAAUUGAUUAGUACUUGGGCCAAAUUUGACCCCCCUUUAUUAACACAAAAAUUUAAAAUUUAAACUGAACAAAAUAAAACUUAAAAAUUUUAAUUAGAAAAUUUCUUCUUAACAACUUACAUUAAAUUAAUUCCCAAGAAAGGUUGGAGGGGUCACAGCGGUCCCGCUUAAGUUCCAAUCUCCUUAGACAGAAUUAAUUAAAUGUAAUAAAUUAAGAAAAUAGGAUCUAAUUAUUUAUUUAUUUACACAAUGAGUUCAUGAAAAAUUAAGGGUCUGUUAAGAUGAGUGAGGAUUCAGUUUGCUCAACUUCACCAUCCCAGUAGUGUUUGAGACGUUGACCAUUAACUUUAAACGUACCUCCAUAAUUGUCGUAUAAUUCAAUAGCUCCGUAAGGAUAAACUCGGUAGAUGGUAUAGGGUCCUUUCCAUCGGGAUUUCAGCUUCCCAGGAAAUAACUUCAGCCUUGAAUUAAACAACAACACUUUCUGACCUUCUUUAAACUCGCGAAGUUGUAUAUGAGUAUCAUGCCAUCUUUUUUAUCUUUCUUUACACAUUUUGGCAUUCUUAUUGGAAAACAACCUCAGCUCUUCCAACUCAUCUAAUUGUAACGUCCUUCUCUCACCGGCCUAUUUUAUAUCAAAAUUUAACUGCUUCAAAGCCCAGUGAGCUUUAUUCUCCAACUCUAAUGGCAAAUGACAUGCCUCUCCAAAGACUAACUGAUAAGGAGUUAUUCCUAACUGAGUCUUAAAUACUAUUCGAUAGGCCCAUAAUGCAUCAUCGAGCCUUCGAGACCAAUCUUUUCUACUAGGGUGUACUACCUUUUCAAGGAUACUUUUGAUUUCAUGGUUCACUAUUUCAACUUGUCCAUUAGACUGGAGGUGAUAAGCAGUAGCAAUCUUGUGCUUCACAUCAUAUUUAUCAAGCAACAACUUAAGCCAUUUGUUCACAAAGUGAGAACCUUCAUCACUAAUAAUAGCUAUUGGUGUCCCAAAUCGUGUAAACACAUGCUUAUGUAGGAAUCGCAUGACUACCUUAGGAUCUAACAUCUGAUUCGAAAAAUGGUCCUUCCGAGUGGCUUUGUUCAACUUUUUGUAAUCAAUACAGAUUCUCCAACCGAGAAUAGUUCUCGUCGGAAUUAACUCUUUACGCUCAUUUUCAACAAUCGUGAUUCCACCUUUCUUUGGCACACACUGCACCGGACUUACCCACGAACUAUCUGAAAUAGGAUAGAUGAUUCCUGCAUCUAACAGUUUGAUCACUUCCUUUCUCACAACUUCUUUCAUGAUAGGAUUGAGCCUUCUUUGCCCAUCAAUUCAGGUCUUUCACAUUCUUUUAAAAUGAUUUUAUGCAUGCAAAAAGAAGGGCUUAUACCUCGAAUGUCAGCUAUGGUCCAACCAAUUGCUUUCUUCAACUUCUUUAAAAGAACAAUCAGUUAUUCCUCUUGAUCUUUCGUUAGUUCUGCUGAAAUAAUCACAGGCAAAGUAAAAUAGUCACCUAAAUAAAUAUAUUUCAAAUGGGAAGGAAGUACCUUUAGUUGAAGUGUAGGUUGUUCUUCGAUUGACAACUUGGGUUGCACAAAUUCUCUGACUUCUAACUCUAAUAGUUCAAACCGUGUGGAUUGAAUAAAAUUUCUCGGAUUGGCUUCCAUCAAAGCCAUGUUUUUUCACCUUCUUCAUCCUCCAAAGGGUCAAACUCUAAGGCUUUCUCCAAUGGAUCUUCCUCAAAAUUGCUUUCCAUAGAAACCAAGGUUUCUAUCUCUUCCAUAAUUGAACACCCCUCUAUCGGAUCGAGAAAUUUCAUCACUUUAAGAAUGUUUAAGGUUACCUGAUCAUUUUGAACUCGCAUGGUGAGUUCUCCUUUCUGCACAUCAAUUAAGUAUUUAGAGGAGUUGCUAGGACGACCCUUACGGUAGCUAAGUACUAGAUUUCAUCUAUUGAGAGGAUCUUGGAUAAUUUGUACUAUACCCUAGAACAUAAACUUAAGGGUACAGUGUCUCUUUUGAGAAAUGAGGCAUUUUGUUGGUGGAAAUCUAUCAUGGAAGGUACCAAGCCAAAGAAGAUAACUUUGGAUUAUUUCAAAACUGCCUUUCGUAAAAAAAUAUGGGAUCGAGGUAUGUUGAAGCCCGAAAACUUGAUUUUAUUAAAUUGAAGCAAAGGGACCAAACCGUAUCCGAGUAUGAGGCUGAGUUAUUAAGCCUGAACCGGUAUGCACAAGGGGUGGUAGCUUUAGAGUAGAACAACUGUGUUAGAUUUGAGAAUAGGCUGAGGUAUGACCUCAAGGUCCAAGUUGUCAUAUUGUAGGAGAGAGUCUUCGAGACUUUAGUAGAGAAGGUGAAGAUCCUUGAAGAGGUGAAAUAUGAUAAGCAAGAUAGAAGAGAUAAGACCAAGAAUCUAGUGAAGAGAGAUUUUGGUCUGGGAAAUUCUAAUCCAUGCCCAGUGAAGAGGGUCCGUGAAAAUAGACCAUGUCAGUACCCUGCUAUUGCAAGUAACAGAAAUUAGACCCGCAAUUAUGCUUACUGUGGGAAGUCUCACAAUAGGAAAUGUUGAAAGAGCAAGGGAGCAUGUUCUAGGUGUGGGGCGUGGUAAUAACAAAAUGAUAAUAGUGGGUAGAGGACAAAUGGUCAAUGUACGAACUGUACUAAUGUUAGACAGCCCACCUUGGUUUAUGCAGUAAGGCACCAAGAGGACGGUAAUACGGCUGAUGUUAACGCAGGUACUUUUAUAAUAAAUUUUGUACAAUACUUUGCUUUGAUAGAUAUAGGAUCAACUCAUUCUUAUGUUUCCUGCUCUAUGACUGAUAAAUUGGGAGUUCUAGUGGAAAUUAAUGUUAGCGGCAUAACUGUACUCAGUCCCCUAGGAUAAUUUAUGUAUGUGAAUAAAAUAUUUAGGAGAUGUCCUUUAGAAAUUUAGGGUGAGUUGUUUCCAGCUGACUUGAUGGAGCUGCCAUUCAGUGAAUUUGAUCUUAUUUUGGGCAUGGAUUGGUUGAAGGAGCAUCGAGUUAGCCUUGAUUGUGAUACAAAGUUGGUUACUCUGAGGACUUUAACCAGAAAGGAGAUAGUUAUGAUCUAUAAGCACCAAUAUUACUUGUCCAAUGUGAUCUCUACUUUGGUAGCCGAGAAAUUAGUUCAUAAAGGGUACGAUGCAUAUUUGGCGUACAUUCUGGAUAUGAAAGCUGAUGACUCAAUGUUAGAAAGCAUCUGUGUAGUAAAAGAGUUUCCUGACGUCUUUCUAAAAGACUUGCCCGAUCUACCUCCAAAACGCGAGGUUGAUUUUGGGAUUGAGUUGCUGCCUAGGAUAGCUCCGAUGUUUAUUGCUCCCUACUAAAUGGCACCUAAGAAUCUUAAAGCAUAGUUGCAAGAGUUUUUAGACCAUGGUUUUAUCUUGGGGAGCUCCAGUUCUACUCGUGAGGAAGAAGGAAAAUGGUAUGCAUUGAGUGUUAACUCGGUCUUCCUGGAAUUUUCACAACAUUCGUGUUGACAAAAUGUCUAACCUUUUGCCCCGGUAAAACUUCACUCCUUUAUUUCUCCUUCCUCAACCUACACCUGCCAAAGCACCAAACACAACCCUACCACAAGCAAUUAAAAGUACCUAAUAUUUCAACAAAGUCCAAGCUCCUAAUGGAAUGAUGAAGAUAUGAAUGAAAUGUCCUAAAAUGCAACUAAAUGUACCUUGGUGCAAGUAAUUAGCUAGGCCUUAAAGCAUGAAAUAUAAAUUUUUUCAAGAGUUAUCACACCCUCAAACCUGAGUUAUUACUUUUCCUCAAGCCAAAUACAUAUGAAUGCAUGAAUCCAUAAAUUUUUACCCUUCCAUAUAACUAUCUUAUACUAUUAAUCUAUUAAAAGAACAACAUAUACAUCAGUUCUCAGUAGUCUUCUUUCUCUAAAAGCUUGAUUGAAUGUCAAAGGUUCAUUUCAAAAAAGGUAGUGUAGAAAAUUUGUCCCUAAAAAUAAAAUUUCCUAAAUACUCAUGUAUGCUUUCUGGCCAUAACAAAUAUCUCCUAAUGCACUCAGUUCAUUUGUAACCUAAACUAUAACAGCCUAUUUUUAGUGAAAUCGAGACCACAAAUCCUACGUGAAAAUAUUUAUAUUAUUAUUUUAAUGUCUAUGGCAUGUUAAUAGUGUCAUUUGCAUGCUUAAUUUAGUGAGAAUGGCUAAAUUGUAAAAGGUGUAAAAGUAGAGUUCUAGUAGCUAAAGGUAUCAAAUAGCUAUAGAACUUUAAUGUGAGAGUAAUUAGGUGGUAAUUAGACCAUUUAUGUGGUAGUGGAAAUUUAUGGGUUUGGUUUUAUUAAAAUUAGGGAUAUUUUUAAAGGUUAAAAAUGUAAUUAAGUAAAAAAAGGUUAAUAUAAUAAAAACAAAAGAAAGAAAUAAGAUAUCUUCCUAUCUUCAUCCUUAGCUGAAAUAUUCAAGGGAAACCAUAGCUAGGUUUCAGUCAAGCUAUAUUCACCGGUAUGUAAGUGGUUUUUGUUUCGCUUUAAUGAUUUCUAUGUUUUUGAAGUUGUUGUAGCUUAAUCUAGCUAGCCCAGGGACUAAUUUGCAAAACUAUUAAAGGUUUAAGGUUUUACCAUGAAUUUUCUUACAUGAUUUAAGAAGUUUGAUGAAAUAUUAUGAGUCCUUGUGGUUAAAUAAACAAUUUUUGUAAAGUGAUUUUUGAUGAAUUUGUCAUUUAGGGACUUAUUUGUAAAAGUAGUAAAAUACCAUGAUAAAUUUGUGAAAUGUCGAUUUGUAUGAGGUUGUAUGAGCCCCUAGGCAAAUCAACUAGCAUGAUAUGUGGAUGAAAUUGCAUAAAUGAAAAUUUACGAGCUUAAGGACUAAAUUAUAAAGAAGUUAAAAUAUUAGGGGCAAAAAUGUACAUCUGCAAUAGUAUGAAUUUUGGACUAAAUUGAAUAGUAUGUGUAUUAAAAAUAUUGAAUUUUCUUAUUUAGAUAAAGAUAAACCUUGUACGGAUUUAGAUCGAGGAAAGGCUAAAGUCUCAGAUUAGUGAUCCUAUUUUGACGUCUUUGUAAUCAAGGUAAAUUUGUAUGUUUAAAUAACAUUAUAAUGUUAUUUUGAUAUUUAUGCAUUGUAAUAUAUAUCAUGUAAAGAAAUUAUGAGAAUCCAAUGACGUUACAAUGACUAUCGAGCUCCGUUUGAACCUUAGGAAUAUAUAGGAUACAAAUGAAAUGUCAUUAAGGUUACCAUGUUUCGGAUGUUGGUCUUGACUGUCCUACCAAUGGAUGAGCUCUGGAAUUUUUUGCUGAUAUUCGCCAACUUAUGUGAGUGGCAUUGUGUACCAACAUUCUGAUCGUCAACUUGUGUGAGUAGGCCCAUUUAUGGCUUGAGUGAGCAAUGAUGUAAAGGAAAAGGAAUGGUUUCAACCAUAUGUUUAGCAUAUUUUGUGUGAGCUUCCCGCGUAUCCAAUAUUAUUCUAAGUGGUUCAACGGGUAUGAAAUGGGAAGAAACAGUAAGGGUGAGUUUGGAUGGGCGGUGCGUUUACCUGCGGUUAGUGUAAAAACUGCAGUGGCGGUGAGAUUAGAUACUGUAGCGACACUGUAGCGUGAGACAAAAAGUAAGCUAAACGCACCACACCGCACCCAGUCGCCCAUCCAAACCCAUCAUAAGUGCUCCAUUGACUACGUUAUGAACUUAUGGAAAGGUAUGAAUUGAUAAUGAUCAGAGUAUACAUAGUUAUGUUUAUGGAAAGUAUGAAUUCAAAUGUACUAUGUUCAUGAAAUUUACCUUACCAUGUGAUGCUUUUGUUGAGUUAUGUGUUAAGGCACUAACUUAUGUUGUUGAUGAUGCUUGGGCUUGUGUCAAGCUUAUUUUGGAUUGAUUCAUGUUUAAAUUAUGAGGUUUUGCAUUGAAAUGGUAAGCUAUGUUCAUGAUUUACGAACUUACUAAGCAUUAUAUGCUUACGUAGUUUUCUUUUCUAUGUUUUAUAGAUUAUCGGAAGCUCGUUCGCUUUGGAAGUUCGUCAGAGACCUAUCAUACUAUCCGGCGAUUAUAUCAGUAGAUUUUGAUGUUUUGGUCAAGGUUAGAAUGGCAUGUAUAAAUGAACUUCUGCUUAAUGAUCUAGUUGUUUUGGAAUGUAUAAGUGUUAUUAUGGUUGAUGUACUUAUGGUUUUUUGAUGCCUUGAUGGUUGGUGUUAUUAUGGCCAAGAUGUUGCAUGUUUUGAAUGAUCAAUUUGGUAUGUGAUGGUGUAUUUUCAAUAUGGUCAAUUAAGGUAUGUUUUUAGUUGAAAUAAGUAAAAUGUGUAAGGUUGAUGAAUGGUCAAGCAUGCAUAUUUUUUUGUAGGUUUAAUGGAUUGUAAUUAAGGUGUCUUAUUGGCAUAUUGGUUGCAUGGAUUAUUGGUAUAGAGAUUUGGUCAUUUGAUGUAUGUUUUGGGCAUGUUUUAAGGUCUUGAUUAUUUAUGCAAUUGGCUUGUAGGUACAUGUCUAAAUGGGUGAAAGAAAUGGUUUGAUUUUAGCCAAUUCUUGUCCACACAGCCUAAAAUGCCGGCGUGUGUCUCAGUCUAUUGUGACACGGUCGUGUGUCCCUUGUAGGUAUUAAAGGUUUCAAGUCAGGCAGUUACACGGCCUCGCACACGUCCUGGUACAUAGGCGUGUGAGGCCAUUUCGAGUGUUACAUGGCCUGGCACACGGGCGUGUGGCUUGGUCGUGUGACCUAACUUAGAGAGUUACAUAAGCACGAACACAGGCUGGGACACGGCCGUGUGUCCCUAUUUUGAUUGUUACACAGCCUAAGACAUGGGCGUGUGUCUCAGCUAUGUGAGUCAUAUGGCAGUGUGAACCCUGUAGUUUUGAAUUUUCUAACAUUUUCCUGAUUUAGUCCUGAAUCAUUUCUAAAGUGUUUCUAAGGCCUCGAGGGUUCGAAUAAGGGAUGAUAUGAAUGUCUAUGAGUGGAUUAUGCUAUGAUUAUUGUAAUGUUUGGAAAUGAAUGUUUUUAGGUUAUGUUUAUACAGUAAUGCUCCGUAACCCUAUUCUGGUGAUGGAUACGGGUUAGGAGUGUUACAUUUAGUGAUAUCAGAGCUAUGGUUUAGUUGGUUCUCAGACUGAACGUAGCGAGUACGAGUCUAGAAAUACAUGUCAUUAUAUAACCUGUGAUUGUGUGGUAACUCCUAACUCAAUUUGAACUAUACUUUUAUAUAGAUAAUGUCAUCCAACCAAGUCGAUUCUGAUGAGGCUGAAAGUAUCGCGCAAGCCUCUGUUCAUGUAGCAGCGUUGAGUGGAAGUAGACUUGUAUUUAAGGUAUGGGGAGGAGAGGCUAAGGAAACCUUCUUUCAGAUGAUGAAUGAGUGGUUCACCGAUUUUCUACGAACGAACCCGAUGGCUCAACGACCUCAACCCCUACAUAUUCCCCAACCAAUCCCUAUAGUUCCUCAAGGUUUUGAACCAAUACGAUUGAGCAAGCCUCCAGUUGAUAAAAUCCGCAAAUAUGAGGCUGAAGAGUUUAGAGCUACGUCUAAAAAUGAUCCAGAUAGAAUCGAGUUAUAGUUAGAAAAUACAAUCAGGGUUUUCAACAAAUUAUCUUGUACGCCGGUAAAAUGUGUGAAAUUUUUUGUUUCCUUACUGAAAGACUCAACCUAUCAGUGGUGGAAUACCUUGGUUUCAGUUGUGUCAAGAGAAUGAGUAGACUAGGAAUUCUUUCAAACUGAGUUCUAUAGCAAAUAUGUGAGUCAGAGGUUUCUUGACAAGAAACACAAAGAGUUUCUCAAGCUUAAACAAGGCCAGAUGAUACUAUCUGAGUGAGAGACAGGAUUUGUUUGAUUGAGCAAGUAUGCCCGAGAAUGUAUACUGACUGAGAUUGCCAUGUGUAAACGGUUUGAAGAUUUGCUGAAUGAAGACAUGAAGCUGUUAGUCAGGAUUCUAGAAUUGAAAGAAUUUUUUAUUCUAGUUCACCGAGCACACAAAGCUGAAGAAUUGAGUAAAGCUAAAAGAAAAGUUGAUUUAUGAGGCUUGUGAUUCGAGUAAGAGAUCGGCGGGAAAAUCAUCUCAUUUAUCGUCAAAGAAGUCAAAAGAAUAUCAUAAUCGUUCGUUAGCUUCAGUGGGUCAUUCUGGUAGAGAUCGAAGAAAAUAGCAUGCGAAUUUAAAACCUCAGGCUACUCUAUAUCGAGCCUAGCACACGGACGUGUGAAGCCAUUUUGAGUGUUACACGGCCUGGCACACGAGCCACUGGCUUGGCCAUGUGACCAAACUCAGAGAAUUACACGAGCAUGGACAUGGGCUGGAACACGGCUGUGUGUCCCUAAUUCGAUUGUUAGAUGGCCUGAGACAUAGGCGUGUGUCUCAGCCGUAUGAGUCAUACAGCCGUGUGACCCUUGCAGUUUUGAAUUUUCUAACUUUUUCCACAAUGUUUCAAAUGUUCCUGAUUUAGUCCCGAAAUAUUUCUAAAGUGUUUCUAAGGCCUCGAGGGUUCAAAUAAGGGGCGAUAUAAAUGUCUGUAAGUGGAUUAUGCUAUGAUUAUUGUAAUGUUUGGAAAUGAAUGUUUUUAGGUUAUGUUUAUAUAUUAAUGCUCCAUAACCCUAUUCUGGCGACAGAUACAGCUUAGGAGUGUUACAUAAACUCAAGUUACUUUGCUACCCUUGCUCACAACCUUUUCAAGAUAUUUAUUUGUACUCGUUUUUUCUCUUCUUUAUUAUUAUUAUUUUCUUUUUCUUUUCUUUUUUCUUUUAGCAUGUCACAAAAUUCUUUGACUUGAUAUUCACAAUGGAGCAUACACUAAAUUACCUAGCUCUCAAUCAUGUCAUAAUUUAAAUAUAAAUCACUUGUGAAGCUAAGGUUUUUGACUAAAAAGAUGGAUGAAGUAAACAACUACCUUCUUAGCUACUCAGUCUGUUGCUAUAGUGAAGUACCCAUUUUCUUUAUUACACACUAUUACUUGGACUCACCUUUCUAGUCAACAGCACAGUGGAGCAAAUAAAAUGGUGCUAACUUACUCAACAAUUUUAAGCAUUGGAGUGCCUAUUGUCCUUUAUUUAAGUAAUGUCGUGGCAAAAUGACUGAGUUUGGCUUCAAAAACCCUAAAUUCAUCAAAAAGCCCUUGCUAUUAAUCAAAAAGGGAAAAAAACUAAGUAUAAGACAUCUCAUUUUUAAGAAUUAAUUUUCACGCAAUCUAACCUAAGCUAAACUCGCCUCAUCCACUAUCACAUGUUUUAGAUAUACUGAAGAAUAUAAGCUCAUCAUCGAACAUCACAAGUACAGAUUGAAUUUCUCGCAGAUAAAACAGUAUUUAAUAAUCACAUGGCAUUGGAAAACAACUUAACUAUACUAGGAUGAACAUACAUACUAGAUACGUAAUGCAACCUAAAUGCACAAUACAUCACCCCAAACUUAAGGGAUGCAUUAUCCUCAAUGCAUGAAUAGAUAUAUGCAAACUAUCUAUGUACAGACAAUGUCAUGGCAAAAUAUAUGCAAUGCAAUAUGUCUGAAAUAAAACGAAAACUUUCCUUGCUUGGACUACAUUAUAGAUACUUCAUUAUGUCUGACGAGUUGAUUUAUGAGCAGCAACCUUGUACCUUUACUUCCUCUUCAUCCUCACAGUCAGUCUCAAUACUGACAAACUUUAUUUUCUCUGGUUCUUUCUCUGAUGCUUUAGGUGCAUUCUCUUAAUUGGUAGGAUUUGUCGAUGGGUUCUGCGUCACCGACCCUAUCCCCUCUUGCAGUUUAUUAAACAAAGGAAAUAAAAUAACUAAGAGAAAUUUAAAUCGACAAAAUAAAAUAAAAAUAAAAAGAAUUUUCAAGAUGUUGAAGUUAAACAUCUCAAAGAUCAAAGGACUAUUUGUCUCACUCUACAUAAGCACCCCAAUAGUGUUUCAAGCGUUGUCCAUUAACUUUAAAUGUGUCCCCUAUUUUCAUGUACUUGACAUCAACAACUCCAUGUGGGAUAUAUAUGAGCUACCAAGCAUUAUUCAUCAAAAUUGAAAGGUUUAUUUUGCUCCAGCAAAGUGUAUAAGGGUCUCCGCUCAAAUGAAUCUUUAUCACUAUCAAAACUGAUGUGGCAAUAUAUCAUGAACUCUUCCUCCACUACUGUUUCUAUUAAGUCAAUGGCAUGGCAUUCUUUAUUAUCAUCAAAAUAUUUCAGUGCAUUAAAUAAAUUUAAUGUGACCUAUUGAUCAUUCAUCCUCAUGGUCAAUUCACCUUUCUACACAUCAAUUGAAGUCCUGCCUGUAGCAAGAAAAGGCCUUCCAAGAAUAAUUGGCACAUCUUUGUUAGCUUCACAAUCUAAAAUAAGGAAAUCAGCUGGAAAAAUAAACUUAUCUACUCUUACCAACACAUCUUCAAUUUUACCUUCUGGAUGUGCAUAGGAUCGAUCAGCCAGUUGUAAUGUAACUGUAGUAAGUCUAGUUUUUCCAAUUCCCAGCUUCCUGAAAAUAGACAGCAAUAUUAGAUUUAUACAUACUCCUGAAUCACAUAAUGCAUUACCAACAUAAUGAUUUCCAAUUAAACAUAAAACAGAGAAACUCCCUAAGUCCUUCAACUUUGGAGGUAAUUCAUCAACAUUGUUGUGCACCCUUAAGUGAAAGCAAUAGUCUCAAGUUCUCCCAUUCUGUGCUUCUUCGACAGUAUAUCCUACAUAAAUUUCAUAUAGUUUGGCAUUUGCUCCAAAUCUUCUACUAGUGAUAUAUUAAUAUGUAGUUGCUUCAAGACCUCCAAAAACCUUUUGAACUGAACAUCUUGUUUAGAAUUAUGUAAUUUCUGAGGAAAAGAUAGAGGUGGUCGCCCUUCAGGUUUCUGAUAUUGUUUUCCUAUAGCGUUUUUAUUGGCAGCCUGAUCUAGUUCUGCCACAGCAUUCUUCUGCUUACCCUUUUCAAGUGUAAUAUGUUUUUCAGAUGGCUUUGGGAUCUUCACAUGGUUGUUAUUUGAGUUAUCCUCUCCUGCUGUGGCAUCUUGAACAACAUCAUUUAACUGAGUUCCACUUCUAAGAGUGAUCACUUUGCACUGUUCUUUCCCUUAUGUUAUCCAAUUCUAGGUAUCGUUGGCAAUGCUCCUUGUGGCCUCAAAUUUAAAGCAUUUGCUAUUUGCCCCACUUGAUUCUCAAGAGCUCGUAGGGACAUAGCUUGACUAAGGUAUCUUUCUUGGCCAUAAAUUAUUUCAACAAGUCUUCAAUAGAUGGUGAUGAUAAUGACUGGCCUUGUUGUACAUUUUGCCUCAGCAUAGGAUGAUUAUAACUAGGCGAUGCACUAUCGGCAUUCUUCUUGUAGCAUUGUUAAAAUUCCCCUCACCUUGAUUAUUCCAACUAAAGUUUGGAUGUUGUCCCCACCUUGGAUUAUAGGUGUUGGAAUAGGGAUUAUUAUUCCAAUUGAAAUUACCUAUGUAGCACAGGAAUGUUGGGUUUGGUGGGAAUUCAUCCAACACGUGGUCAUCACCACAAUAAACACAUGCUAGCCUAAUAGCUUUCACCUCCUGAACUGUAGUUGGUAUCUCUAUCAUCUUGAUCAUAUUAGUUAAAGAUGAAACAUGGGUAGUCAAUGAAGUGAUUGUAUCAAGUUCCAUGGUACCAGCAGCUUUCUUACCUGUUCAAACUCUCGUGGUAGGAUAUUGAUAAUCAUUGCUGGCAAUCUUUUCCAAAAUCUCAUAUGCUUCAUUAUAAGAUUUAUCCAACAAAAUACCAUUGGUGAAGGCAUCAAUUACCAUCCUCAUAUGCGCAUUCAUUCCAUUAUAAAAUAACUCCAUCUGUGUCUAGUGCUGAAAUCCAUGCAUCGGGCACUUCUGAAUGAAGUCUUUAAAUCGCUCUCAAGCUUCAUAUAGCGUUUCAUCAUCCAAUUGCCGAAAAGAUGUGAUGUCAUUUCUAAGCUUGGCAUUCAUAUUUGGAGGAUUAUAUCGUAGAAAAAAACUCUAGCAAAGAUCAUUCCAUGAUGCUACUAUUCAGUACGGCAGAGCAUUCAGUCAUGCUCUCACACGAUCUCUUAAAGAAUAUGGAAACAGUUUAAGUCGCAAAGUGUCUUUAGGCACACCCUACUGUCUCUAUGAGUCAUAAACCUCUAAAAAAAGUCUUAAAUGAAGUAUUGGAUCUUUAUUAGGUAAUCCACUUAACUGUCCUACUGUUUACAACAUCUAAAAUAUUACCAGUUUCAGCUCAAACUACUGAACUUGUAUUUGUGGUCUGACUAUCUCUGGAUUCAAAUCAUCCAAAAUUAGCACAACAUGCUCUCAAAUUGGUCUAUCUCGGUCAUCUAUCACUCUACGAACAUGAAGAUUAGCAUCCUGACCAUUCAAAUUAUCAUUGAGACUAGGAUCAUUUUCGUUUCUAGCAUCAUAGUUCUUUUCACCUUCUUCGUAAAGUUAUUUCGAUGUCUGGGUUAAAAGGAUACUCUUUGUUAGCAGGAAUAUCUUUUCUCAUGUACUGAUGGAAAACUUAUAGAAAAAUAUAACUAAGUUAAAUAAAACUAAUGGAGCUAAGUGAAAUAACAAAACCAAUUUUUAGGAAAUUGUCAAUCCCUGGCAACGGUGCCAAAAAAUUGUCGCGUGUGAAUAUGAUAUGUGAAUUGUGCAAGUAUACACGUUGGAUCAACUAAUAAAAUGAUAAGUGAGUAUCAUUCCCAUGAGGUUCCGAUUGAUGCACAAAAGUGGUCAAGUUAUUAUAAUAGAGUGUUAUUAAUGCUAUGGCAAAAACAACGAUAAGUAUAAAGGAGUAGUGAUGUAUGUAAUAUGUGGAAUUUAAUGAAUACAUGGAAAUGUUAUGGAAAAACAAAAGUAGAAAUGUAAUGGAAAUUAUGAGAAUUACUACGGGAAUAUUAUGUAAAUGAACAAAUAAAUAACUAAUAAUGAUGUGACAAAGAUACUAUGGCAAAGAACAAAGGAUAUACGAUGUUGAUUUGGAAUGUUGGAAUUACUAAGAAUCUACCCUUACUGUCAGAGAUGCCUCGAAAAAAUCAUAAUUAAUUUACUACUUAGAAGAGUUCUAAAGUGGUCUGCUUCUUUCGAGAGCAAAAGUCUCAAGUUACCUUACCCAUGACAAUAUGCCUUUAAUACGAUACCCUGCACUAUUUCUUUCUGUAUGAAUGUUGCUCUAUAUCUAAAGUCUACUACAAGCAUCUAUUGAAUACUUGCUCAUAUCAUUCAAUUUUGGUCCAACUAAUCCAACUUUUUCAAAAUUAAAUUAGUUUAUGUGCAUGCUACAUAGUCUCUAUGUCUAGGAAUUGCACGCUUAUAAUUUAGAAAAAAAUAAUUAAAUGAAACAGUAAAUUAAUUCAAAUCUAUGCUUCAACCAUUAAAGAAAAUAAAGGUUUCAUCAUGUAAUCUCAACCCUAUGAAAUUUAGCUCAUGGGUUGGCACAUAAAAUUUAAAACCAAAAUAACAUCCAACACCAUUUUCAUCAUUCCAUUCAAGGAAGAACAAAGGAAGAAAAGUAUAAGACUUUGAGAAUACAACUUUUGCAUGUCAUGUUCACACUCCAACAACAUAAUUCAGGCGAUGGCUAAGAGGGACUACUUUUGUCUUCCUCUUUUUGUCUCUACUCAGUCGCUACCCUCUAUUUUUGCCUAAGGAUCUGUUACUUUUUGUUCGUCAUUUAGGGUUUCCUCCUUUGGCUUCUUAUAGCUUUUUUCCUUGGGUAAAUCCAACAAAUCAUGUUUAUCUUCUCCUCUUUUUAAAAUUUUUUUUCUAGAAUAAAAAUAAACAUCCCAGGAUUAUCUUCUCCUCUUUUAGGUACAUUUUUUUGGUAAAACUACAGUUGGGCUGAAAUUGGUAUGCAUUGAGUGUUGACUCGGUCUUCCUAGAAUUGCCACAGCAUUCGUGCUAACCAAAUGUCCAACCUUUUGCCCUGGUAAACCUUUACUCCUUUAUUUCUCAUUCCUCAACCUGCACCUGCCAAAGCACCAAACACAACCCUACCAUAAGCAAUUAAAAGUAUCUAUUAUUGAUUUUUUUUGGUAAGUGGUAAUAGGACUUGUAACUAAUAUAGUUUUGGAAAAAAUAUAAUUUUUUUAGAAUCUUUGAGGCAUAUUUUCGAUUGGUAAAUGAGGAGUUUUGAAUCAUAAAAUUAUGAUUUUAUGUUCUACCCCAUGAGACCUUUACAACGAGAUAUCAUAUGCUCAAAAUGGUUGAGUGAUGAAUGAGAAAUUGAUGCUCAAAGUAAGCUACUUGGAAAUUAUGUUGAGAAAAAUGAAAAAGCAUUAAUCCCACAUUUAUUAGGAAUCAAGUGUGGAACUUGUAUAUAUAUGUAAAUCAACUUGGUGGUUAUUAAAUGAGUAAACUAAUGCUCUCCCUCGUGCGCAGGGGGUGCAAAUCUAAAUCCACUGAGGUUGGGGCACACCCGCACGACAUGGGCGUUUCCAAGAUUUUACUCAAAUUGAUUUAAAGGCUUCUUUAAUGCAUAUUUGUAUCUUUAUUCAUGGAAAUUUCUAAAAUUCUUCCACAUUGAAUGCUUAUAAAAGCCUAAAUUCUUUAAAGACACACAACGAAUUUAUUUCACUCUCGAAAAUUCUAUUCCUUUUCUCUCCAAAAUUUUCAAAUGUCCGGUGAUAGAAGAAUGCAAGGUUUGUUCGUUGAUCACUGCAGACGUACUACUGCCGCAAUCAUUUUGUUAUUGUAUCCUGGGAGACAGAUGACCAACAUUUCUCUAAGUACCAUAGGAGCAGCUGAAUCUGUCUUAAGGAAACUGUGAAAACAGGCCUCAGCAUCUAGUAAAACUCGAUUUCCUUAUUCAAUUUCUGGUUUUUCAAUAUCUUGUUUAUAUAAUUAUUUUUUAGAUUUGAUGUUUUAAAUAAAUAUUAAUAUUUAUUUAAUUUAUUUUGUUUAGAUCUGGUGUUUUUACACAAAUAUAGAUAUUUGGUUAUAUUAUUUGUUCAAGAUAUUAUAUUUAAUAUAAAUAUUUACAUUUAUAUUUGUUCGCUAACGUGUUUUGUCCAACAAUAUUAAGACAGAUUUUUAUUAUUUUAAAAUUCUCUAAUCCGAGUAGAACGAGGCACGAAGGCGAAAAAAACAUAUUCUGUCUAAGGAAAAAAUUAAAUUGAAUAAAAUCUAUUUCGGGAUUUAUGAUUGUCGUUCAAUAGAUUUUAUUCCUUUUUUAUUUUGUUUCCAAACAAGAAUUAAUUGAAUAAUUCUAUUUCAGAAUUUAUUCUCGCAUCUCAACAGAUUUUAUUCUAUUUUGAUUUUGUUUCCAAACAAUAAUUAAAUAAAUAAUUCUAUUUCGAGAUUUAUUCCCGCCAUUUAACAGAUUUUAUUUGAUUUUGAUUUUGUUUCCAAACAAGAUUUAAUUAAAUAAUUUUGUUUCAAGAUUUAAUCCUGUCGGCCAACAAAAUUGAUUUUAAUUUUAUUUCAGAAUUUUAACUCUUCCAUUUAACAAAAUCAAAGGGUAAUAUAAAUUUUAAAUUAAAUUUUUUAUUUAUUGUGGCUUUAAUUGUGGCUUUAAAUUGUGAAAGCUUAAAUUGUAGCUUCAAACUUGUGACAUCAAAGAAAAAAAAAUUUAUCAACGGUGAAUUAAAAAAGACAAUAUGAGAGUGCAUGUCUAGGAUUGGUUCUUUGAAAGACUUGGUAUUUAAGCGUGCCAAGUGCACCACCUCUCUUUCAGGGUUACCUACCUGGCACAUUUUUUUUGUCUUUCGAUUAGACCGUGUAAACUUUUGUUUCAAGUUUUAUUAAAUUCCUAUCGUCUAGCAAAAGUUGAUAAUUUUUUUCUAAUUUUGGUUUUGUUUCUGAAAUCUUAACAGAAAAUGGAAACUCCCACCAAUGCUAUGGAAGAUAUGGACUUAUGUGCUGUGAUUUUUGGAGUCAACAUGGUUGACUCACAUCCAAGAGAAUAGUGGCUUGAUACUAGUGCCACACGUCAUAUUUGUUGUGACAAAGACUUCUUUUCUGAGUUGGAGCCUUGUGAAGAUAGGGAGAAGCUCUAUAUGGGCAAUGCUAUGACUUCCAAGAUCAAGGAGAAUGGUACUAUAGUCUUGAAGAUGACUUCUGGUAGAGAACUCAAGCUUCAAAAUGUGUUGUAUGUGUUUGACAUACGCAAGAACCUUAUUUCUGAGACACUCCUUAGUGUACACGGUUUUAAGACGGUGUUUGAAUCCCAGAAGCUAGUUUUGUCUAAAGGGUGAAUGUUUGUGGGAAGGGGAUAUGUAUUAAAUGACAUAUGGAAACUUAAAGCAAUCUCUGUAAAAUCAAAAACUAUGAAUAAGAGUGUUGUUUCUUCUUCUAUUUAUAUGCUUGAGUCAUUUAAUUUAUGGCAUGGUAGGCUCGGACAUGUUGAUUAUGAUACUUUACAUAGAUUAAUUAAUUUAGAGCACAUUCCUUCAUUUCACAUUAGUUAUAAACAUAAAUGUGAAACUUUUGUUGAGGAAAAAUUAACAAUGCUUUCGUUUGAAACUAUUGAAAGAAAUAUAGAACCACUCGAUCUAAUACAUAGCAAUGUUUGUGACUUAAUGUUUGUUCAAACCAGAGGAAGGAAUAAAUAUUUUAUUACCUUCAUUAAUGAUAGCACAAAAUAUUGUUAUGUAUAUUUGCUUCAGAGCAAAAACGAAGUUAUAGAGAAAUUUAUUCUCUAUAAACAGGAAGUUGAAACCUAACUUAAUAACUAAGAUGGUAAGAAGUGAUUGUGGUGGUAAAUAUGUUGAACCAUUUAGUGAAUACUGUGCACAACAUGGUAUUAUUCAUGAAGUGACACCACCAUACACUUCUCAAUCAAAUGGAAUAACCGAGCGAAAAAAUCAGACUCUAAAGGAAAUGAUGAACGCAUUACUAGGAAGCUCUGGGUUAUCACAGAACAUGUGGGGGGAAGCUAUUCUAUGAGCUAAUUACCUUUUAAAUAAGGUUCCCUACAAGAAAAUGGACAAUACACCAUAUGAGUUAUGGAAAGGUAGAAAACCUUCCUACAACUACUUGAAACUGUGGGGGUGUCUUGCAAAGGUAAUGGCUCCAUUACCAAAGUAAAUGAAAAUAGGUCUUAAAACGGUGGAUGUAUUUUCAUAGGCUAUGUAGAUCAUAGAAAUACAUAUAGGUUUUUUGUGUAUGAAUCAAAGAAUCCUGACAUUCACAAGAAUAUUAUAUUGGAAUCAAUGAAUUCUUUAUUCUUUAAAAAUAUCUUCCCUUAUAAAGCUAGGGAAGUUUAUUCAAGUUCAACAAAAUGAACUUCAGAGACUAUAGAAGAAAAUAGUCAAGACGAGGUUAAAACUAUGAUAGAGCCAAGAGUAAACGAGUAACACUGCAAAAAUCUUUUGGAUCAGAUUUUCUAACCUUUAUGCUAGAUGCUAAACCUCAAACAUGUGAUGAUGCUAUACGGUCAUCUAAAAGCACUUCAUGGAAAGAUGCUAUUAAAAGUGAAAUUGACUCCAUCAUGUAAAAUCAUACAUGAGAAUUAGUGGAUCUUACUCUAGGAAUUAAACCAUUAAAUUCUAAGUGGAUUUUUAAAUGAAAAAUGAAAGCAGAUGAAACAAUUAACAAGUACAAGGUCAGAUUGGUUAUAAAAGGUUAUAGAUAAAAAAGAAGGCCUACUUUGAUACUUUUUCUCCAAUAUCCAGGAUAACUUCUAUAAGGAUGAUACUUGCAAUUGUCGCCUUAUAGAAUCUAGAAGUACAUCAAAUGGAUGUUAAAACAACUUUCCUAAAUGGAGAUCUUGAUGAAGAAAUUUACAUAGAACAACCUGAGGGUCAUGUAAUUCUAAGACAAGAAAGGAAAGUUUGUAAAUUGGUGAAGUCUUUAUAUGGACUUAAGCAAGCACUAAAACAAUGGCAUUAAAACUGUUCGACAAUGCCAUGAUGACAAAUGGCUUUAAGAUUAAUGAAUGUGAAAAUUGUGUGUAUGUCAAAACUACCGAUAUUGGAUAUAUAAUCCUAUGCUUAUAUAUUGAUGACAUAGUCAUUGUUGGGAGUAACAAUGAAAUGGUAAAACGUGCCACAGACAUGUUAAAUUCAACGUUUGACAUGAAAGAUAUGGGACUAGCAAAUGUGAUUUUAGCAUCCAAAUUAAGAGGUCAUAUGAAGGUCUGAUAUUGACUUAGCCACACUAUGUGGACAAGAUUCUUGGGAAAUUUAGCAAGGAUGAUUCCGGUAUAGCCAAAACUCCAAUAGAUACAAGCCAACAUUUGUCCAAAAAUAAAGGUGAAAGUGUUGACCAAGUGGAAUAUGCAGGGGUCAUAGGCAGUCUAAUGUACCUUAUGAGUUGUACUAGACCAGAUAUUGCUUUCACUGUGAGCAGUUUAAGCAUAUUCACAAGCAAUCCAGGGGAAAACCAAUGGAAAGUAAUUGUGAGGAUACUGAGAUAUCUUAGAUAUACUCGGGACUAUGGAUUGCAUUAUUCCAAAAAUCCUAUUGUUUUAGAAGGAUUCUCCUGUGCCAGUUGGAUAUCUGAUAUUCAAGAUACCAAAGGCACAAGUGGAUAUGUUUUUACAUUAGGAGGAGGAGCUAUGUCAUGGAAAUCCCCAAGACAAACGAUUAUAACCAGAUCCAUAAUAGAAUCUGAGUUUGUAGCUCUAGACAAAUCUGGAGAAAAGGCUAAAUGGCUUCGAAACUUCUUGGAAGAUAUUCCUGACUGGCCAAAGCCUGUGCCCACAAUAUGUAUAUAUUGUAACAAUCAAGCAACAAUUGGUAGAGCACAAAAUGUAAUAUAUAAUGGUAAGUCAAGACAUAUGCGUCGUUGACACAAUACUUGUAGACAACUGAUCUCAAAUGGAGUUAUCUCUAUUGAUUUUGUAAAAUCAAAAGAUAACAUUGUGGAUCCGCUAACUAAAUGCUUAAAUCGAGAUCAGGUUAAUAAAACAUCGAAAGGAAUAGGACUAAAGCCCAUGGAAAUUAAAGGCGCUAUGUAAAGGAAAACCCAACCUAGUUGACUGGAGAUCCCAAAAUCUAAGUUCAAAUGGACAACCUAAUUGCAUAGGCCUUGUGAGGUCACUAUAGGGGUUCUUAUUCCAAGUCCGUUCCUAUGAAAUAAACAGUAAUUUAAAGUGAGAUAGGUUAAGUAAAGCUUUUAAUGACCAUUGUGUGUUUCGGAAAGCCAAGCAACAUAAGUCACCUAUGUUAGAGUGAAGUGGGGCCGCUUCGAGGAGACUAUUGUGCAUAGUUCUCUCAAAAUCUUGCAGAACCAGGAAAUGUUCAUGGUCAUAUAAACAUACCUAUGAGAACGAAGACCUUGCUAGGGAGGUAGUUGUGUAAGGUAUAUCAUUGUUUACACAAACGACAGAACAGUUCAAGGAUAUUGCGUCAACUAGUCAGCUAGUAAAAUAAAUAUACUUUCACAAUGUAAGGUUCAAGGGUUGAUGUCUGCCUAUCAUAUGCAACUAUCAAUCGUAGAAUCUAUCACCACAUCCAGCCAAUGUUUUUCAUUAAACCUAUCAAUUUCAUUCAUGUGGGGUAUUGUUGGAAAAAUAUGAUUUUUUGGAAUCUUUGAGGCAUAUUUUCGAUUGGUAAAUGAGGAGUUUUGAAUCAUAAAAUUAUGAUUUUAUGUUCUACCUCAUGAGACCUUUACAACGGGAUAUCAUAUGCUCAAAAUGGUUGAGUGAUGAAUGAGAAAUUGAUGCUCAAAGUAAGCUACUUGGAAAUUAUGUUGAGAAAAAAUGAAAAAGCAUUAGUCCCACAUUGAUUUGGAAUCAAGUGUGGAACUUUUAUAUAUAUGUAAACCAACUUAGUGGUUAUUGAAUGAGUAAACUAAUGCUCUCCCUCGCGCGCAGGGGGUGCAAAUUCAAACCCAUCGGGGUUGGGAAACACCCGCACGACGUGGGUAACGCGAAAUGUCCGGAUCGAUCAGGCCCUUUUAGGCCUGCGAAUAUUUUAGCCCAAUACGUAUUUAUUUAUUUUUUUGAGCAGAUAUUAUACAGAAUCUGUUUUAAAAGAACAAAUAUCUCAUUUUGAUUUGAUUCCAAUCAAAUUUGAUUUUAUUUUAUUCAAAUUGAUUUAAAGGCUCCCUUAAUGCAGAUUUGUAUCUUUAUUCAUGAAAAUUUCUAAAAUUCCUCCACAUUGAAUGUCUAUAAAAGCCUAAAGAAUAUUGCAGAAUUCUUUAGAGACGCACAACGAAUUUAUUUCACUCUCGAAAAUUCUAUUCAUUUUCUCUCCAAAUUUUUCAAAUGUUUGGUGAUAGAAGAAGGAAAGAUUUAUUUAUUGAUCACUGCAGAAGCACUACUCCCAUGAUCAUUUUGUUGUUGUUUCUUGGGAGACAGACGAUCAACGUUUCUCCAAGUACCAUAGGAGCUGUCGAGUCUAUCUUACGGAAACUGUGAAAACAGGCCUCAACAUCUAGUAAAAUUCGAUUCUCUUAUUCGAUUUCUAAUUUUUCAAGAUCUUGUUUAUUUAAUUAUUUUUUAGAUAUGAUGUUUUAAAUAAAUAUAAAUAUUUAUUUAAUUGAUUUUGUUUAGAUCCGGUGUUUUUACAUAAAUAUAAAUAUUUGUUUAUAUUAUUUGUUCAAAAUCUUGUAUUUAAUAUAAAUAUUUAUAUUUAUAUUUGUUCACUAAGGUGUUUUGUCCAAACUAUAGCUUCUCAAUAAUUGUCAAAUAUUAUAGUGAUAUGCUUUUUCUUUCAAUAAUUCAUAUCUUCAAGAUUAAAAGGUUUACUUUAGUAUUAUUCUAUUUAUUGAGUGUGUAUUAAUGUUUUGUACAGGAAUCCGUUGGAUUUUGGUCUUGUAUAAAUUAGCUGUGGUUGUGGGUAAAUAAAUGUGUGCCGUUCUUCAUUCUCCGAACAUGCUGAAUAUAAUUAUUGGCAUUUCAAGUGUGGCAUAAUAUAAAACAAUGGUUGGCUUCAUCAUAAUCUGUUUGGAGACUAACGGACCACACUUUGACCUCCAAAUUUAGAAAAUAUUUCCAGAGUUGGAAAUUGUAAUUGUAAUACCCUAAUAUUUGUACACCGCAGUGAACAUGGACAAUCAUGUCAUGAUGCAGAACCAGAAAAUGGUGCCAACUCUCCUUCUUCUCCCCCUCUUUCUUCCAAAACUAUAUCCUCGAAAAUGGUGACAUCAAACUUCCUUUCGUUUAUCAAAGGUUCACCCCUCACAUUACAGGGUCCUGUUCGUAUCUCAAGGCAAUCAAACAUGGAAUCCAUAUAUAUGAUUCUUCCCCAAUCCUUGUUGUAGAUUCUUUGGGGAUACAAGCCUUUUUGUUUGUAUUUAAAUACAAAAAAGGGAGAAAGAAAAGUGCCAUCUACAACUGCAUGCUAAUGAUUGCCAAAAUCACUGUUUGUUUUGUUGGAAGGCUUUCAAUCUUGCGGGGUCUUGAAGAGCCUGUUUCAGUAACUUGCCAUUAAUUCUCUCUUACAUUCCAAUCCUAAAAAAUGCUUCCAUCUUUUAGCUGCAACAGUUUAUAAUCAUCAGAAAGGUCUAGUCAGAAUAAUAUUACCUUCUCCUUUUAAACAGUUUUUUUUUUUUAAAUCAUGCCACUACAACUGUAGCUGCGCUCAUGUUAACAAUUAAUUCCUAUAAUCGACAUCAAAAUUAUAUGAAAGAAUUAACACUUGGUUACCGAGUUACCAUAUUUGAAGAUAACGCGAAAGGUAAAAACACAAAAGGCAAGCAUGACCAAGCAAACAAGGUAUGGACAUUGAUUUUUUUGAAUCGGGAAUGACCAAAUGGGACCGUGAAGAGGUGACAAAGGAGAAAUCAGGCAUUCACGGUUUCCAUUGGAUGAAAUGAGAUAAGAUCACUGUGCUUCUUCCACGUGGCAGGUUGCCAAAGAUAAGGCUUUACCAUUCAAGAAAAGUUUCCACCCUCUUUGUGGUCAUUAUGGUUGUAAUGUCAUCUGAUUUAGGAUCCAACGGUCACCCUGUCUCCCAAACCAAUCUCUAAAUGUGGUGAGCUUAGACCAAAUUUUAUGACUAUAUAUAGGGGAUUGCACCAAGGCAGUGACACUAUUAAGGGAUCAGUGAGACUCUUUUGUAUACCUGUAGCAUAUAGUAAUAGUAAGCAGUAAUAGCAAUGGCCUCCUCCAUGAUCUCAUCGGCAACCAUUGCCACCGUGAACCGCUCCUCCCCGGCACAGGCCAACAUGGUGGCCCCCUUCACCGGCCUCAAAUCUGCCUCUGCUUUCCCAGUCACCAGGAAGGCCAACAACGACAUCACUUCUCUUGCAAGCAACGGUGGGAGAGUGCAAUGCAUGCAGGUACUUGGUGAUGCAUAAAUACCACUUAAAUUACCCCAAGUGUUUGAACACAACAAAUUACAUAAAUUGAAUCAAAUAUAUAUCUUGGCUUUUGAGUACAGGUGUGGCCGCCUCUUGGGAAGAAGAAGUUCGAGACUCUCUCAUACCUGCCCGAUCUUACUCCCGUACAGUUGGCUAAGGAAGUAGAUUACCUUCUUCGCUCUAAAUGGAUUCCUUGCUUGGAAUUCGAAUUAGAGGUGUUUUGGAGCUCUAAAUUAUUCCAUUCCUCCUCUUAAUUUUUUUAGUGGGAUAUUUGAGUUGAUUAAGUGUGUUUUAUAUGUAUGUGCAGGAGGGAUUCGUGCACCGUAAGUACUCGAGCUUACCCACGUACUACGAUGGACGCUACUGGACCAUGUGGAAACUGCCCAUGUUCGGGUGCACCGACUCGGCUCAGGUGUUGAAGGAGCUUGAGGAAUGCAAGAAGGAAUACCCCAAUGCAUUCAUUAGAAUCAUUGGGUUCGACAACGUUCGUCAAGUGCAGUGCAUUAGUUUCAUUGCCUACAAGCCUGAAGGCUACUAAGUUGUUUACUUCCCUCCUAGGAAUUCCAUUUGUUUCAAAGUUGUACUUAAAUUAAGCCCCUCAAGCCCCCCCCCCCUUUUUCUUUUUCUUUUUUAGUUGAGUUAUUUGGCUUGGGGUCUCUCUUUGUUUUGUUUUUGGAUUUCCAAUGGAACGGCUGAGAACUAAUGAAUAAAAAGGUAGUUUCUUGCCAUAUUUCAUGAAUCCAGUUCUUCCUCCAUUUUCAGUGCUAAGAUAUUCAUGUUAAGAUAGGAUAAAAAUUAAAAGAAAAAAAGGUGAUUGGGUGGUCUGGCUUUAAAAUAAGAGGAUAAAGAUUUUGUGGACAAGCAACGCUGUGCUGUUGGAGGCUCAUUAUCUUAGUACAUAGGAAUACACCAAAGAAACCAUUUUUAUUAAAUUGUUUUAUUAUGACAUCACAAGUUUCUAUUAUUAAAAUAACAACUUAAAAAGGCUAAAUUCAAAUAUAUAUAUAUAUAUUCUGCAUUCAAUCUAUUUCCUCGUUAAAUAUUAAAAUCACUAUUGGUAUAGUGAUAAAUGAUUUGCAUUACAUAAGUUUUAGUUGACAUCUUCGAGCUUAAUUUAAAAAUAAUAAUAAUAAAUUUAAUACAUAAUAUAUUUUUAUUUUAUCAUUUUCACCCUAAAUUUUUUUUAAAGUCAAAUAAUAGUUUGUUUUGAAUAGAAAAAUUGAAGAAACUAUUAAAUUUUUAAUAACACCAUGUGACAAUUUAUAUGACAGUUUACAUAUAUUUCAUUAUUUAUGUAGAUAAUUUUUUAAAAGAAAUUACAAUUUUUUUAAAAAUAUUAUUUUUAAUUUUAUAAAUUACAUCAUGCAAACUAUUGCAUCAAUGCCAUUUAAAUUUAAAAGAUGUAGUCACUUUUUCCAUCUAAAAAAAGCAAUUUAACUAAUUUUCAAGGUUGACGGUAAAAUAUCCAAAAAAAAUAAAAUAAAACUAAAAUACUAAAAAAGUAUUGAAUUUAUUAUUAUUUUAAAAAUAAUGAUUAUGAUUUUCUUUAUUAGUUUUUAACCCAACAUGGAAAAGGAAAACCAUAAUAAUGCUUAUUAAUUAUAAUAUUGAAUAAUACUAGUAGCUCUAUGUUCUUAAACUCAAUUUCAUUACAAAAAUUGUAACUCAAAGGGUUAGGAUUUUUUGUUUUCUAAUUUGUGAUUAAUUAGUGGACUAUAAUUUCCAUUCUCUUUUUUAUAUAAAAAAAACCCUAAUAUUAAGGAUAGCUACAUUUGUGGAGGAACCAAAAGAUAGAGAAAUUCAGAUAAGAAUUGUCUCCCUCUCCCUCUCAGUCGAAGUGCGUCAAUAAUUGGAAUAGAGCUCUAAAAAUGCAAUUCUAGAAAAAAAAAUUUGCCUAUCAGAUAUUAGUUUAAAUAUUGGUUAAAUUGCAAUUCGAAUAAGUAAUUAGGAGUAGAAAAUAUAAAAAAUGACACUAACGUAAUUCAAAAAAUUUCACCAUGUAUAAGGUUUUGCUCAAAAAUUGACAUUAAAAAUUUGUUCGCACGGUUCAAAAAAAAUUUCCAUUUAUAAGGUCUUACUUAAACAUUAAAAUAUAAUUUAAAUUAAACUCACUCUCAUUAAAUUUUUUUUAAAAAAAAGCUUAGUUAUAAACUAAUCGAUAAAAAUAUAUUACUUACAAAGAAUUUACACUCAGAUAGAUUUCUAAUAUAAACAGAAUAAAUACUCUCUCAACUCCUCUAAAAAAAUCGAAAAUACAUUUAAAUAGGCAUUAUGGUAAUUUUUAAAAUGGUAAUGUGAUCAAAAUGAAUAUGGGAAAUCUCAUUUCAAUUAAAUAACUUAUUAUAAAAUAUAAUAAAAGAGAUUUUCUUAAAUCAAUCUCUUUUAAAUGAGGUAGGCAUAUUACAUAAAGAUUCUUUGAAAUUUUUCACUUCAUUCAAUUUUUUUCAAUAUUGUAAUUUACUUAAAAAUAUAUAAAUAUAUACAUGUUAAGUAAAUUAUAAUAUUUUGUCGACUUUUGGCCUUUCCUUAAGUCGCAACUAACAUUAUAACUGAUGUUAACAAAAUUCAUAAUUGUUUCUCUACCAUGUGUAGCCUAAAAAUGUUAAGAUUAGAGAAGCAAUACGUAAAAGAUAAAGAAAAGAACCAUAAAAGUCAUUGUUUUUUUUUUUAAUUUUAAGAUAUGUUUUAAAAAAAAAAAGAAAUUAAAGUAUUUAUUCUGUUAAAUUGGAUAGUAAUUAUCUAAAAUUUUAAAAUACACACUAAAACAUUCUCAAUCAUUAAAAUUUUUUAUUUAUAUCUUACGGCCUGUUUAGUAUUACUUCUCAGAAGUAUUUUUUAAGAUAAAAUGUAUUUUUGAGAUAAAAUAUAUUUUAAAAAAGUACUUUCUUUACCAAAAGUAAGAGGAAAUUUAAACUUUAACUCAAAAAUACUUUUUAACCCAAAGCGCUUUUAAAAAAUAUUACUAAAUUAUCUCUUGUAAGUACAAAAAAAAAUAUAUCAAAUUUGAAAAUAUAUAUAUUUCGCAGGUUACUGAAAUAUCUUAAAUAUUUGAGAAAAACCAACCAGAAUAAAUCCAUCCAAUGGAAUACUGAGAAAAAAUAAAAUAAUAGUUGUAAGAAAAUGAGUGGCGUCACAUUUACACUAAUGGUUUCCCAAGUGGUACAUGAGAAGUUUUUAAGGCUCCUAUAAAUUUAUUUUCGGGACCAUAAACGUAGACCUACCAAUAAUUGCAUUUGUUUUCUUUUUAUACUUUUAUAACUCAUAAUAUUGUAUAUUUAUAUAAAUCCCAAUUUUUUCACUCAUAUAAAAUAUAGUGUUAAAUUCGAAUGAAAAAAGAUGUUAAAUUUGUGUUGGGUAAAAAUAUAAGAAUUUUAUGUUAUUUGCAAAAUAUUCCGUGGUAUUUAUGUUAGAACCGUAAAUAAUAUCUAAUAUAAAUUAAAAUUGUAAAUUAGGAUCUGUCAUGUCAAAUUAUUAAGAAUAUAAAUCAAGAAAAAAAUUAGAUGCGGGAGCAUACUUAAAUUUACCGAUUUCUUGAAAUCUACGGAUCUUGGAGUUUUGAUCUUCCAAAUUAGCAUAUAAGUAAUCUAAAGAAUGUGACUCUCUUUUGGCAUAAACAAAAACACCAAAGCAAUUCACGCAUAUACGUGUAUUCAAAAUCAGAUAGAAAAAACUUAUCAUGCAUAUAUAAUGUAAAUCUAAAAUUGUAUUAAUGAUUAAACAGAGAUUUGCAUGAAUACUUGAAAAAUACAUUCAAGCUAAUAAAUCUCAAAAAAUAAAAUCAUAAUAGUUAAUAUAUCCCAUAGUUCAUAUUGUAGACCAUAUCAACAUAAUUUAACUAAAUAUUUGGAACCAUAAAAUGCCAAAACCUAAUGUUGUAGAACCAACCUUAAAACCAAAUUAUUUAAACAUGUACAUAGUUUACAUGAAUUUGCAUCAAACACCUGUCAAAUUGAAUAUAUAACCAUAACAGAUAAAAAAAAUUAACAACGUCAACGAUAUCCAUCAAAACUUAAUGUCACCAAUUAAUCUAUAAAAUGUAUCUUAUUGAAUAAUGGUUAUAAACACCUAUCCACGCAAACUAUAAUCAUGUAUUAAUCCUCAAAAUCAUUGAUAUGCAUAAUAUAUAUACAAUAUAAUAAUAGAAAAAUAAUACUGGCUUGCCUUACAUAUUUUAUGUAAACUCAAAUUUAUAUAUAAAACUUAUUUAUACGCACAAACACUUAAAAAAAUCCAUAACCACCAAAUAUAAAAACAAUCCCAAAUUAUAUAAAGGCCUUCAGCGCAACUACUUAUAAAAAUUUAUAGCCACCAUAAAAAAAACCCAAAUAUUGUAAUUUUAGUCGGGUUCCAUAAGAAACUUAUAUAAAAUAAUUAUAACAGAAACCAAGUAAUCAUUCGUAUAUAUGAAUUGAAUUCAAUCGUGAAUAUAAUUCAUCAUGAAUAAAGACAAAAGAUGAUAAUUCCAUAUACAUUUAACCACAAAUAGAAAAUUUAAAAUAAAUACUGCAGAAAAAAAUAUCUUAACAACAUUUAUUUAUUCGAUUAUCAAGUGAAUUACUAUUCAAAACCAAUUAUAUAACCCAAUUGAAAUUCUUCAAUUGCAAAAAGUUGUAAGUCUGUAACUUUAAUCUAAUAAUAACUUUAACCAAAAUUUAUAAAAUAAGUGUGCGAAAAGGAGAGAAAGAAAUCUCACAAAUCUAUUUUUAUCAAUUGAUUAUAAAUAAAUAAAUAAACCUUCAUCUUUCGAAUAACAUACGCAAAUAUUAAACUAGAUUAUAUUUAUAAAACCCUAAACUUUAUUUAAAGAAUCAAAACCCAAAAAUUUUAUUAAGAAUCUCAAAGAUUUAACAUAGUAUAUAAUUAAAAUAUCAAAUCCAUAAAUUUAAAAAAGAAAAAUGAAUCAAUCCAAAAAUAAUAAAGAAUCAAUUCAUUCCCUAUUAUUCAACAUGACAAGCUCUAAUGCCACUUGUUAGAACCGUAAAUAAUAGCUAAUAUAAAAUUAGAACUAUAAACCAGGAUCUGUCAUGUCAAAUCAUAAGAAUAAAUCAAGAACAAAAUUAGAUGCGGAAGCAUAGCUGAAUUCAUCGAUUUCUUGAAAUCUACGGAACUUGGGGUUUUGGUCUUCCAAAUUAGCACACAAAUAAUCUAGAGAAUAUGGUUCUCCCUUUUCUAAAGAUGGGAUAUUAGAAAUGUUACAUUGUAUGUAAUUUGGAAACCAUAACCAUAAUAUAUAUAUAUAACUUUGGCACAUUAGCCCUAAUUUCUAAUCAACUCAUCAUCAAUUAAAAAUUAAUUACUAGAGUAUCUACACAUAUUUGACCCAUAUUUUUUUUAAUAAUUAAAGCCCAAUAAACCGUAACCAAAUUAAAUCACUUUUAAUUUAAACUAACCUAUUAAAAUAAUAAAUAAUAACAUGUAAUUACCAUUAUUAUUAUAUAUAAUAAUAUAUAAUACUAUUAUUAUUAUAUAUGUAAUGUCCAGAUUUCUAUCUAUUUAUAUAAAUCUCUCCUAAAUUAUGCUUUCACGAACUUGUAAGAGUCAAAACUGUCGAAAGCUACUUAUGGGGUGUGGCUGUAUAAUAGAUCGAUCAAGGUAGUGCUGAGCGAGUUUUUGUUUUUGUUUUUGUUUUUCUUAUAUAUAUACUCUAUACAGUUAGGUUGAUACACACGUGGAAGGAAUAUGUUAGAAAAAUUAAAUACUAAAAUAAGAAAUAAAAUAAUGGUUUAAAACAUGUAAAACAUUUUUCUUAAAACUUUAAAAUAUUUUUAAAUUACAUCAGCACUUCAAGUAAAAUAAUAAAAAUAUUAAUAAAAAUCCAUUUAUAUAAACAUCCAAUAGGUGAUAUAUCCUUUCAUAAGGAUAUAUAUUUUAAUGAAACACCCUUUUAUAAGAUUAUAUUGUUUUAUAAUAUAACUUUACAUAAAAUUAUAAUUUUAUUAGAUAAUUUUAUAUAUAAAAAUUUUAUCUUUACAAUACAAUUAUUUGAUAAAUAAUUAUAAUUUUUUUACAUAAUAAAAUAUUAUUACUACCAAUAUUAUAAACUAUUGCAAAAAGGAUACUCACACUAUAUAUUAGACCUGUCCAUGGGCCGGGCCGGGCCCAGAAAAAUUUUUGGCCCGCCUCUUAGGCCCGGGCCCGGCCCGAAAUAUGGACAUGAAAUUUUGCCCAGACCCGGCCCGAGAAAAAUAUCAUAAGUCCGAGCCCGGCUCGGCCCGGCCUAUUUUUAAUAAACAUUAAAAAAUUAUUUUAAAAAUAAAAAAUAAAAAAAAUUUAAAAGUAUUUUAAAAUUAAAAAAUAAAAAUAAAAAAUAUAUAUUUAUUAUAUUCGGGCCGGGUCGGGCCGGGCCGGGACCAAAAAAGUGAUGCCCGAGACCUUACCCGUUUUUUAAACGGGCCUUAUUUUUUUACUCAAGCCCAUAUUUCGGGCGGGGCAUUGGGUCGGGCCGGGCAUGGACAGGUCUACUAUAUAUGCACACCCUCCGUUCAAAGAGUGUUAUCUAAAUAAAAAUUUACCCAAUUCUUUAAAUCUAAAAAAUUAUAUAAAUCAAUAUCUUUUAACCACUAAACAAAACAUAAAAGUUAACGGUGGACAGUGAAUUGAGUUGAUUAUAUUUAGAACAUCACAUCACAGCCACAUCAGCUUCCAAAAUAAUAUGAAAAAGAGUUAUCCAAAUGUGAAGCUACCAAUGUCCCGACUCUUAGCUGCUUCAACCAUUCCAUUACUAUCUCCCAACCACCCUGCCUUUGCCUCCCCUUUCUUUAUUGAUCUCGUUCGCUCGCUUAAAUUUUAAUCCUACUUUUAAUUUUAUAUUUAUUAUAUUAAAAAUUCCAUUGAAAAAUAUUUCAAUAAUUAAUUGAGUUCUCAAAUAGGAUAAUACUCAAUUGAGUUUUUAAUUAAAUUUAACUACUCAAUCGAAUCCUCAAUCGAAUUUAAGCAAUUAAUUAAAUUCUCAUCUUUUAACAUUGUUAACUUGUCAAUGACUUCAUCACGUGUUAUGCCAGGGUUGUGCCCCGUAACGAAAUUUGGUAAUUUUUAUUAUAUUUAUUUUAAAAAUAAUAAAAAAUUUAAAAAAAUAAAAAAAGGCAUUUAAAAUUUUAGAACAUUAAAAGAAAAAUUAGACUUUAAAAAAAUUAUUAAAAAUUAUAAAAAUAGAAUUCAUUAAAAAGCAUAAUUUUUUUUGAAAUUUUAGAAAAAAAUUUAGAAAAAUAGAAUUUAGAAAAAUUAUAAAAAAAUCAUAAAAAAAUUGUAAAUAUAAUUUUUAAAAAUUAUAAAAAAUGGAAAUAUUAAAAUAUUAAAAAUAAUAGAAAUCAUUUAGAAAAUAAAAUAUAAAAUAUUUAAAAAUUAUAAAAAAAUUUAAAAAAUUAGAUAUUUUAGAAUUUUUUAUGCUUUUUAAUGAUUUUAUAAAAAAAACAUUUUUUAAUAAUUUUUAUAAAUUGUAUAUUUUUAAAAGUUUCAAAAAAUUUAGAUUUUUAAAAAUAUUUUUUUAUGAUUUUUUAUAAAAAAUUAAAUUACCAAAUUUCGCUACGUGGCACAACUCUAUUGUGCCACAUGAGGGAGUUAAUGUUGUGUAGGGGCUUCCACAGAAAGUGUUGAUUUGAAUGAUUAAUUGAGUGCUUAAGUUUGAUUAAGGACUCAAUUGAGUGUUGCUUUUGAUUGAGAACUCAAUUGUUUAUUGAAUUAUUUUCAAGUGACUUUUUUAUAUAAUAAGUAUUGUGGGGUGUGCCUCGCAUUUAUCGGAUAGUUUACAGACACUUACCAAAGUCAGCCAGCAAUGUCACGACGAGAAGCUUCUCGAAGUUGCGAUGACGGACGACAUUAUGAUGAUGUAAAUGAGGACGUUGCGAUGUGACAACGUGUUUCCCACAAACAUCGAAUUUCUUUUCCUAAUUAAACUAUGUUAUCUUUUCCCAGUCGAACUCUAAUUACUCUAGGGAUAUUUUAGUAAUAUUAUGACUUUAAUAUUAGCCUAUUUAAAUGGUUUUUGUAACCCUAUUUUAGAGAGUUAAUAUAGAAUAUCUCUUAUGUGAGAUUUGAUGAAGAGUUUUGGGGAGAGUUUUGGAAAGAGCUUUGUAUUUAGGUUUUUGAGUUUUGCUCUUUUAGGAUUAUUUUCUUUAUCUUGUACUCUCGUAUGUUUACUCAUCUAGUGAAAAGUUGAAGUCUCAUUUGCCCCUGUCCUUUUUAUCCUCUUAACUGAGGGUUUUCCACGUAAAUAUUUGUAUGUUUGAUCUUCUCUAUUUUCUUGUUCGUUGCUUAUAUGGGUCGAUCCUCAACAAACUAGUAUCAGAGCUAGGUUAUGUUUUUGCAAUCGACCCGUUCAAGUAUAAUGACAACGAUUUUGAUAUUGAAAAGUUCAAUGAAAUCAUAGAUUUCAUAUUGUAACAGUUUCGGAUAAAGUAAAGUGUUUAAAGCAAGGUUGGUUGCAAAGGGUGACAAUCAAGUGGAGGGAGUUGAUUUCCUCAAUGCUUUCUCUAUUGUUGUGAAGCACACAUCCGUUCAGGUAUCAUUGGCAUUGGUUGCAUUAUACAACCUUGAUUUGAAGACUAGGAGUCUUUCGGUUUCCAAGUUCGAGAACGGUUUGGGCUUGGUUGACAUUCUGCAAAGAUCAAGUUCUGCUUGUGGCGGGACCUGGAGAAUAAGGUACGGUAAAUACGAGUCAAGGUGAAGAUUUGUAGGGUGUGUCUCGUAUUUAUUGGAUAAUUUGUAGGCACUUACCAAAGUCAGCUGACGACGUCACGAUGAGAAGCUUCCAAACGUUGUGACGAUGAACGACUUCAUGACGACGCAAAUGAUGAUGUUGUGACAUGGCGACAUGUUUCCCACAAACACCGAGUUUCUUCUCUUAAUUAAACUCUGUUAUCUUUUCCUAGUCAAAAUUUAAUUACUUCUGGGAUAUUUUAGUCGUUUCAACCUUUUAAACUUAGUCUAUUUAAAGGGGUCAUUGUAUCCCUAUUUUAGAAAGGCAAUUAAAGAUGUAGUACUAUAGAACUUUUCUUUUGGGGACGACAAUAUGAGUUGCAAAUGAGUUUUAGUGAGAGUUUUCGUAGUAACUAUGGAGAGAAUUUAGUUCCCAAGUUAAGACUUUGUUUUCAAGGUUUGGGUCUGUACAUUUAAUACAUUUAGGUUUAUUUUCUUCAUCUUAUACCCUCGUUUGUUUACUCAUCUAGUAAAAAGUCGAAGCCUCCUUUGCCCGUGAUUUUUAUCCUCUUAAAUGAGGGUUUUCCACGUAAAUAUUUAUGUGUUCGAUCUUCUAUAACUUUUCUAUUUCGAUAUUUAUACAAGUCAAUCUCUAACAAAUAUUAAUUCUAGGAAUUUAAUAAUUGAAAAUCAAUUAAAAAUAUCAUUAAAAGAAUGUGAGAUAUAUAACAUUUUAAAAAUACUCAUGUAUCUAAUAUUGCAAACAUAAAUAAGCAAAAAAACAUUAAAUGUGGAGUUAUAAGGUUUCGAUUCUAAAUUAAAGAUGAUAAGUUUCUUCAGACUCUUUCAACGAAAGAGAUUAAAAGUUUAUUAUUUAUUUAUUUAUUUAUUUUGCUUACAUGAUUUCUACGCUUCUUUCAACCAGCCAAAUGAACCAUUUUCAUUUUAAAAAUGGCAUGUUAUCUAAUUUAAUGAAAUUCCUUAACCGCCUUAUUAACUGAAUUUUAAUUAUUAAAUUUUAAAAAAUAGAAUGAGUAAUUUAAAAAAAAAAAGCACUAAAUUUCAAAAGUAUAAUUAAACUAAAAAGUGACAAAAAAUCAUGUUCAAUCAUAGCUGCUGCUAUAAGGGAUUCGGAAGGUUUUGCAAUGGGUUCUUGUGUAGCUGCUAAGGUCAAAACCAGUCAUGAAGCAAAUGGGAAUUGCUCUCCCAGUGGGAAUUACAGAGGGGAUGUGCAUGCAAUGACCAUCAUCAGGAACCAUGUCGGUUGCUAUCAUAUGAUAAAACAUAAAUAUGAUGCUCAAUACGUCAUAGGAAGAAAAUUUGACAAUUAUUGAAUCAUAAAUUACAGAACAAAAUUCAAUUACCAAUAGGAUCUAUACACAAUUUCCCUUGCUCUUCUCCAUGGUGAUUUACAAAAUCAAAAUAUCAAAUCAUUUAUAUUACGAUUCAUCAUCAUUUGCUCAAUCCCCUGAAAAUUCAAUCCUUUCACAUUGCCUUCCCUUCCAUCCCAGCAAUCAAAUAGAUUUUACCAGACCAAAAACCACAUCAUAUAUACACUAGUACACACAAGUUAAUCUCUUUCUCCCCAAAAAUAAUCCAUAUUUCCCUAAUUCAUCCCUACUUUGUCCUCCCGGACGGUGGCCUUCUAUGUACACUGUAGAUCUAAGCCAUAGCAGGGAUUCUGGAAUUUUGGCUAUCCCUGUUAAGGCAAUCAAAUCCUUCUACUCUAAUUGCCGCUGGUUUUAGCCCAAACGACAUCCUAACACAUCCCCCUUUAUGUGCCGAUGGCGACGGAGAUGGACUUUGCGAUGCUGAAAGGGCUGCAACUCUUUCGUCACCAAAUCGAGCAUCUUGCACAACUGGGUUCGUGGCCCUACUUGGGGGCGAACCACAAAAAAAUGGGGGUGAAGAUGCUACCUGUGCUGCAGAUUGCUCUGCCCAUAAAUCACCCUACAAAAACCGAAACAAAACAACACGAUAAAACAAGUCCAUCCUAGAAACAAAAACAUUAACACACAUAACUCAAACCUCAGAAAUGCAAACAUCCUAUAUUACUCCAAAUUGGAAGUAAAAAUAUAUCCGACUUUUAGAAGCAUUUUCAUAUAGUCGUUUAUUCGGAUAGAAGUGCAAGACGCAAAUACUUUUAAGAACCAUAGCAACUAUCAAAAAGCAAUAUGUAUAUAACAUUAGUAUUUUCACUUCUUUAAAAUACUUAAGAUUCAGUGAUUACCUUGUUGAGGAUGAUAUCUAGAAGUUCUGCACUGGCUUUCGAUUCACUUACAUCGGCUUGGUGACUGGAAUUGAAACCCAAAAAUCAAAAUUAAUAAAAGCAAGCAAAUCAAAUCAACCAAAAUUCCAAUUAGAGAAAAGGGGGAAAAACCCAAAGGACAGAGAAAAGAAAAAUAAUACCUCAUAUGCAAUCUAAAAGGCUUGAUAGGGUUAUUGGUGAGAACCCCAAUUCGCCGAGGCUUAGGGCAAACAACGGGGCCGGCCCUAUGAUGCUCCGAUAUUGAAGAGAUAAACCCUCCCAUCUCCUCAUAAGCGGAAACGGCAAUGGGAUUCUGCUGAAGAUUGUAGUGAUUCAUCUUCCUCAAAAAUCUAACAUUCAAAUAAUUAAUUACAAAAAAGAAGUCAACAACCAGAUCUAAGAAAAAUGAUUCAAUUAAGACAUAGAAACAGACAAUUUAUAUUUUUUUCCCCCUUUAGUUUCCUUCAUUUUCACAGAAUCCCAAAAAAAAAAAAGGUCAAACCCAAAAAGGAAAACAUAAAUAGAAACACAGAUCUAGGCCCAGACCUUAAAAUCAGUGAUCACGGGUUGCUGUGGAGGUAAAACUGUAAUAAAUUUAGGAUUUAUAUGUCUGCGUAAAAAAUAUUAUAAUUUACAUUUAUAUAUAUCAGAUUCAGAGAGUUAAAAAGAAGAUCCGAAAUAUCAGGGAUUAAUUAAGACGUAACAAAUAAGAAUGAAAUACCCAGAAGGGAAAUUCAAGUGUUACAGCUAAAAACUCAUCAUAAAUAUUGAAUAGACACUUUGAAAUUUGACUUAAAAACAGAAUUGUUCUUUAACAGCAAAAAAAUAGGAAGAAAAAGAAAAAGAAAAAGAAACAGAUCUAAAAAUAUAUUUUACAAAAUAUAUACAGAGAAGUGAAAUCUUAUAUAUGAUUAAAUAAGUUUAAAAAAGGGAAACUUGAUUUUUGAGAUUUACCUGAAGGAAUCCCUUUGAAAGAAGAAAAAGCAGAAAAAUGGUGGAUGAGACGAGGAAGGAAAAGGUCUUAAUGGAGGCCAGGAGGGAAAUUAUAUACAAUGCCCAUUUUACCAUUGUAAAACAAUCUCCUCCACUUUUUUUUAAAUAUAAUUUCUUUUUGAAUCUUGGGAAAAUUAUUUUAACUUCGGUCAAUUAAAAUAUUAAUUAUCAAUAAAUGCCAAAAAAAAUUACGUGAAUAGAUCAAUUUUUUUAAAAAAAUUAUGGGAAUAAGCUAUUUUUUGGAAAUCACUUCCAAUUUGCAGGGAAACUUGGAAGCGUUUUCAGCAUGUUGCAUUGAAAACGCUUCCAGCUAGAAUCGCUUUCUACUAAGUCACUUGGAAGCAUUUUCAACAUAUUGCAUGGAAAACGCUUUCAGUUAGAAUCACUUUCUGCUAAGUCACUUGAAAAUGCUUCCAGUUGGAAGUGUUUUUCCCCCCAACAGUAAAAAAUAACAGUUAUUUAAUUAGUCGUUAGACACCCCCAAACAGUCAAAUUUUAUUUUCCUAUAACCCUCUCCCAUUUCAUUUUUUCCAAUUCAAUCUCAACUCUCUCUCACAUUCUCAAUACCCACUUAAAUUCACUAAUUUUUUUUGCUCUCUCAAUUUUAUUUUUUAUUUAAAUUAUCUUAACAUUUUCUUAAAUUAUUCUUCUAAUACAAAUUAUUCAGUUUUUUUCGAAAUUAUCAAUGGCAAAUUCUCUAAUUCGUCAUGAUAAGAACUAAACUUUCGUCAAUCAAUUGCAAAUGGUAAUAAUAUUUCUUAUUAUAUUUUAAUGUUGCAUAAUUUUUAUAUAUUUUUUUAUAUUUGAAUUUAUUAUUUUGUAUAUUUUUUCCUUAAAUAGGCAGAGAUUGAAUUUUGCAAGCCAACAUUCGUAAUCUACUCGCUCCUCCAUCACCCUUGAUCAAACCGUACUUGAGAGAAGUCGAUUUUUCGCACGUGGCCCUUAUAGGUAAGGGGUGUAAGUUGGACCCAACACUCGUAAGCGCGUUAAUGGAAAGGUGGAGAUCGAAGACGCACAUUUUCCAUCUUCCAUGUGGCGAGUGUACUAUCACUUUGGAAGAUAUGCAAUUACAACUUAGGUUACUAGUGGAUGGGUUUGCAGUGACUGGGACUGUUCACACAACCAAUUGGAAAAUGGUAUGCGAUGAACUUUUGGGGUUGGUUUCGGAGACAAUUUUUGGAGGUCGGAUAGAAAUGGCUUGGUUAAGAAGAAAUUUCAGUAAGCUUGAUGAGGAUUCAACUGAAGUCGAAAGAGAACAACACGUUCAGGAUUACAUCCUUAUGUUAAUAGAGGGUAUCAUAAUGCCGGAUAAGUCACGAAAUUUCGUCCAUUUAAGGUGGUUGUUGAAACUCGUCAAUAUUCGUAAUCUACUCGCUCCUCCAACUUAGUUGGGGGUCCACCGUGUUGGCGACCUUGUACCAAGAGAUGUGUCGAGCGACGCAACCACGAAAAAUUAAAAUUGGUGGUUGUAUGCUACUAUUGCAGUCAUUGGCGCGUUAUCAGCUGCCAUUUUUGUCCUGAAGCAAACUACCUUUACAAAUUCAUUACAUAAUUUAUUUAUUGCAAUAAAAUAAUCUAAUGUUUAAAUUAUUCUGUUAACAAAUUAUUUCAAUAGGUGGAAUAAUGGGUCAAGUUACGUGAGAAUAUCGAAAGAGCUAUGAUAUAUACGACUUCUGUUAGACCAACGAUCUGAAGCAAAGGUAAGUAUUUUUUUUAAAUUUGAAUUAUAUAAUAUUAAUGUAUUUGAUUUGAUAUUUAAUAGUAUAUAUAUAACUAAUUUUUUUUAUUAUUUUAAUAUAGUUUGAAUGGACACCAUACAAGGAUCUGACAAUUCGACAAUGCAUCCCAUCCGAAAUCCUGGUGAAUCCCAACAUUUGACAUGUAAAUGUGCCAUUGGUAGUGUACGCUAUUGUGUAUAUGCAUGAGUCGGAUAGGGUGUUGCAGCAAAUCGGGUUCAAACAAUCGAUUCUAGUGGUACCUUAGGACCUCGAUCAUCUGCAUCCUAUCAACUUGUGGGGGAGGUCGGAUGAGAAUUGAAUUAGAUUCCACAUUAAUAUAUAAACACAUGUGGAAUAAUCGGUAUGAGUUUCUACCUCAUCGCAAUGCUAUUAUCGCUCUAGAGUUAGCUUGCAGUUUGGAUUACAUGCCUUGAUUUAGGCUUUUUGGCAAGCCAUGCUUGUUGAGCGAAGAAUAUAGGAGUUGGCAAACGCAUACGAGGAGGCCACGACGACCGUCAACACAUCCAAGGUUUGGCGAGGCAGGUCCAUCGGUUGCACCUACUCAAGAGCCGACAUCGGUGCCCACACCACCCCUGAUCAGUAUGUGUAGUCCUAUUCUGAUUCGUAUGCGAACACCGUCAUUUUCACACAAGCACCAUAUAUUCAACCACAUUUUUCUGCUUUUACUUUGAUGUCAGGUUUUGUUUUCAAACCUUGGUCCCUAGUACAUUACACGUCGAUGCCAUCCAUAAUUCUGGCGACGAUGAUGCCGAUGACGACGUAUAGGCCAUCCAUGUUUCGACCACCGACCAAGAGUCCAAUUGUUAUGUCACCAAUGUACGAAACACAAUAUAGUUAUACCCCUACACUGAUGGUGAUGCAAACACCUCCAGGAUCAUUGUUCUAUCAAGGCGAAUCAUCUCCCCAACCACCUACUCCUAGAUCGGAGGAUGCACGAUGGCAACCAAGAAGCAACUAAUCGCAAUCAACUACGGAUGAAGGCGAAGAAGAGAAAAGGCCUAUACCACAACCUGUGUCAGAGGUUUAACCAGAGUUUGGAAAAUCGAUCGCAAUUGGGUUUGGAAAACGCAACGGAAAAUAAAUUUAGGAAAAAACCAGAGUUUUAAAAAAAAUCCAAAAUAAGAAUUUGGUUGUGAUAUCUAAAGUAAUAAACACUCAAUCAAAAUUGUACAAUUUUGAUUCGUCUAGGAUGAACGCUUCAACCUAGUAGUCUUCUCUAUUAUCCUUAAGCUCACGUCUGCCGAGUGUGGGCCCGCUUCGAAUAAAAAAAUUACAAAAAUUACUAGUGCAGUAAUUUCGUAAUUUCUCUAAACUUUUGGGCUAAGUUAUAAAUAAGAAAAAUACUCUAGAAAUUUUCUAAAAUAAUUUCUUUAGAGAAUUUUCUCUCUACAACUUUCUAUUGAAUUCAAGUGUGUGUAAAUAAUAACCCAAGACUAUCUUUAUAUAAGGAGGGUUUAGAGAGUUCAACUAUAAUUAAACUUAAUCACUUUAAUAUUAAUUUUAAUAUUAAAUUUUAAUUAAUAGAAUAUUUAUCUACAAGAUAAAUAUUAAAUUAAAUUUAAUAUUAAGAUAAUCACUUUGAUAUUAAAUUAAUAAAAUAUUAUUAAGAUAAGUAUCAAAUGAAAUUUAAUAUUAAAUCUAUUAAAAUAAUAUUAUUUUUUAAAUAGUUAAUCAAAAAUCAAAUUCUUUGGUAGAGUCUCAAUAGGAGUGUAAUUCUUCCAUUGCUUAACCACCGAAGAACCACUGCCGCUAACCAUUUUUUGGCCAUCGGAAUGCUGUCGUCGUAACCGUCGGCACCUGAGCUGGUUUGGUUUCUAUCGGUUCCGUACGGACCACUAACAGUCCGAUAGGUCCGAUCCAACCACCAGUUGGAUAUCAACUUAGUUUCACAUACCAGACCUGGUUCGACUAGUUUUUGGGUCUUAGUCUCGGUUUUGGGAUCCUAAGCCCAAUUUAUGAUCUCAGGUCUAAUAUUCAAGUUCAAUUACCCAUUGGGCCAAUUGUCUGACUUGAAAAAUUAAUUUUUCAAAAAUAUCAUAUUAAUUUUAAUUAAUUUGAUUGAUUUAAUUUUACUUGUUCAAAAUUAAUUUUCCCAAAAAUCACUUAGAUUUUCCAAAUUAAUUUUUCAAGAAAAUUCUUUAAUCAAAUUCUCUAGUUGAACAAUUCUUACGACCGUCCAACUUAAUUCCACAUCGAAUAAAUCGACUCAGUUAAAUUAUUUCCAAAGUCGUAGAAUUUACUUCUAAUUCAAAUGGAGUCCGAUUAAGCCUUUGUUGAGCUAGCGGAGGCACCAAUCGGACAUAUACAAUUAGGUUCUAGUAAUUGCAAUUAUGUCCAGAAGCAUCGUUCCUAUAAUUCACAAUUAUUUAAUAUGGAGUUAGGCCACAAAAAGUACCAUGAUUGAAAACUACUUAUUAUAUACUCUUUACGAAAGUAAUUCAUCCAACUACUUUGUCCAAUGACCUCGUCAUGUGUGUGUUACCCUCAUAUGAUAUCCUUGAUUCCUCUGAGUUAAAUUCAUUCACUCAAUACAAUCCUAUUUUAUCCCAUUGUUGCCAUCUGUCUUCUUAAUGAUUAACAUGAUCACUAUCAACAAAUGGAUGUGAUAAAUUGCUCAUUCAAGAACAAGCAACCCGUGGCCACAUUCCGUAUUUAUCAAUCCACACAAUGCUAAUGAGAGGAUAUCAUUAAUUCUUUAAUUGAGCUAUGAAUUUCACUGUUUCAAAAAGUAAAACCAUGCCAUACACAAGUCAUGUACCCAACAUAUCGGCUAUUGGUUCGAUCAUCUUUAGAGCAUAAGCCUCUACUUAUAUCAAAGCACAUGAGUUACAUAUGCAUGGUCAUUGACUAACUCAGGAUUUUGAUAAAUCAUAGCAUGAAUGUCACAAGUGAAUUAAUUCAAAAAUGAAUUCAGAAUUAAUUCAUCUUGGGUCUAGUUCAAUGUAUCAUUCUGCCAAUGAAUACAUUUAUGUCUCUACCCGUAGAGUCAACUACUCCGAUAGCCAAGACUAGUCAUCCCCUCAAUUGGAAUUAUAGACAACAUAAUAAUCAUUCUCAGUAUUUGAAUUAAAUAAUCACUUUGAUUCUUUUACGAAAUUACAAACUUGUUUAGAUUAUCUAGUGAAGUAAGUUGUCUUUCUCGUAAUGCAAAUGUUCUUACAAUGCCACUUAUCAUCAUUUUGAACUUAGACAAUCAAUGAGCUAAUUUUUGCUUGUUACAAAUUCGCUAUGCAUGCAAAAUAUGAAAGCCAGAAAUACAAAAUACAUAACAGUGAAAUGUGAAAUUUAUUUAUUCAAAUUCAUAGAAAAUAAUUACAUGUUUACUACAAUAUGUGCACAUUUCCCAACAAUUUCCCACUUGCUCUAGUGAAGUAAAUGUGUCAUAUUUCACAUUCCCAAAUCCUCAACGUGUUUGUUAAAACUCUUAGUUACAAGAGUCUUAGUAAAUAGAUCUAAAAGGUUAUCUUCAUAAGCUACUUUCACCACAUCUAUAAUUCCUUCGACUACUGCCUCUCAUAUCAAGUGAUACUUUUGAUAAAUGUGUUUAUUCCUCUUGUAACUUCUCAUUUCCUUAGUAUUAACUAUUGCAGCAUAGUUAUCACAAUACAGUGUUAUAACUUUUUCCAUACCAUGAAUAACUUCAAGAUCGGUUAAGAACUUUCAAAGCCAUAUUGCUUCUUUGUUGCUUCAGAAGUAGCCACAUACUCGGCCUCCAUAGUAGAGUCAGUAGCACAAGUUUGUAUUACACUUCUCCAUACUAUGGCUCUACGGCCUAAGAUGAAUAUAUUUUUUUAUGUUGAUUUCCUCGCAUCUUUAUAGGUUUGGAAGUCUAAGUUUGUGUAUCUGAUAGGAGUAAAGUUCUCCCUAGAAUAUAUAAACAUAUAGUCUUUGGUUCUUUUAAGAUACCUUAAUAUAUGCUUUCAGCUUGCCAAUGUUUGAAACCAGGAUUCGUCUGAUAUCGAGUAACCAUUCCCACUGCAAAACAAAUAUCUGGAUGUGUGGAAAGCAUCGCACACAUAAGGUUUCCAACUAUCGAAGCAUAUGGAACCCUACUCAUAUGGUCUCUUUCUUCUAUUACCUUAGGACAGUUAUCUAAAGAAAAAUGAAAACCUAAUGAGGUCGGCUGAGUGCCUAACUUCACAUCAAUCAUUGAAAAAUGUUUCAGUACCUUAUAGAUGUAUAAAGCUUGUGAUAGAGUUAUCGUUUUAUUCUUUCAAUCCCUAAGGAUUCGAAUUCGAAGAACAUAACUAGCUUCACCCAUGUCCUUUAUGUUAAUUGUUGAGCUAACCACAGUUUAACUGAUGACAAUUCUCUUACAUUAUUUCAUACAUUAAUAUAAACUUAACAAAAAUUAUUCAUUCACAUACACAUCAUCCCUAAAUUGAUCCUCUGAGGCCAUAAAAUACAUUAAAAAAAUUCGAGACUAAAUUGGAAACAUUUCAAAAGUUCAAGAAAAAGUUAGAAAAAUUUAACUGUAGGGGUUACAUGGCUGUGUGCCUUACACGACUGUGACACACGCCCGUGUCUCAGACCAUGUAAUAAUCAAAAUAGGGACACACUGCUGUGUCUCAGCCUUUGUCCUUACCCGUAUAACUCUCUAAGUAGGGUUACACGGCCAAAUCACACGACCAAAUCACAUGCCUGUGUGCUAUGUUGUGUAACUCUCGAAAUAGCCCCACAAGCCCGUGUGUCAAGCCGUGUGUUAGGCCGAGUAACUUUCUGACUUGAAUGCAAUUGAACCUAAAGGGGACACACAGCCAUGUCGCCAGGCCAUGUGUCAAACACGGUUGAGUCACACGCUCGUGUCUCAAGCCGUAUGGACAUGAAUUUGCCAAAAAAAGCCAUUUCCAUCACCAUAUCAAGCAUAUACCUAAAAACAUCUUGUGCACAUAAUCAAGACAUCAAAACCUUACCAAAACAUGCAUAUAGUAACCAAAAACUUAGUAGAGUCAAAAGGUAUUUUCUUAUCUGACACUAAAGUUGUGCAUAUAUAUGAGUGCAUUGACCCAGGGUCAAUCAAAGCAUCAACAUUAGUAUCAAAAAUAAAAAAUGUACCAGUGAUAACAACUGGCGCUGAAGCUUCCUCUCGAGCACAGAUCGCAUAAGCUUUAGUCGACACUGGUGCCUCAAAUCUCACAGUAGAGCCUUUCGUUCCACUACGACUAUUACCCCCUCUCGAGCACGGAUCGCAUGAGCUUUAGUCGACACUGGUGCCUCAGAUCUCACAGCAGAGUCUUUCGUUCCACUACGACUAUUACCCGCAUUACCAGUGUUUCGGGCUGGUCUCCUUCUCGAAGCUGUAUUACUCAGUCGAGUAGUCUGAGCCUUUUCUUUGUCGGACCUUUCAAGGUAAUCCUUGAGAUAUUUUUAUAUGAACCACAUUUAGAACAUUACUCGUCUUUCAAUCUGCAUUCACCAAAGUGUCGUUUAUUACAUUACUGAUAUUCGGGCUUGUUGUUUCUGAUAUUGCCCACACUUGUUGUAGACGUAGCCUGAGGUUUUGAGCUCGAAUGCUAAUUUCCUUAAUCUUUCUCAGAAUAAUCCACUGAAGCUGAUGAACGACCAUGAUAUUCUUUCAACUUCUUCGAUGGCGAUGGGUAUGACUUUUCCAUAGGGCUCUUUCCCGAGUUAUGAGCCUCCUCGACUUUUCUUUUCGCUUUGCUAAGUUCUUCAGCUUUAUGCACUUUGCCAACUAGAACUACAAAUUCUUUCAUCUCAAGGAUCCCGAAUAACACCUUAAUAUCUUUGUUUAACUUGUCUUCAAACCUUGUGCACAUAGCAAACUCUGUAGGUAUACAUUCUUUGGCAUACUUACUGAGUCGAACAAAUUCCCUCUCAUACUCUAAUACAGUCAUACGACCUUGUUUCAACUCAAGGAAUUCUUUACGUUUCUUGUCUAAAAAUAUCUCGCUCACAUAUUUCUUUCGAAAUUCAGUCUAAAAGAAUUCCCAGUUUACUUGAUCUCUCGGCACAACUGCAACUAAGGUGUUCCACCACUGAUAAGCCGAAUCUUUCAAUAAUGAAACAACACAUUUCAAGUAUUUCGUAGGAGUACAUGAUAAUUCAUCGAAAACUUUCACCGUGCUUUCUAACAAAAAUAGGCUCUCUUUGGAUCAUCUUCAGUUGUUCCUCGAAACUCUUAAGCCCUAUACUUACGAAUUUUAUCAACUAGAGGCUUGCUCACCCGAACUAGUUCCAAACCCUGAGGAACUACGAGGAUCGAUUGGGGUACAGGUGGGGGUGGAGGUCGUUAAGCCAUUGAUUUCAUUCGAAUAAACUCGAAGAAGCAUUCAGACAUCAUCUGGAGGAAAACUUCUUUAGCCUCUCCUCCCCAGCCCUCAGAUUUGAGCCUAUUACCACUAGACGCUGCUCCAUGAACGGAGGUUCGCGUGUUACUUUCUAUUUCAUUGGAAUCAGCUUGAUUGGAUGGCAUUUUAUCUAUAUGAAAACAUAGUUCAAAUAUAGUUAGGAGUUAUCACACUAUUACAGGUUAUAUAAAGGCAUGUAUUUCUAGACUCAUACACGCUACUUUAGUGCGAGAACCGACUAUGCUGUAGCUUUGAUACCAUUAAAUGUAACACCUCUAACCUGUAUCUAUUGCCAAAUUAGGGUUACAGAGCACUACUGUACAAAUGGAACAUUACAACAUACAUUUCAUAUAUUUAUAUAAACUUAACAAAAAUUAUUCAUUCAUUUACACAUCGUCCCUAAAUUGAGCCCUCGAGACCCUAAACAUACAUUAAAACUAAUUUGGGACUAAAUUGGAAGCAUUAGGAAAGUUCAAGAAAAAGUUAGAAAAAAUUGACUGCAGGGGUCACACGUCCAUGUACCUCACACGACUGAGACACACGCCCAUGUCUCAGGCCGUGUAACUCUCAAAAUAGCCCCAAAAACUUGUGCGCCAAGCCGUGUGCUAGGCUGUGUAACUGCCUGACUUGUUUGCAAUGGAACCUAAAUGGGAGACAUGGCCAUGUCGCCACACCACGUGUUACAUACGGUUGAGUCAAACGCCCGUGUCUCAGGCUGUGUGGACAUGAAUUUGCCCCAAAACAGGUAAUUUCCAUCACCAAAUCAAGCAUAUACCUAAAAACAUUUUGUGCACAUAAUCAAGACAUCAAAACCUUACCAAAACAUGCAUAUAGUGACCAUUUCAAUAGCCUUAAACCAAUCAACCAAUAUGCCAUUUCAAGGCACCUCACAAGCAAACACCAAAGCAUACCUAAGCAUUCACAUUUGGUCACAUUUCCACCAUCAAACAUAAUUCAUCUUCCAACAAAUUAUACCACAAUUAUGACCAUUAGCAUUUCAACAUAAACUUACCAUUUGAGGCAUACCAUUCAUGCAUCAUAAGUACCAAAAUGACACAAUCCAACCAACAUCAAAUUGUACCAACACUAUACAUGCCAAAAUAUCAACUAACAUUCAACUAGAUACCAAUACAAGUCCACCUAUACAUGCCAUUAUAGCCUUGGCCAAAACAUCAUAAAUUAUUGAUAUGUAUGCUGGAUAGUGUGAUAGAUCUCCGACGAGCUUCCAAACCGAUAUAGCUUCCGAUUAUCUAUAAAACAAGAGAAAAAAACUACGUAAGCAAAUAAUGCUUAGUAAGUUCGUAAAACAUGAAACAUAAUUUACCAUUUCCUUAUAUAACAUUAAGUACAAGCAUAAUGCAAUGCAACACAAGCUUGGCACAAGCCUAAGCACCAUCAUCAAUACACAAGUUAGUGUAUAUAUACAUAAUUCAAUUGAAUUUAACAUAUGGUAAUUCAUUUCCAUGGAAACAUACACCAUUUGAUUCAUUCUUCGUUUUCAUGAACAUAAGCAUACUUCCAUUUGGAACUUACCAUUUCAAUCCUUUUCAUAAAUACAUGAUAUAGUUCAUUUUGAACACUUAUCGUUCCUUUUCUUUCUAUGCCCGUUGAACCAUUUAGAAUAUCAUCGGAUACACAGGAAAACUCACAUGAAGUGUGCUUAAACAUAUAACCAUAAUCUUUCCUUUACAUUGUUGCUCACACGAGCUAUGAAAUAGGCCUACUCACACGAGCUAUGGGUCGAAAUGUAAGCUACACGAUGCUGCUCACACGAGAUUUGGAGUAUCUACAACAAAUGUAGGACCUCAACCAUCGGUAGGAUAUUCAAGACCAACACCCGAACAUGAGAACCCUAAUGACAUGUCAUUUGUAUCCUACGAAUUCCUAAGGUUCAACCAGGACUCGAUAACCGUCGUAGCAUGAUUUUGGAUAUACAUUGUUCAAUAGCAUUCUUAAUACAUAAUAACAUAUAAUUAAACAACAUGAACAUAACAAUCCGUACAUACGAACUUACCUCGACGACUAAGGCGUAAAAACGGGAUCGACUAAUCCGAGGCUUUAGCUUUUCCCCGAUCUAGAUCUGUUGUGGCCUAUCUUGAUCUAAAUAAAAAAUAUAAUUCAUUUAAUAUCCCUAGCAUUCAAUUUAGUCCAUAUUUCAUAUUUUUCCAAAAUUACUAUUUUACCCCUAAUAUUUUAACUUUUUACAAUUUAGUCCUUAAGCUCAUAAAUUAAAAUCUAAGCAUUUUCAUCCUUUUCUCAAGCUAGACAAUUUAUCCAGGGACCUAUAUCAACUCAUACAAACCAUUAUUUCAUAGAUUUAACUUGAAAUUUUAUCUUUUUUACAAAUAAGUCCCUAAAUAAAAUUUUCAUCAAAAAUCACUUUACAAAACUUGUUUAUUUAUGAACAAGGACUCAUAAUCUACCAUUAAACAUCAAGAAUCAUACAAGAAAAUUCAUGAAAAAACCCUAAAUCUUUAACAGUUUUGCAAAUUGAUCCUUGGGCUAGCUAAGUUAAGCUACAACGAUCCCAAAAACAUAAAAAUCAUUAAAAACAAGCUCAAAAAUCACUUACAUGCAAUAAUUGAACAUAGCCGAACCUUCAAGGUGAAAAAUAGAGGUUUUCCUUCUUUAAUUUCGGUGGAAACAUGAACUAAAGAAGAUGAUACUUUUAUUUUAUGUUAUUUUUCUUUACUUAAUUAUUAUAUUACCUUAAUAACCUUGUUAAUUAACUAAAUAAAACUCCUAAUUCAUGCCCAUCUUUGUCCACUAACAUUAUGAAUGAUCUAAUUACCAUCUAAGUCCACUCACAUUUAAAUUUCAUAGCCAUUUGACCCUUUUUACUAAUAGAACUCAAUUUUUGCACAUUUAUGAUUUAGUCAUUUUCACUUAAUUAAGCAUGCAAACAUCGAAAUUUCGUAACGAAAUUUUUAUAUUACCUUAUUAACAUUCUAUAUACAUUAAAAAUAAUAAUUUACUUGUCAGAUUUGUGGUCACUAAAUUACAAUUUCGAUUUCACUGAAAACAGGUUGUUACAACUCUCCCCCUAAAAGAAUUUUCGUCCCCGAAAAUCUUACCAGAAAAGAGGUUUGGGUAUUGCACUUUCAUAAUUUCUUCCAGUUCCCAGGUACCUUCCUCUAAACCUUGACAUUUCCAGAGAACUUUUACUAAAUCUAUUUAUUUCUCAGUUCUUUAACUUCCCAAGCUAAAAUUCUGAUCGGUUCUUCACUGUACGUCAUAUUUGGCUGUAUCUCAACAUCAACAGGUGAAAUCACGUGUGCAGAAUCUGAUUGAUACCAUCGUAACAUCGAAACAUGGAAUACAUUGUGAAUCUUUUCUAACUUUAACGGCAAAGAUAAUCUAUAAGCUAUUGGUCCAAUUUUUUCUAUGAUCCCAUACGGCCCAAUAAAUCGUGGACAAAGCUUUCCUUUUCGACUGAAUUGAAGAACUUUCUUCCAAGGCGAUACUUUUAGAAAUAAUCUGUCGCUUACUUGAAAUUCAAUGUCUUUUCUUUUCAAAUCUACGUAAGAUUUUUGUCGAUCCGAAAUUGUUUUCAGGCUAUCACAUAUCACUUUAACCUUUUCUUGAGUUUCUCAAAUUAAAUCAAUCUUGAAUAACUUUUUCUCACUCAGAUCAGUCCAGUAUAAAGGAGUUCGACACUUCCAACCAUACAAAGCUUCGUAUGGUGCCAUUUUAAUACUCACUUGAUAACUGUUAUUGUAUGCAAAUUCAACUAACGACAGAAAUCUCUCCCAGUUACCUUCGAACUAUAAAACACAACAUCGUAGCAUAUCUUUGAGUAUCUGAAUCACUCACUCAGAUUGACCAUUUGUUUAGGGAUGAAAUGUUGUAUAAAAUACAGUUAAGUACUAAGAGCUUCGUGUAACUUGCUCCAGAAUCGAGACGUAAACCGCAAAUCUCUUUCAGAAAUAAUAGAAUCUGGCACACCGUGCUAUCUAACAAUCUCAGUAACAUAUAACUUUGCCAAUCUCUCGAGUGAAAAAUCUAUACGCACCGGAAUGAAAUGCGUGGACUUCGUCAAACAAUCAAUAGUGACCCAUACAACAUAUUUCUUUCUCAGAGAUAGAGACAAACCCGAUACGAAAUCCAUCGUGACACAUUCCUAUUUCCACUUUGGAAUCAUCACAGGUUGUAACAAACUAGAAGGUACCUGAUGUUCAACUUUAACUUGCUAACAAACCAAACAUUUCGGUACGAACUCUAAAAUGUCUUGUUUCAUACCUGACCACCAAUAUAUGUGUUUCAAAUUGCCAUACAUUUUAUUGCUACCAAGAUGAAUAGACAAGCUAUUACUGUGAGCUUCCUGUAAAAUUUUCUGAAUAAGAUCAGAAUUUCUCGAAACACAAAUUCUGCCUUUGAAGUACAAAUUGUCAUCAGAACCAACAUGAAAAUUUGAUUCAGGUGUCAUCUCAAUCUAUUUCUAUUUAGUGAUCAAAACAUCGUCACAUUUCCGAGCUUCACAAAUCUGUUGCAGAAACAUCGGUCUAGCUUUUAAUUCUGCCAAAAUUGAUUCAUCAUCAAUCAACGUCAAUCGUGUGUUCAAUGCUCGUAAAGCAAACAUGGAUUUUCUACUCAAUGCAUCAGCAACAACAUUAGCCUUUCCCGGAUGAUAAUAAUGAUCAAGUCGUAAUCUUUCAAUAAAUCGAGCCAUCUGUGUUGUCUUAAAUUCAAAUCCUUUUGUGACAUCAAAUACUUUAGGCUUUUAUAGUCCGUGAAAAUAUGACAUUUUUCUUCGUACAAAUGGUGUUGCUAGAUCUUCAAAGCAAACAUAAUGGCUACAAGCUCUAAAUCAUGAGUCGAAUAAUUCUUUUCAUGCAGUUUCAACUGUCUAGAAGCAUACACUAUUACUUUGUCUUCUUGUAUCAAAACACAACUUAAACCAUUCAAUGAAGCAUCGCUAUAAAUCACAAAUUCUUUACCGAACUCUGGCUGAACCAACAUAGGUGCCUCGGUUAAUAAAGUUUUCAACUGAUUAAAACUGUGCUGACAUUUCUCAAACCAUUCGAAUUUAACAUCUUUUUACAACAAUCUCGUCAACGGCAUAGCAAUCAUCGAGAAUCUCUUGACGAACCUUCUAUAAUAUCUGGCUAAACCCAGAAAACUUCUGACUUCAGAUACAUUUCUCAGAGGUUUCCAGUCUACCACAGCUGAAAUUUUACUUGGAUCAACUCUAAUACCAUCUGCUGAUACCACAAGUCCCAAAAAUCCUACUUCUCGGAGCCCGAACUCGCAUUUGUUGAACUUAGCGAGUAGUUGUUUUUCGCGUAAGGUUUGUAAAACAGUUCUCAAAUGUUGGGCAUGUUCUAUCUCAUCUCGUGAAUAGAUCAGGAUGUCAUCAAUAAACACAACAAAAAAUCUAUCUAAAUAUGGUCUGAAUAUUCUAUUCACCAAGUCCAUAAACACGGUAGGUACAUUAAUCAAACCAAAUGGCAUCAUAAGAAACUCAUAAUGUCCGUACUUAGUUCUAAAUAUUGUUGUCGACAUAUCAGACUCUUUAACCCGUAACUGAUAAUAACCAGGAUGAAGAUCGAUCUUUGUUAAUACCGUCGCACCUUUCAAUUGAUCAAACAAAUCAUAAAUAUGUGGUAAUGGAUACUUGUUCUUGAUCAUGACUUUGUUGAGCUGUUGAUGAUCAAUACAUAGUUGCAUGGAUCUGUCCUUUUUCUUGACAAAUAACACAGGACGUCCCCAAGGAGAAAAACUGGGCUGAGCAAAGCCCCUAUCUGAUAACUCUUGCAACUGAGCUUUCAAAUCUUUUAAUUUUAUAGGUGUCAUUCUAUAUGGAGCUAUCGAGAUCUGAGAUAUUCCAGACAUUAAUUCAAUAGCAAACUCAACUUUUUUGGUCGGUGGUAACCCUGGUAAUUCUUUUGGAAACACGUCUACAUACUGACAUACAAUUGGAACUGAUUCUAACUUAAAUUCUGAAACUCCAGAAUCAAAUAUAUAAGCGAGAUACGUUUCAAAGCCUUUUCUAACAUGUUUUUGUGCCGACAUAACCAAAAUAACAUCAAAUGCACUAUAUAAUAUGUCUGAUUCAAUUCGAAGCUUUUCAUCAUUCUGACAUUUUAACACAAUAUACUUUCGUCUAUAGUUCAAAACAACAUCAAGCAGAGUUAACUAGUCCAUACCCAGAAUCACAUCAAACUCAUCAAAGCGUAGUAACAUCAAAUUAGCCGGAAAGUUGCAACCCCGAAUAAUCAAAUGGCAGUUUUUAAAGACUUUAUCAGCUAACACAAACUGACCUAAAGGGUUCAUUACUUUAACCAAAAACUCAGUAGAAGGUAUUUUAUUAUUUGAAACUAAGGUUGUGCAUACAUAUUAGUGCGUUGACCCAGGUUCAAUCAAAGCAUUAACAAUAGUAUCAAAGAUAGAAAAUGUACUAGCGAUAACAUCUGGUGCUGAAGCUUCCUGUCGAGCAUGGAUUGCAUAAGCUCUAGUCAGCGUUGGUGCCUCAAAUCUCAUAGUAGAAUAUUUCGUCCCACUACGACUAUUACCCGUAUUACCAGUGUUCCAGGGUGGUGGUCGUCCUCUCGCAGUUGUAUUACUCGGUUGAGUAGUCUUAGCCUUUUUUUUGUCGAAAUUUUCAAGCCAAUCUCUAAGAUAAUUUUCAUACGAACCACAUUUAAAACAUGAAUCAUCUUUCAAUCUACAUUCAUCAAAGUUUUGUCUAUUACAUUGCUGAUAUUUGGGCUUGUUAUUUCUGACACUGCCUACACUUGCUGCAAACGUAGCCUAAGGUUUCGAGCUCGAAUGCUAAUUUCCUCAAUCUUUCCCAGAAUUAACCUCUAAAGCUAACGAACGACCAUGAUAUUCUUUCGACUUCUUUGAUGGUGAUGAGUAUGACUUUUCUAUAGGCUUCUUUCCAGAGUCAUGAGCCUCAUUGACUUUUCUUUUCACUUUGCUAAGUUCUUCAGCUUUCUGCGCUUUUUCAACCAGAACUACAAAUUCUUUCAACUCAAGGAUCCCUAUUAAUAGCUUGAUAUCUUCGUUUAACUAGUCUUCAAACCUUGUGCACAUAGCAACCUCUAUAAGUAUAUAUUCUCGGGCAUACUUACUGAGUCGAACAAAUUCCCUCUCAUACUCUACUACAGAUAUACAACCUUGUUUCAACUCAAGGAAUUCUUUACGUUUCUUGUCUAAAAACAUCUCGCUCACAUAUUUCUUUCAGAAUUUAGUCUAAAAGAAUUAUCAGUUUACUUGAUCUCUCGGCACAAAUACAACUAAGCUUUUCCACCACUAAUAAGCUGAGUCUUUUAAUAAUGAAACAACACAUUUCAAGUAUUUCGUAGGAGUACAUGAUAAUUCAUUGAAAACGUUCACCGUGUUUUCUAACAAAACUCGGCUCUCUUUGGAUCAUCUUCAACUAUUUUUCGGAACUCUUAAGUCCCAUACUUAUGAAUUUUAUCAACUGGAGGCUUGCUCGCCCGAACUAGUUCCAACCCUGAGGAACUAACGGGAUCAGUUGGGGUACAGGUGGGGGUGGAGGUCAUUGAGGCAUUGGGUUUGGUCGCACAAUCUUGGAGAACCAUUCAGACAUAAUCUGGGGGAAGGCUUCCUUAGCCUUUCCUCCCCAACCCUCAGAUACAGGCCUAUUACCACUAGACGCUGCUCCGUGAACGGAGGCUUGCGCGUUACUUUCUACUUCAUCGGAAUCAGUUUAAUUUGAUGACAUUUUAUCUAUUUGAAAACAUAGUCUGAGAACCGACUAAACUGUAGCUCUAAUAAUACUAAAUGUAACACCCCAAACCCGUAUCCAUCGUCGGAUUAGGGCUACGAAGCAUUACUAUACAAAUAAAACAUUAUAACAUACAUUUCAUACAUUAAUAUAAAUUUAACAAAAAAUAUUCAUUCACAUACACAUCAUCUCUAAAUCGUGCUGCCAAGGCCCUAAAAAUACAUUAAAAAAUUUGGGACUAAAUUUGAAGCAUUUGGAAAGUUCAAGAAAAAGUUAGAAAAAUUUGACUGUAGGGGUCACACGACCAUGUGCCUCACACGACUGAGACAUACGCCUGUGUCUCAAGCUGUGUAACAAUUGAAAUAAGGACACACAGCCGUGUCCUUACCCAUGUAACUUUCUGAGUAGGGUCACACGGCUGAGACACACACCUGUGUGCCAGGCCAUGUGCUAGGCCGUCUAACUCCCUGACUUGUAUGCAAUAGAACCUAAAGGGGACACACGGCCAUGUUGCCAGGCCGUGUGUCACACAUGGCUAAGUCACAUGUCUGUGUCUCAGGCCGUAUAGACAUGAAUUUUCCCACAAACAAGCCAUUUCCAUCACCAAAUCAAGGAAACACAUAAUCAAGACAUCAAAACCUUACCAAAACAUGUAUAUUCAAUAGCUUUAAACCAUUAAACCAAUAUGCCAUUUCAAGGCACCUCACAAGCAAACACUAAACUUACACAUUUGAUCACAUUUCCACAAUCAAACAUAGUUCAUCUUCCUACAAAUCAUACCAUAAUUAUGACCAUUAGCAUUUCAACAUAAACUUACCGUUUGAGUCAUACCCUUGAUGCAUCAUAAGUACCAAAGUGACACAAUCCAACCAACAUCAAAUGGUACCAACACAACUUAUACAUGCCAAAAUCAUCAACUAACAUUCAACUAGAUACCAAUACAAGUCCACAUAUACAUGCGAUUAUAACCUUGGCCAAAAUAUAAAAAACUACCGAUAUUUAUGCUUAGUAUGAUUGAUCUCCGACAAGCUUCUAAACCGAUCGAGCUUCCGAUUAUUUAUAAAACAUGGGAAAGAAAACUAUAUAAGCACAUAAUGCUUAGUAAGUUCGUAAAACAUGGAACAUAACUUACCAUUUCCUUAUAUAACAUUAAGUACAAGUAUAAUGCAAUGCAACACAAGCUUGGCACAAGCCUAAUCACCAUCAUCAAUACACAAGUUAGUGCAUAUAUACAUAAUUCAAUUGAAUUUAACAUAUGGUAAUCCAUUUCCAUAGAAAUAUACAUCAUUUGAUUCAUUCUUCAUUUUCAUGAACAUAAGCACACUUCUAUUUGGAAACUUACCAUUUCAAUCCUUUUCUUAAAUACAUGAUAUAGUUCAUUUUGAACACUUACCGUUCCUUUCCUUUUCAUGCCCGUUGAACCAUUUAGAAUAUCUUCAGAUACACGGGAAAGCUCACACGAAUUGUGCUUAAACAUAUAAUCAUAACCUUUCCUUUACAUUGUUACUCACACGAGCUGUGAAAUAGGCCUGCUUGUACGAAUUGUGAAAUGAGAUUGCUCACACGAGUUGUGGGUCGAAAUGUAUGCUAGACGAUGUUGCUUACACAAGCUGUGGAGUAUCUAAAACAAAUGCAGGACCUCUGUUUUGGUAUGACAUUCAAGACUAGCACCUAAACAUGAAAAUCCUAAUGUCAUGUCAUUUGUAUCCUUUGAAUUCUUAAAGUUCAACUGGGACUCGAUAACCGUCGUAGCAUGAUUUUGGAUAUACAUUGUUCAAUAGCAUUUUUAAUACAUAAUAACAUAUAAUUAGACAUCAUGAACAUAAUAAUCCGUACAUACAAAACCUCGACGAGUAGGGCGUAAAAACGGGAUCUACUAAUCUGAGGCUUUAGCUUUUCCCCGAUCUCGAUCCGUUCGUGGCCUAUCUUGAUCUAAAUAGAAAAUAUAAUUCAUUAAAUUUCCCUAGCAUACAAUUUAGUCCAUAUUUCAUAUUUAUACAAAAUUACUAUUUUUCCCUUAACAUUUUAACUUUUUACAAUUUAGUCCUUAAGCUGAUAAAUUAAAAUCUAAGCUUUUUCAUCAUUUUCUCAAGUUAGCCGAUUUCUUUAGGGACCUAUAUCAACUCAUACAAACCAUCAUUUCAUAGAUUUAACUUGAAAUUUUAUCUUUUUUUACAAAUAAGUCCCUAAUUACAAUUUUCAUAAAAAAAUCACCUUAUAAAACUUGUUUAUUUAUGAACAAGAACUCAUAAUCUACCAUUAAACAUAAAGAAUAAUGCACGAACAUUCAUGGAAAAACCCUAAAUCUUUAACAAUUUUACAAAUUGAUCCUCGAGAUAGCUAAGUUAAGCUACAAAGAUCUCAAAAACAUAAAAAUCAUUAAAAACGAGGUAAAAAUCACUUAAAUGCAGUACUUGAACAUAGCCAAACCUUCAAGAUGAAAAAUGGAUGUUUUCCUUCUUUAAUUUCGAUGGAAACAUGAACUAAAGAAGAUGAUACUUUUAUUUUAUGUUAUUUUUCUUUACUUAAUUAUUAAAUUACCUUAAUAACCUUGUUAAUUAACUAAAUAAAACACCUAAUUCAUGCCCAUCCUUUUUCACUAACAUUAUGAAUGGUCUAAUUACCAUUUAAGUCCAGUCACAUUUAAUUUUUGUAGCCAUUUGACCCUUUUUACUAAUAGAACUCCAUUUUUUCACCUUUUAUGAUUUAGUCCUUUUCACUUAAUUAAGCAUGCAAACAUUGAAAUUUAUUGACAAAAAUUUUAUACAACCUUACUAACAUUCCAUAAACAUUAAAAAUAAUUAUAAAAUAAUAAUUUACUUGUCGAAUUUGUGGUCUCAAAACCACUGUUCUGAUUUCACUAGGAACGGGCUGUUACAAAGAUAGUCAUUAAUAAAUGUUGUCUUGAUAUCCAUUUGCUAGAUCUCGUAAUCAAGAGCAGCGGCAAUGGAUAAGAGUAUGUGAAUAGAAUUGAAAAUGGCUACCAGAGAGAAUGUCUCAUCGUAAUCGAUGCCUUCUUGCUAUGUGUAGUAUUUCCCUACAAGUCUAGCUUUAUGUGUUUCCACUUCCCCUUCCGCAUUUCUCUUCUUCUUGUAGAUUUGCUUACACCCUAGAAGUUUUAAUCCCAACCAGUAAGUCUACAAGUUCCCACACCAUAUUGGAUUUCAUAGAAUCCAUCUCGACAUCCAUGGUUGUUUUUAGAUAUUGAAAUCAAUGUUCUGCAUAGCCUCAUCGUAAGUGAGUAGAUCAUUAUCCUCAUGAUUGACUUCUAUAUUAUAAAUACUACCAUCAUAGGUGAAGAAGUCUAAUUUCUUAAAAGUUCUCCAACUACGACGGAUUCCCCUAUGUUGUUGAUUGUUUGCAGGUCGUUCUACAACUAUCUCGAGAAUUAAACUUUGUUAUUGUUCUACAACUCCUCGAGUACCACUUUACUUCGAGCCUUAAAGUUAUCCAUGUAGCUUUCUUCGAGGAAAAUAGCAUGAGUAGAAACUUUGAUCGUAUUAUCAUUUAGAUUGUAUAAUAAUUCACCCUUUGCUCAUUCUGGAUAUCUUAUAAACAUGCACAAUUCUUUCCGUGCAUCCAACUUCUCUGCAUCCUUAUCCAAAACGUGUGCUGGACAACCCUAUAUUCUAAAGUGAUUUAGAACUGAUUUCUUUUCAUGCCACAGUUUAUAAGGUGUCUUACAAGCAGACUUGGUUGGCACAUCAUUCAGACUAUAGCAAAUUAUUUAUAUCGCAUAUCCUUAGAAGGGAGUAAGGAGUUUUGAAUAGCUUAACAUUGAACGAACCAUGUUAAGCAAUGUUCUAUUCCUUCUCUCAGCUACACCAUUAUCCUGUGGAGUGCUUGACGUAGUCAACUGGGAUAAAAUCUCAUUCUCUAUGAGGUAUUCUAAGAACUCGUCAGACAAGUAUUCCCCACCUCGGUCAGAUUUAAGAUUCUUUAUGGAUAAACCUAAUUGCUUUUCCACUUUUGCACGAAACUCUCGAAAUUUAUCAAAUGCUUCACUUUUGUGGUUCAUUAGAUACACAUAUCCAUAUUGAGAAUAGUCUUAAAUGAAAGUCAAGUAAUAAUCAUAACUUCCUCAGGCACUGAUGCUCAUGGGACCACAUACAUUAGUGUGCACAAGUUCUAAAGGUUGGUUGGCCCUUGUACCUUUCGCAUUAGAAAACUACUUAGUCAUUUUUACCUUCCAAUCAAGAUUCACAUUGUGGAAGACUAACUUCCUUAAGCAUACUUAAGGGACCAUCUUUCAUGAUUCUAGUGAUUCUUUCUUGGUUAAUAUGACCAAAUCUUAAGUGGCAUAGGUAUCCCUCAUUAGAGUAAGACGUUUUAAGAUUUUAUUUUCCAUCCAUCCAUUACAAAUUAAAGAACAAUUUUUGUGAAUAAUAAUCCCUUUAUUAAAUGUCACUGUAUAACUUUCGUAAAAUAAACAUGCUACAAAUAAUAAAUUCCUCUUAAAAUAAGAUACAUAAAAUAUGUUUUUUAAAAUAAUCUUCCUAAAAUUAUCAAAAUGUAAAAUAACUUCUCUCACUACUUCAACUGAAACAUAGCUCCCAUCUCCAAUCUGCAAUGAGAGGCUCUUGUCACGUAAACAUCUCAUUUCACUGAACUCCCGUAAAGAAGCACAUACAUGGUUAAUGGCUCUAAAAUCAAUAAAUCAGUUGUCUAUUGAUUCUUCCCUUAAGCAAGUUUCAACCACAAAGAGUUCCAUACAUUUGCCAUUUUCGGCUAGGUAAAUCAAAUACUCUUUACAGUUUGCUUUGAAAUGCCCCGUAACACCCAUAUCCCGUCUCUGUUGCCGGAUUAUGGAUUGGAGUGUUAUAGAACCAAACCAAAACAAUUUAUCUUAAUUCCAUAACAAGUAUUCAAUGAAUUUAAAAACACAUAUCAUAUUAUAUCAUAUCAAUACAGAUCAUAUCAUAUAAUAAAUAUGCACAUGGGCCUUUUUUCGGGUUUACAAGGCCUUAAAAUUAGAUUAAAAAUAAUCAUAGAUCAAAUUGAGACAAAUUAUAAAUUUUUGAGAUAAACAUGAAAAUUUGAUAUGCAGGGGUCACAUGGCCAUGUGUCCAGACUGUGUGACAUAGCCCAAACUGUGUGGGAAUUCGAGGUUGGGACACACGGCCGUGUCCCAGCCUGUGUCUCUAUCUGUGUAACUCACUGACUUUGAUCACACGGUCAUGUCAUAGACCGUGUGUCAGGCCAUGUAACUCUCUAACUAAAUACACACGACCGUGUGCCAGAUCGUGUAUGGCACAUGGCCGUGUGGCAGCUCGUGUGCACCAAAAUGAACAUUAAACAUCAAGUUUACCAAAUCAUGCUUACUUGAACACUAAACAAUCCAAUUACUAGCCAUAACCUAUUCAAAACACAAUUAAACAUGCUCAAAACAUGCCAAAACAAUCAUCUUAAGUGCCUAACCAAUGUACCCUCUUUAGUACCACAUUUUAUAUUUUCUAAUAUAUUAAUAAAACAUUAAACUAAAAUAUAUACCAAAACAUUUAGAUAGGCUAACCUACCAAAACAUAGUCUCAAAAAUAAUGAAAAGACCUCCCUAUAUAUGUCAUUACAAAAUAAAGCAUCACACCAGAACUCUAAACCACAUCAUUCAACAAUUACAGAUCAAUGUAUUCAUCUAUGCAUUACAUAUAUAUACACCUGUUCCAUCAUUACAAAAUGUACUCUAGUAAAACACAGAUCUCACUCAUUAACUAAAUCUAUCAACAUUCUCAAAACUCAUAUAUUCAUCAAUAUAUACAUGCCACUACCCAAUUAAGAUGCAAAAGUACCGACUUAGAUGUGAGCUAGUUGAUUGAUCAUUCCAAAAAGUCAGCAACGAUUAUCUACAACACUUUCGAUUUAAUCACAGGGAUCUAUUCUAUAAUUUUCCUUUUUCCUCGAUUUAAGUCUUUCUGUCCCGGUUCUUGAUAUGCAAGCAAUGGAAAUGGCCAAACCUAACUUUAAAAGAAAUGGCUUUCUUCUCUUCUCAAAUUCAGCUAAGGAUGGUGGAAGAUGACAAUGUUUCUUUUCUUAUUAUUUUACUUUAGUUUUGUUUUAUUAUAUUACCAUUUUACCCUUAGAAUUAAGCUUAUAAUUUAACAACUAAAAAGGCCCUUAACUGUCUAUCCAAAAUCACAUGGACUAAUUACUUUAUAAGUCCUCUUUUAUUUGAUAGUUAAGCUAUCAAAUCAUUAUAAUUCAAUUAUGUCUAGAUUUUGAACAUUUUACAACUUAAUCAUUUUUCUUAAUUUAACUAAGUAAACAUUAAAAUUCUUUCACUGAAACUUAAUACGACCCUAAUGUAACUCCACAACAUUGAAUAAACCAUAAAACACAACUUCAUAUAUCGAUAUUUGUGGUCCCGAAACCACUAUUCCAUUACCACUAAACAACGGGAUAUUACAUGCCCUUUUCUAUUGCAGAAGAAACAUUAGAUCUUUUUAGGAUAUUUUGACUUCUUAGCCUUCUUCCUAUCCAUACGAGGUGGAAUCGAAGACUUAGUAGGUUUAUUCUUUCUUUUAGCUUUUUGCUUUCAUUUAGAGGAUGAAAGACCCACUGCUAAGUUUGCCUCAGGUUUCUCCUGAACUGACUUUCCACCAUUCAACAUCAACUAAUAGGAUGGUAAUUCCUUCAUGAGCUGAGUCAAGGUAAGCGCCUUGUUCCUUAAGUUAUAAGCAACCCUAAAACCAGCAAACUCCUUAGUUAAGGAUUUGAACACUAUUUCAAUCUGAGUGUUCACGUCUAGUUCAACCCCAUUGUCUUCCGCUUCCGCAAAGAUUCCCAUAAGCUUAAGCAUAUGUUUUUUGACUAGAGUGCUGGAUUUUUGUUGAGAGUUCAUCAUAUUUGUAAUAGCGGAUUCUCGAGCUAAUGCGACUUUGCCUCGGAGCAAAUCCUCCAAUUUUUUCAUAAUCUUUUUAGUAGUACGAAAAUUCUCAUGUUACUUUUGUAACACAUUACUCAUGCUUGUUAACACAUAACAUCGAGCAAACGAGUCAGAAUCUCUCCAACGAUUUCUCGCUUUGGGCUAAGCUUUAAAAGGGUACAUUUCGUCAAGAACGAAUUUGUGUUUCUCACAGCUAAGAACUAUUAGCAAGUUUCGUUUCUAUUCUCGAAAGUUAUCCCUAUCCAAUUUAUUUUUAGUAAGAAUGCUAAUAAGAGGAGUAAGAGACAUAUUUGAACUGAAAAAUAAAGAUUCACUAAUUACUAUCUUUGUAUUAAGCAAAUAUUUUCAUUUCAGAAACAUAUCAAGAAUGCAAUAUGAUGCAUGCGUCUUGUAUUAAAACCUUGAAAAACCAUUUUUCUGUUGCUACGAUCAUUCUCAUACCCAUCAACCAUGUCAUCUUGGGGUCCCAUGAUUAACUAGAAAGAAUACGAAUUACAUCCAUUUAGUUCGUGAAUCUUAAUUCUCAAGACUCCACACGAACCAAUGACCAUUUUUUUGGAUCGCCGGCACCCCUACGGUGCAGCACCCUAACCAUGGAUCCAUGUGUGAAGAACAAAUCGGGGUGAAAAGAUUACGAAAUUACCUAAUAUUUCGAUUGAGAAGACAGUAACUUCUCAACAAUGUGUAGUCUGAUCUACAGUCAAACCAAGUCACAAUCUAUUGAGACUCUGACCUCUACGUAAUCCACCCAGUUGACUACGAACGGAAGAAAAUUCCCAAAACAGUUUUGAGAGUUGUAUUUCUUUGACGGCUGCUAGACCUUAAAAAUAAUGAAAAACGGGAUUCUAAUAUAUCCCUUUUAUUUUUAGGGUUUUUUAGGAAUUAAAUAAAUAAAAUAAUAUUUUAAACCGAAAAUUAUAAUUACAUUAAUUAUAAUAUAAUUUCGGUAAACCAUAUAUUUAUUUAAAUUCAUAUGCUAAUCAAAUUCAUGUCCUCAUUAUGCGUACAACAACCUUGUACAUAAUGUGUUGGAGAUUUGAUUACUGAAUUAAAUUAAUUCUAUAAUUAAUUUAAUUCAAGUGACACCCAAAAAUAAAACCAACUAUGGUUUAUUCCGUUCAUUUCAACUAUAGGGUGUGACCCUGUAGGUUCCUGUAACGUUAGCAGUAAUACUAGAACGAUUCCAAUGUUACAAACAAUGAGUGGCAUCUAGCAAUGCAUCAUUGCUACCUAAGUCACAAGAGAUCAUGAUUCGACAUAACCUUUUAUGAUUAACCUUUUAUGCAAUAACCCUUAAGUCCUUUAUCUCUGGAUUGGACACAAGUCAUGGAAUAGUCACACUUGUAUAGUCCAUUCCAUGUUCCUUGAUAUCUUAAGCAGACUACGAUAUACAAAUAAGUAUGACAUCUCAUAUCAACUUAUUUGAGCAUGGCCAUGCAUUUCUAGUUUCACUUAAUCAAGUGGCCUAAGAUAUUACUCCCAUUAUGUAGGAGGGACUUAUUCUAUAUUGACCAACCAUAUCCCUCUACAUCGAUUGUGAUAUAUCCAACAUCAGCCUUUAUAGAACAACUAGUUACGGUGUACGUUUAACUGUAUCAAAAUAUACUACUCACGAUGUUGGGAUUAUGAUGAUCUCAAGUCUGAGGAUCAUAUACAUAUUAAUCACUAUGAGUAAUGUCGUGACAAUUACAUAAUAAUCCAAGAGACAUACUCAUAAUGGGUCAGUCCAAUAUGUUGUUCUCUAACACACAUAUUCAUGCAUCGAUUCUGACAUUCCAUAUCAAUGACAACUCUUUAUCAUCAAUCAACUACAUGUUAGUCUUAAUGCAUUAUCAUUGUCCUAUCCAACAAUAAUACUUGACUAAGGAUCUUUUAAGAAUAAUCAUAUUAUUCUUAGGACAUUAUUAUAAAACAGCUUAUUUAUACACACAGAAAAGAAACUUAAAUAAUAAUGGUAACGCCUUAUAUUAAUAAACAUGAUAAAUCAAGUAUGUUAUUACAACCAUCUCAUGAUUGGUCUUUGGGCAUACUCUAACACAUUUAACGUUUGGUCAUCAUCUCUAGCUUAAAUAUAAUUUUUGGGGAAACUAUUUAAUAAGAGAAUAUCUUGAGUGUGUAACCAUUGUCUCAACAUCCAUCAUGAACACACUUUCAUUUGUGAGUCAUCUUGGGACAAUCUCAUAGAGAGUCAUGCAUGACUAGUUUUCCUGAAAAGGAAAUCUCAUCCAGUGAAUUCACAUGAUAAAAUUUACAUUGGGGUGCGGCCAAGGUAGGAACCAACUCAAAAUUUUAUCAUGCUAUCACUUAGGGACCAUUAAUGGAGGUCAUAGGUCUUGUUCAAGAACUUUCUCCCACUCAAUAUUUUAAAAUAGCAUGCAAGGUUUUUUAUCCCAUAUGUCAAGAAUGAUCAUGCAAUAGUCCUAGUGGCAUUUUUACCUAAUCUAUAUGUCAUGCUUCCAAUAUAUGCAUGGUAUGCUAUAAAAAUUUUAUAAUAUUUACAUUCUUUUAUCACAAGAAUCAAUUAACCAAAAAACAAACAAUUUUGAUUCUCCACAGUUUUUGUUUUGAGGGAACAACAGGAGAAGUGAAUGUAAACCAUGCACUAGGUAGGGUCCUAGGAAAAAGAGGCGAGUCAAAUUUGACCGCUUAAAAACCAAGUAUUUCUUAGCUAGAAUCAUUCCUAGACAUGCACGUUCUCAUUACCACACUGCUCACAGUAAUCGAAUAACCUAAAGAAGUGACUAGAACAAUACAACACAAGUAUUUUCUCAUUAUCACACUUCUUAUUUUGUAUUCGAUCAACUACAGAUCAUCUCAUAUAUAUAUCACAAUUAUAACAUUACAUAAUAUAAAUAUUAGAAACAAUUAUAAAACAGUGUCCAUUAAUGUUUCUAUGGUUCUAUUUCCAGAAUAAAUGAAAAAAAAUAAAAUUACAUAAUUUUUCACCACAAGGCAUUCCUUGGGCCUUCAACUGGCAUCGCUCCAUCUUCUCCUCAUUAUGGACUUCUUUUGAAAAAAUUACAUUUAAGUCCUAUAUCUGUUUUCGGCUCACAAGAAUUCUAUGAACUAAAGAAAAAUUCUUAUGUGGAGAUGAUAGUCAACAGUCUAUUUCCUAAGAACCACAACCUUGGAAAACAAAAUUAUAUAACAAAUAUAUAAUAUUGCAUCCAUUCCCAUAUACAACUCAAAACAUGCAUAAGAUCUAAAGAAUAUCACUUUAUAUGUAAUCAAAUCAUUCAAGAAGAAGAGAAAUUUAUAUUGAUUAUCUGCUUAUACUUACAGAUAAAACACAACCUGACUCUAAUACCAAUUGUUGGAAAAUCGAGUUUAGAAAAUGCAAUGGAAAAUAAAUUUAGGGAAAAAUUAGUUUUAAAAAAAAACUCCAAAAAAGAACUUGGUUGUGAUAUCUACAGUAAUAAACACUUAAUCAAAAUUGUAUCUUUUCGAUUCGUCUAGGAUGAACGCUUCGACAUAGUAGUCUUCUCUGUUAUCCUCAAGCUCACGUUUUCCGAGUGUGGUCUUGCUUCGAAUCAAAAAUUUUUUCACAAAAGUACCAGUAGGAUAAUUUUUCAAUUUCUCUAAACUUUUGGGAUAAGUUGUAAAUAAAAAAUAUGUUUAGAAAUUUUCUUAAAUAAUUUCUUUAUAGAAUUUUCUCUCUACAACUUUCUCUUGAAUUCAAGUGUGUGAAAAUAAUGACCCAAGACUCUCUUUAUAUAAGGAGAGUUUAGAGAGUUCAACUAUGAUUAAACUUAAUCACUUUAAUAUUAAAUUUAACCUAAUAUUUAAUCAAGAUAAAUAUUAGUCUAAAUUUAAUAUUAAAUCUUAUUAAAUUAAUAGAAUAUUUAUCUACAAUAUAAACAUUAAAUUAAAUUUAAUAUUAAGAUAAUAACUUUAAUAUUAAAUUAAUAAAAUACUAUUAAUAAGUAUUACAUUAAAUUUAAUAUUAAAUAUAUUAAAAUAAUAUUAUUUCUGGAAUAGUUAAUCUGAAAUCAAAUUCUCUAGUAGAAUCCCAAUAGGAGUAUAAUUCUUCCACUACUCAACCACCGAAGAGAACCACCGUCGUUGACCAUAUUCCUACCACUGGAAUGUUGUCGUCAUAGCUGUCGAUGCCUCGAGUUGGUUCGAUUUCUAGCGGUUCGGUCCGAGCCAAUGAUAGCCAGAUCGGUCCGGUCCAAGCAGUUUUCACAUCCAAGCCCGGUUCGACUAGUUUUUGGGUCUUGGUCUUGAUUUUGGUCUCCCGAGCCCAAUUUACGAUAUCAGGUCCAAUUUUCAAGUUCAAUUACCCAUUGGUCCAACUGUUUGAGUUGAAAAUUAAUUUCUAAAAAUAUCAUAUUAAUUUUAUUAAUUUAAUUUUACUUGAUCAAAAUAAAUUUUUCCAAAAAUGAUUUAGAUUUUCCAAAUUAAUUUUGCAAGAAAAUUCUUUAAUCAAAUUCUUUAGUUGAACAAUUCUUACAACCGCCCAAUUUAUUUCAACAUCGAAUAAAUUGACUCAAUUAAAUUAUUUAUAAAGUCGUAAAAUUUACUUCUAAUUCAAAUGCAGUCCAGUUGAGCUUUUGUUGAGCUAGCAAACGGACCAAUCAAACAUAUACAAUUAGGAUUUAUUAAUUGUAAUUAUGUCCAGAAGCACCGUUCUGAUAAUUCACAAUUACAUAAUCAUGGAGCCAGUCCACAAUAAGUACUAUGAUUGAAAACUCAUUAUUGUAUACUCUUUACGAAAGUAAUUCAUCCAACUGUUUUGCCCAAUGACCUCAUCAUGUUUGCCUCAUAUGAUAUCCUUGAUUCCUUUGAGUUGAUGUGUUCUCGGGUUUGCUAAAUAGGCUGAAACCUAAGCUGCCAUUUCCAUCCUAUUUGGGACUAUGACGCAGGCUAAAGCUAAAGGAUUCAAAUAAGUAUUUGUGGGCUCUUAAGGCCCUAACCAUCCACUUUAUUUAUUUAAUUAAUUCCACAAUUUAUAAUUUUAAUUUUAUUUAAUAUGUGUCAUGAUUGUGUCGUUGUUAUUACAUUGUUUUAAAUAGAGUCUUAAGAAUGUCUAGUUUGCUACAUGUUUAAUGUGUCUUAAAAUAUGUUAUGGUGUCAUUAUUAUGUUCCAUUUUAUUACAACAUUGUUAUUAUGUUUAUUGUGUCCUAAUGGUGUGUUUAACGUGCCCUAGGGAAAUCUAAUGGCCUUCUUAAGAAGCUAAGGGAUUUUUCGCUUGGCUAAAAGAGAUCAAGCGCGUUCACACCUGUUCAAUUCAGCUUGAAAAGUGACCAUUCAACCAACAAGUGCUUCAUUAAGUGCCACUAUCCAAAUGAGGGCUGAACAUGGUUGUUGGAAACUUUUCUAGAAAAUGUCUAUUGGGUUUUUCCAUGCCUCAUAAAGCCGCCGUCCACCAAGGGGGAAGUAUAAGCCUUUUGAAGAAUUGCUUAGCCAUUUAGCAUGCUUGAAUUCUUCCCCAAUGUAAUUAAUGGCAACCUCUAUAUUCAAUGCUAAGAUGCAUGGACGACUAAGGUUAUGUACUUGAGUUUAAAGUAACAUUUCAUAUCUUUCACAUUAAGACCGAAUGUGGCCAUUAGCAUACCUAAGCUUAUAAAGAUUUUAGUCAUGUUAUUUUGUAAGGUUAGACAUCUUUGAAUCAAUAUUGUGAGAUUAUUCUCUUGUUCCUUAAGAACUUAUUUCUAACUUAUCAAGAAUUCAUUCUUGUGGCAUUCUCCCAUUUUUUAUCUUAUCACACCCCUUCUUAUCUUUCCGGAGUGUGGCAGUCAACCCUAUACCUUUGGUUCUUAUCUCUAUAUAGAUAGAGGGUCAAGGUUCUUCUUUUUUUCUAAGCUUCUUGAGUUUUAAACAACCAUAUAGAAAUCGGGUUGUGUUAUUUUAUAACGUUGGUUCAUUUUUGUUCAUUUUAAGUUCGUGAGUUAUAUCUUGUCAAGAACGAAUGGGAACUUAAUAAUCAUGACUCGUGAUUUCAAUACGUAACAAGGUUCAUGUCAUGAGUUAAAUCCGUUCACUCAAUAAAAUCCUAUUUUAUCCCAUUGUCACCAUUGUGUCUUUUUAAUGAUUAACAUGAUCACUGUUAACAAAUGGCUGUGAUAAAUUGCUCGUUCGAGAACAAGUAACCGUGGUCACGUUCCAUGUUUAUUAAUCCACACAACACCAAUGAGAGGAUAUCGUUAACUCUUUAAUUGAGCUAUAAAUUCCAUUAUUGCUAAUAAAGUCAUGCCAUACACAAGUCAUGUACCCAACAUACCAACUAACGGAUCGAUCAUCUUUACAACAUAAGCCUCCACUUAUAUCAAAGCACAUGAGUUACAUAUGCAUGGUCAUUGACUAACUCAAGAUUUUGUUAAAUCACACCAUAAAUGUCACAAGUGAAUUAAUUCAUCUUGGGUCCAAUCCAAUGUAUCAUUCUACCAAUGAAUACAUCUAUGUCUCUACUCGUGGAGUAAAUUGCUCUGAUAACCAGGACUAGUCAUCACCUCUAUUGGAAUUGUAGACGACAUAAUAAUCCUUCUCAGUAUUUGAAUCAAAUGCUCACUUUGAUUCUUUUAUGGGAUUACAGACUCUUUUAUAUUAUCUACUAAAGUAAGUUGUCUUUCUCGCCACGUAAACAUUUUUAUAAUUCAACUUAUAAUCAAUUUGAACUUAGAUAAUCAAUAAGUUAAUAUUUGUUUGUCACAAAUUCACUAUGCAUGCAAAAUAUGAAAGACAGAAAUACACAAGACAUAAUAGUAAAAUGUGAACUUUAUUUAUUCACCGUUCAAAUACAUAAAAAAUAAUUACAUGUUUACUACAAUAUGAGCACAUUUCCUAACACAACCAAGAAGGAAUUUGGCUCACGACCGUCGAACACCCGGAUGUGGCACACAUUUUGACACGGGAUAAUAGUUGAUUUACUUUAUUAUUGUACUUAUCAUGUUAACAUUUCAAUAAAUAUCAAACAUGUUUAUUGCAUCGAUGUCAAACAUCUUUAUUUUUUAAAAUAAAAAUAAUUGUUUCAUUAAAGUUGGCCUUUGUUAUAAAUUAUUAAUUUGUAUUGUAUAGCAAAAAUGUUUUUUUUUUGCAAAGUACAAUAAGUUGAUUACAAUAAACAAUUUAAUAGGUCUAUUCAUGAGGUGUUGUAAUUGUACCAUCCCUUCGGUGUGGACAUGAUGACAUUGUAUGCCUCGGAUGCCUUCACCACCCACAUAACGUUGGUUGGUGUGGCUUCUCUUGGAUAUCGAUGUUAUCGCAUAUCCAAGUGGACGUCGGUCGACCUUUUGGUUUGUGACAAAAUAAUCUAUCGGGUAACAACUUGAAUAGAGCGUUAGAUACAGAUGGCCACUUGCGUUCAUUAGGGACCUAUGGGAAUACAUUUCUCCACACGUUGUACAUGUUUACCUGUUUGUAGACUUCAUCCACAAAGCUUAUUAGAUCCAAACGUAGACUGCUACAUGCUACAAUUACAUGAGCACAUGGAAAUCGAAGUGCGUCAAAUCUCCCACAGUCACAGGUUCAAUAUCUGAGGUGUACAUGGUACGCUCCCCCAACAAUCUUUUGGUUGGGUCUUUCGAAUUCUAUUACCCAAAACCAUAAGUCUUCACGCGAGUGACACACUAGAUGCAUACAAUUCACUCGUGUUGUUGCCUUCCUAAUUUCUUUUAGUAUGUCCUCGCUCCAAACAUGGUCGCCCUGUAUCUGCCCAACAUAAUUCGCCGCUCGCUUUGGAAAAAUUUCAGCCAAACGGAAGUAUGUCACUUUGAUAACCGAGGUUACCAACAAAUGAUACGUUCUCUUCAAAGCAGAAUUGAUGCAUUCUGCCAGGUUUUUUGUCAUGUGCCCAAACCAUAGACCCUCAUCAUAGGAUUGUGUCCAUUGUUCAAAGGGUAUGUUACCGAGGUAGUCCGCCCCGUCAUCAUUAAUGGCCUGUAAGUUUCUCAGCAUUUCACAGAAACAGUCUUUGAAGAACUCAUACCCUAUCAACAAAAGUGAAUAAUAGUUUAUCCAUAAUGCCCAACAUUUUCUCACUGGUUAAAUAUCAAAGAAUAAUUAAUAGUAGCAAUUAUAUACCCAUGUUGAUCACUUGUGCUCAUGAGCAGUAGAGUCGUAUUAUCUAUGGUAAAUCGAUGAACAUGCCUUAGACAAUACCUAUGGUAUGUGUGGUCCCAAAGGCUUCCCUGUCGUCCAAAUAUGGCUAGAAUUUUAGGCCCUCAAUUUGAGAUGAUGCAAAUAUCGAGUUGGGGGAAAACAUGCCUCAUCAACUUAGAAAGGAAGAAUUCCAAUCAUCUGUUGGCUCUCCAAGCAUGAUUGCAAAGGCAAUCGGUAGGAUUUUUCAAUUAUCGUACUGUGCCACACCCAACAACAACCAAUGGGUAUAUCUCUCGUACAUAAAAGUACCUUCGUUUGUACAAGUGGCUUACAGUAUUGGAAUGCCUCUCGACAUUGCAUGAAAGUCCAAAACAAAUGUUUGAACACUCGGGAUCCAUGGAGCAACCGAUUGUUGUAGUACGCAACCUGAUACGUACAUCUUCAAGACCUGACACCACUGCCAUAUCUCAUUAUACGACGUAUUCCACCCACUAUGCCUUCUCCAAUGUCUUCUGCUUUACGAUCCACGCCUUGCAGUACGAAGACGUGUAAUCGAACUGGCUACAAAAAUUUACAAUUAGAACUAGCACAACAAUUUUAGGACUCGCUUUGACUACAGAGUAUUAUAUCUGCGAUCAUCUUUGAAUCCAAUUUUGAAUGGUCCCGUGAAAUACUUGUAACAACACGAGUACGUUAAGAUUAUCAAUUCAAUCGUGUCAUACACUAAACCAGUAUUAGUGCAGUAUCCGUGACAACACACGUAAACAGAGCGACAAAUUUCUCUAUCGUUCAUAACCCCGUUUUUCUCUUAACAGAUAUCAUGAUUUUCCAUGCAUAUCUGCUGUCUCGCAUUGCGCACUUCACCUUGAACUUGUCAGAUCGGGAUUUAACCACAUAGAAGUUUACCCCAUUUUUAAUUUUGUAUCGCUUCACUGUAACGAUAAAACCAUCUUCAGUUGAGAACUCUUUCCCCACUUCUAAAUCACCCGAAUCCAUCGAAGAAAUCGUUUGGCCCGACCUUCUAGGUGGUAAUUCUGCAAACUCCAUUCCAUCAUCUAUAAAUAGGUCCACAUUAUGCAUGUAGACUGGAGGUGAGUACGCCGUGAACCAUGGAUCUUUUUCAGCAUCAUUACUGAGACAUUUACCAUUUGAACCCUCUAUCUUUUAGUUCAGUUGGAAUCAGUUCUAAUUCAGAAAAUAAUGCAUUUUCUGAACCAUCAGCACCAACAUCUUCCGUGUCAUUCCCUUGUAAGUGUUCCUAGCAUUGAACACUAGCUAACUGAAGUUUAAAUCAGAACCACUAACUAAGUGUUGUGCAGGGGUCCUACCACAAAACCCCGAUUGAUCGGUGUUCUGACUGCUGUAGUUGAAAACUAGUGCUGAAACAGAUGGAUGUCUUCCCAUUUAUGAUUCUGGAUAUCAUAAUGGAAAUUUUCUAAUUGAGAGGUGAACCCACCACACAACUGUGUCGUUGGACUCUCAACUUGUUCUUCCAUUCUAGCCUCUCGAAUAGGAACAUAUGUCGACCUCCGAGGACCUUAUAUGUCCUUGUAAACUCCACAUAUAACUCGAAAAAUGGUGAUCCAAUUCCAAUAUGCGUCUGCACUAUCGCCUCUAACCCCCUCGCACCUUUGAUUUUGAAAGCGUCAUAUCUGAUAGGGUCGACUGAAGCACAAAAUUGAUAUUUAAGGGACAAUACUCUAAUCUGGUUGGAUCUGAUAAUUUUUUGCCUAAUUCUUUUCCAAAGUUAUGGCAAUUCUAUGUUCUAGUUAAAAGCUAACCGCGUUGUGUUCUCUGAUAAAAAAUGACACCAUUUUCGGUGUCAUGCACUUCACCAUCGUAGUAAACAAAAGCAUUCAUUCGUCCACUCAUUUUUAGAUCUAGAUAACCUAUUCCACAUGUUCGACACAAAAUUAUCAUGUAGAGAAAUAGUGUUGUAAUUAAAUAUGAACAACAAAAAUCAAUGCUACUUUAUAUAAUUGCUCCAACUUAUGCCUUAUAUGUGAACUUCUCCUCUUAUGAUCUUCUUACAAUUUUUCUUUACUCGUAAAUGGAUUAUGCCACUCGAUGUUGAAUUAAUUUGGUUUUAUAAACUAGAGGCGACUUGCAGUUGGUUCAGAAAAUUCUCCAGGCCUAGUGGGGAGUUAAAAAUUGUAAAGAGAAAACGCUCCAAGUAGGAUGCACUGUCUGAAAACACUUUCAAGUGGGCACACUUUCAAUGUUUCUAAUGAUAGUGUUGUUAGAGUAUGCCCAAAGACCAAUCAUGAUAUGAUUGCAAUAACUUACUUAUUUUACCUCGUUUAUUAAUAUAAGGCAUUGUCAUUAUUAUUUCAGUUUUUUCUAUGUAUAUAAAUAAACUAUUUUAGAUAAUAAUAUCUUAAGAAUAAUAUGAUUAUUCUUAGAAGGUCCUUAGUCGAGUAUUAUUGUGAGCUUGGACAACAAUAAUGCAUUAAGACUAACGUGUAGUUUAUUAAUGACAAAGUGUUUUCAUUGACAUGGCAUGUCAAAAUCAAUACAUGAGUAUAUGUGUGAACAACAUAUUGGACUAACCCGCUAUGAGUAUGUUUCUUGGAUUAUUAUGUAAUAGUCACAACGUUACUCAUAGUGAUUACUAUGUAUACGAUCCUCAAACUUAAAAUCAUCAUUAUCUUAACAUCAUGAGUCGUAUAUUUUGAUACAAUCAAACAUUCACCGUAACUGGUUGUUCUAUAAAGGCUGAUGUUGGAUAUACUACAAUCUAUGUAGUGGGAUAUGGUUGAUCAAUAUAAGAUUUGCCCUUCCUACAUAAUGGGAGCAAUAUCUUAGGCUACUUGAUUGAAUGAGACUAGAAAUGCAUGACCAUGCUCGAAUAAGUUGAUAUGAGAUAUCAUACUUAUUUGUUUAUCAUAGUCUACUCAGGAUAUCAAGAAACAUUCGAUAGACUAUGCAAGUGUGACUAUUCCAUAACUUGUGUCCAUUCUAGAUAGAAAGAACAAAAGGAUUAAUACAUGAAGGGUUAAUCACAGAGAGGUUAUGUUGAAUCAUGACUUCUUAUAACUUAGGUAGCAAUGAUGCAUUGCUAGAUGCCACUCAUUAUUUGUAAUAUUAGAAUCGUUCUAGUAUUACUGCUAACACUACAAGAACAUACAAGGUCACACUCUAUGGUUAAAACGAACGGAAUCCAAACAUAGUUGGUAAUAUUUUUAGCUGUCACAUGAAUUAAAUUGAUUAUAGAAUUAAUUUAAUUGAGCAUUUAAAUAUCGAACAAAUUAUAUGUACAAGCAUGUUGUACACAUAAUGAGAACAUGAUUAAAUUAAUAUAAAUGAAUUUGAUUUGUAUAAAAUUUAACUAAACAUAAUUUAUCGAAAUCAUUGUUAUAAUUGUUGUAAUUAUAAUUUACGAUCGAAUAUUAUUAUAAUUAUUGUAAUUAUAAUUUUUCGAUCAAACAUUAUUAUAAUUGUGGUAAUUAUAAUUAUUACAUUCGGUUAAUUAUUAUAAUGAAUUUUGAUUCAUAUUAAAAAUAUCAACUAUUCCCAGAUUAGGAAAUAUAGGGUUUUUAAGAAAACCUAAUAUACUUGAAAUAAAAAGAGUGAGGUCUUGCAGCCAUUCUAUAGUGAAUUCUCUCUGAAAAUUUUAAGAGAGUUCUUGUCGUUCGUUGCGACACCAGGUGGAUUAUGUAGAGACCGAAACUUUUUGUAGCGGCUUGGAAUCGACAUACAAUUGCGUAAUCAAUUUCACAACAAUUAUCUGUAGUUUUUCAGACGAUUAAAAGUAAUCGUUCAUACCCUUCUCACCCCGAUUCGUUUCUCGCACAUGGAUCCCUGGAUGUGAUCGCCAAAUUUAAUUUUUUUCGGUUGCACCAUGGGGUGUACUAGUGUUCUUACAAGUGCGUCCUACUUGGAGUGUUUUCUCUCUAUAAAUUUCAACCCCAGCCUUAUUCCAAGAAACUCAUCAUAUAUCCCAGGAUUCCUGAGAUAUAUUUUCUAAACUUAACUAUUUGAAAAUAAUAGAUAAGAGAAUAAACAAUUUACUAAAAAAUUGGAUCAAACAAAUAUUAAGAAAGCGAAAAAAUUAAUAACUAAUAUUUCAUCCCUCGCGAGUAGACCAGGUUUCGAUUAUGAAUCCAAUUCAAUUUUCCAAUUUGAAUAUACGAUUGGUGUAAAUACGAUGUUUUAAAUUUUGAAAUAAAUAGUUAUUAUUUAACAUCUCAAAAAAUUAUUACAAAAUAAAUAAUUAAAAAACUCAAAAAAAAAUUAUUAAACCCUAAACUCAAAAAACCUUACUUUAUAUACCCAAAACCCUAACCCUAAAAACUAAUAACCCUAAUUUUAAAAAGGUCUGGCAUUGGAAAAAUCAAAGGAAAAGUGUUUCUAGUUAGAAGUGUUUUCAGUUGACUUGGCAGAAAGUGCUUCCAACUGGAAACGUUUUUCAGGCAACACGUUGAAAAUGCUUCCAACUGGAAGUGUUUUCCAAAAAAUGGUCUAUUCCCGUAAUUUUUACUAAAAUCGGCCUAUUCACAUAAUUUUUUUGACAUUUAUUGGUAAGUUAGUCCAAUUAAAAUAAUUUUAAUUCUUGAAUUAAAAUAAGUUGAAUUUAGAAAGAAAAAGAAAGUCUACCUUGUAGCAUGUCUGUUUGGUUUUCUCUCUGUCUGCUUGUAAAAUGGUGGAAGAAAUGGUGAAUCUCAAUAUAGCAGAAGAUAAGAAAGAGCCGGUGCAAGCUUUGGGGGAUAAAGAUGUGGUAGAAGAGUAUUAUAGCCUAUGUUUGGUGGGGCGGGUAUUAACGAAUAGUGUGGUUCAUUUCCCAUUUAUGAGGAAUAUUUUGGUAGAUCUGUGGCAUCUGUUGGGGGGAGUAUCCAGCACGGAUAUUGGGGAAAAGCGAGUCCUGUUUUGAUUUUUCAAUAUGAUAGAUCUGAGGAGGGUGAUGGAUGGAAUGCCCUGGUUUUUUAACAUACACCUAAUUAUUUUCCAUUAACUAGAGAAGGGGGAAAGAUCCUUUGCAAGUCCCUCUCAUUCAUGCCUUAUUUUGGGUGUAAGCGCAUAAUUUGCCGAUGGGUUUCAUGUUCGAAGGAAUGGCGCGUAGAUUGGAAACUUUAUUCGCCAAUUUCUAGAGUAUGAUGUUGCGUUAAUAACAAGGAGAGUAAGGAAGUUUAUGCGUAUUAGGGUUAAAUUAGAUGUCCUGGUUCCGUUGAAAAGGAAGAAGCGUGUAGUCUUUUAGCAUAAUAGAUCCACAGAUGCACAGUUCCAAUAUGAGAAGAUUACUUUGUUCUAUUUUUUAUGCGGUAGGUUGGGCCACGGGGAAGGAUUUUGUCCUGUUAGAUUAAUGCUAGGAGCACAGGAGGUGGUUUUUGGUUGGGAUAGCUCGUUGUGGGCUUCACCGCAGAGGGCGGUGCCGGUUGCUAGUUGCUGGCUGAGGGAAGAUCCGGGGGAUGGAGUUGGAUAGAGGACAAGAGGGGAGGAAUUUUGGGGAUAUUCAAACUGCUCAAUCUUAUAACAGUGAACAAGCGUUGUUUUAUUAAUGAUAAUUUGAUAACAAUAUUGUUGAAAAUACCAAUUUGUUUAGAGCUACUGAAGUCUCUGUUUCUCCAGGUUUAUGAAAGCAAAUACAUGAAUGGUUACCUUUCCCAGUUGGCAUAAUUCCAGUAGGGGUGAAAGUAGAGUACUUCCUCCUCAAGUUGAACUCCAAACUUGCUGUCAACCUUAUCCUUCACCAAAGCAAUGAGAUUGAGCAUGUCUUGAGAAGUGGAGGCACCAUUAUUAACUAAGAAAUUGGCAUGGAUAUUGGAAACCAUUGCUCCUCCUAUGCUACACCCUUUCAAUCCAGCUUUAUCAAUCAACUCAGCUGCUGAAACACCCAAAUUCACCGGAUUCCGAAACACUGACCCAGCGCUGCGUUCAUUUACUGGUUGAGUUGCUCUUCGCCUGCAAAUAACAAUUGUUUAUCAGUAAGCAAACCUUUUUCAUACACUGGUUUUGACUUUAAAAGACAGGCAACCUCUUCAAAAGCUCUUGUUGCCUUUUCUUAGCUGACCCUGAGCGCUCUAACCGGAACGUAGCAGCCACGAUUGCUGCCAAGUUGUCCAUGUCCUGAAACGAUGAUGAUCGGUAGCCGAAAGUGAGAUCAAUUCUGUUCAGUGUCCGAAAAUUUCCUUCAGUUGUAACAAUGUCUACGCUUUCAAUAACAUUGGCAGUCUCCUUCAAAAACAAAUGAUCCUUUUUAGCUUCUUCAACCACGAAAAGUAACAAAAAUCCAUUAAUGGUUAGGGUUUAAUCUCAAGAUAAGUUGAAGUCUGAACUCGAGUUCCAUUCAAAAUUCGCAACCCAAAAUCCAAAUCGAGUAUGAUGAACUAUUUCAAACUUAUAUAUCAAAUAACUUUUCUCUACCUUCAACUUCAAACUCAAUUAUUUUUGCUCGAGCUUCGAACUCCAAAUUAGAAUACUCCAAUUCUGGAGCUCGACAAUGACCGAACCAAAUUGGAGUUAAGAAUUAGAGACAUACCUGACCAUUUGCUCCAGCAUUCAUGUAAGUUGCACCUCCUACAGUCCCAGGAAUGCCUGCUGCAAACUCAAGACCUGUAAAUCCUUCAUUGCAACUCAGACUUCCCAAGUGAUUAAAUCGAAAACCACUACCAGCCCUAUAAACUCCAGGUUCCAUCCUCUCUAAGAAGUCAAUCUGAUUUAGAAGCACACAACCAUCAAAACCCAGAUCAUCAAACAGACAAUUUGAGCCUUUGCCAAUCACAACGUAUGGAAUGGAAAACUCACGACAAUAUCUGCAUUACGUAUCAGUUGAAAUCUAAAAUGUUGGUCAUUGAAUCAAAGAGCUUUCAGCCUUGUCAAAAGAAUCAAAUUCAAAUAAAUUACCAUUUCUACUUUAUUAAGAUAAGGUUGAAGAUAGCAAGAAGAAUGAAACCUGAUGGCAGAAAGCAGAUGGGUUUGGUGAAAGACUUGAACAAAGUAAUUGCAAGGGCCACCAAUGCCCCAAGUGCUAAGAUCCUUCAAGAGUUUCUUGCCUCUGACGAAUUUCAAGGCAUUCCAAUUCUGGGUUUGCUCUUUGUUACUGGAAAAAAUGGGGGUUGAGUUUCUAGGAGAUUGAACAACGGGGAAGGCCAUGGACGCCAUUUUAGUGAAGGUUGGAGGAGUUGGGAGCAUGAGUGACGGAUUUUGUCGGGAAGUUGAGAACGGGAAAUUUAUUUCCAUCAGGUUCUUGAUGGGCUUUCACUAUCAAAGAUUUAAACACUUCCGUUUAAUGCGUUAUUACGGUAAAAAGUUCUUUCACUCCACUCAAUUUGGGAAAUAGUAACUGAGGGUUAAUUUUAUAUAAUUUUGAUUAAUAAUAUAAUUACAUAUUUUAACAAUUUAAUUUUAAUCCUAAAAAUUUAAUAAAUUUAACAUUUAAUAUAUAAAAAUCAAUAAAAAAAUACAAUUUAAUCUUCAGCACCCAUAGCAAUUCUUCCUCCUAUCUUUGGAUCCUUCCAUCUUAUUUUUGAAUUCUAAAGCUCUAAAUACUUUCACAAAUAAUGUUUCUUUUUUCUUCUUAAUAUCUGAAAAUCGUAAAGAUUCAAGGAAGCUUCUUUAGAUUCACUUUAAGACGGUAAUGUAUUCCAUCGACAUCCAACCUCUUUUGUAAUAAGUCGUUGAUUAUUUUUAUUAUUUUCCUCCAUCGACUAUAUUUUUCUUCUCAUAUUUAGUUCCAAUCAACAUAAUUAAUCUGUUUCCAUUCCCAUAUUAAUUGCUUUUACUUUUCCUUUUUCUUCCCCUUCUUGAGGUUAAGAAAUCCCAUAAAAGUAAUUUUUUUUAAUCAAUUGAGGUGUUUGUCUGGGUUUGGCUUAGUUGCCCAUCUCAACAAAGCAAAAGUUUUGAGAAAUUGGGUUUUGAAUUCUACAUUGGAUGGGUUUUGAGAAAUUGAGGUUCCUCCGUUAGAUAGGUUCAACGCCAUUUAUAUAUGUAAAAAGAAGAGCAUUCAAUAUGGGAAUGGAAAUUGGAAACAUUUUAACUUUACCACCAUCGGAUCAUGCCCAAACUCAAACCAGCAGCACUUUUCUUUUUCCAAAAUUAGAGAGCAAAGGGAAGUGAAAUAAUAUAAUAUGUCUUGAUUACCAACAAUUGCGGAUCUAAACCAUUGCUUCCAGCAUUCACCUCCAAUGGGUCAUUCGUAUCUAACAGGAUUUCGAAUAAAUUGCCUGAAACACAUAGUUGGAAAUUUUGAGUAUUUUUAAAAUAUAUUUUUUUAAAAUUUGAGAAAAUUUGAAAUUUAUAUAUAUUUGAAGUUUAUUUUUUUAUAUAUAUUUUAUUCUCAUAUAGUUUUUCAUUUUAGAAUCAAAACCAAAUUGAUUGAAGGUGUAAAUACUAAGGGUUAAAUUUGAUUUGUUUUAAAAAUUGGAACCAAUUUGACAAAAUAUGAAAAUAUUAAAUGCUAAAAUUGUUAUUAUACCAAUUAAAAUUAUUUAAAGCUGGCAAAAAAAAUGAUCGUCCUUAGUUGCACAAUUUUGAAAUUUUUAGAGAUUAAACUACUUUGUUUUUUUAGAAGAAUCAAUUUAAUCAAUAUCGAAUUUGACAAGGACAGGGGAGGUCUUUCCACCAUGUUAAUUACUAUAAUUUUAAAUUUCUGAUAUUUAAACAAAGAAGGGGAAGAAAUACUGGAUGGCAAUUAAAGUGGAUUUAGAGAAAGCUUACGAUAGAAUUCGGUGGGAUUUCAUUAGUGAUACUUUGUUGGACGUUGGAUUUCCUUCGAAUUUAAACGAGGUGAUUAUGGAGUGUAGUACUUCGGCUUUCAUGCAGAUAUUAUGGAAUGGAAAACCUUCAGUCUAAUUUGUUCCAAGGAGAGGCAUUAGACAAGGAUGUUGUAACAGCCCGUUUUCGAUAAAAUCGGAACAAUGGUUUCGGGACCACAAAUCUAAUUUCGGAAAAAAAUUUAUUAUUAUAUUAUUUUAUAGUCUAUAGUAUGAUAGUAAUGUCAUAUAAAAAUUUCGUAAAGAAAUUUUACCGAUUACAUGUUUAAUUUGAUAAAGUACCAAAUUGCACAAAGUGCAAAAGUUGAGUUCUAAUAGCUAAAGGGAUUAAAUAGCUAUAGAACUUUAAAUUGGAGGUCCUUAUAUGGUAAAUAGACCAUUAAAAAAACUUAGUAAUUAAGAAUGAUGAUUCAUCCAUGGAAAAUAAAAUAAAGAAAAGGAUGAAAUUAGAAAGUGAAAUAAUAAAAGAUAAUAAAUGAUGAAAAGAUAAAAAUAUCAUCAUUUAUAUCAUCUUUCCCAAAUUAAAAGCAUGGAAACCCUAGCACUGGAAACCUAAGCUCAAGCCAACUUAUUUUGCUUGAUUAGGUAAUUAUUCUUGCCCGUUUUUAAUAAUUUUUAUAUUUCUCAUAUCGUAAAAGCUUAAUCUAGCUAUCUUCAGGAUUAAUUUGCAAAUUUAUCAAGGUACUAGGGUUUUUCCAUGGAUGAACAUAGAUGAAUUAUGAAGUUUUAUGAUAGAAAAUGAAAGGUUGUUGAUAAACAACUUUUGUAAAGCGAAUUUUGAUGAAAUUAUGAUUUAGGAACUAAAUUGAAAAGAUAUAAAAUUCAUGAAAAAAUUCUAAAUUUUAUGAAAUACAUGGGCUGUAAAUUUUACAUGUAAAAAUCGACUAGGCUUGGAAUAAGGAUUAAAUUGCAUGAAUUUUAUUUUUCGAACUUAGGGACGAAAUCGUUAUUAAUUAAAAUUUUAGGGGUAAAAUGGUAAUUUUUUCUGAGAUAUGGAUUGAAUUGAAAUGAACAUGAAUUAAUGUUAAAUUCAUCAUAUAGAUUCGGAUAGACCAAAUUCGAAGUUAGAACGAGGAAAAGAGAAAAUGUUGGAUUAGUAAAUUUUGCGUACACGAAUAUUUGUCGAGGUAAGUUCGUGUAACUAAAUUAUGUAUAUUAAUAUGUUUUAAUUGAAUGUUGUGUAUGUGAACUGUAUAAAUGCUAAAUAUAUGAAAUUGAUUACAUAUCCGAAAAAGCCCGAUAAAUAUUAAAUCUCGUUUGAAUAAUGGAAUUCGAUGGAUACAGAAUUUCCCAAUUGGUUGUAGUCCUGCAUGUGUUGCGGACACACCACAGCUCCUACGAGCAUCCUGUUAUAAGCCCUCUCAAGCUUCUUGUUAUAUGGUUCCUACAAGCAUCCUGAUCGAUAGUGAUCUUGCAUGUGUUGCGGACUACCGCAGCUCAUUGUGAUCGUCCUGUUAUAUGAUCGGUUGUGAUCCUGCAUAUAUUGCGAACACAAACACAGCUCCUUAUGAGCGUCCAGAUAUGGCUCGUUUGAACUUCCUGAUAUAUGGUUAUCCGGAGCUCCUGAUUAAAAGCUCUUCGUGAGCUUCUUAAUUAAAAGUUCUUUAUGAACUUCCUGAUUAUUACUCUUAUGAGAUUCCUGUUAUAUAGCCUGGAUAAGCUUCCUGAUAGGCUCUUUAUGAGCUUCCCAAUUAAUGGCUCUUUGCGAGCUUCCUGUUAUAUGGUUUAAGAGAAGAUUUCUCGAUUAUGUGCUAUAAAGAGCACUCUUGAACAUGAAUUGACAGAUUUCUAAUUUGUACACUUCGAGUGUACUACCUGUGUAUCCAUCGAUAUUUCAAAUAAAUUCAACGGGCAAAAUCCUGACAUGAGAAAAUAUGAACAUGAAAUGAAUUAAAACACGUAUCUACCUGAAAUACAUGAAAAUGAUGAUACAUGAUAUAUGGAAAUACGAGAUGAUAAUAUAUGAACAUGGAAUUUGUUUGAUAAAUAUGUUCAUCCAUGAUUAUAGAUUUGUACACCUUGAGUGUAUUACUCGUGUGACACUAACAUUUCAAAUGAUUCAAUGGGCAAAGUUCCGACAUGAAAUAAUCUGAACUCGAGACGAAUUAUCAUGAAAAUGUACUUGAAAUAAAAUUAAAUAUCAUUUUACUUGAUCUGUAUAUUUCGGUAAUGCUUCGUAACCCUAUUUCAGAGACAGAUACGGGUUAGGGGUGUUACCGAUGUCCAAUGUCUCCUUAUAUCUUAGUGCUUUGUAAGGAAAAAUUGGGUCAUUUAAUUCAUAAGAAUGUUAAGAAUAAACUGUGGAAACCAAUUGUUCAGGGUAAGAAUGGCCUCCUUUAUCACAUCUUUUAUUCGUUGGUGACCUGUUCUUGUUUGCUGAAGUAGAUAUUGAUUAGGCUAAGGUCUUAAAAAAUGUUCUCAACACUUUUAGAGACGUCUUGGGACAUGAAGUCAAUAGACUUAAAACCACUGGCUCUUCUCUAGCAACAUAGACUCCAACCAUGCUAAUGCCAUCUGUAGUGUUUUUGGUUUUUUCCAGACUGAUGAUUUGAGGAUUUAUCUGGGACUACCUCUCAUUCACUGAUGAAUAACAGUGAACUCUUUCAAAUUCAUUGUGGACAAAGUUAGACGAAAGUUGGACAGUUGAAAUGCCAAAAACACUAUCUGUGGUGAGAUGAGUAACUUUAGCUCGGCCAGUUUUAUUGUCGAUUUCUAAUUAUUUUAUGCAAACUGUGAAAAUCUCGUUUAGUAUUUGUACAGAAAUUGAAAAAAUUGCUCAGUGAUUUAUUUGGGGGAGUUAUGGAACCUUUCAAAAACCAGUGUUGGUAAAAUAGGGAGAUUGUUGUCAACCUUUGCAUAAUGGGGGCUUAGGUAUCUGGAGACUUAAGGAACAAAAUGAUUCUUUUUUGCUUAAUUUGGGAUUUAAUCUCCUAACCAAUGAGCAAGCUUUGUGGGUAAGGGUACUCCGUUCUAAGUACAAGCUCUUGGAGGAUUUUUCUAAAGACAUUUCUCGAAGCAAAUGUUCUCUUGUCUGGAGAUUGCUUGCGAAGGUUUAACCCAUUUUGCGUUAUAAUUUUAUUUGGUCAGUUGGUGAUAGGAAUUGUAUAAAAUUUUGGACUGUCAAUUGGAUUUCUGAAAUAGGGCCGCUUAUAAACCAUGAUUUGGUUCCCUCUCUGGUUGAUGUUUCUAUUAUGCUUCAUGAGGCGGUGGAUAUAGAAGGUAUUUGGCACUGGAAAUACUUGAGGUGUUUUUUAAAUGAGGAUAUUCUAUCUUAAAUCAGAGGAAUUUCGACUAUGAAUUCUUUAACAGGCUAUGAUGAUGUUAUUUCGAGCUGGGCAGCUAAUGGAAAAUUUAGCAUCAAUGAGGCUUACUGUAAGCUAACAAUUAACUCAUUGAAAAUGCAAGAAGAAAAAUGGAAUCUUGUUUGGUAUUUGAAUGUCUUACAACGUGUUCAACAUUUUAGUUGGAUUGUGUAUAAGGGACGUCUCUUUACUAAUUUGGAAAGGUGUAGACAAGGAUUGUCAGAAUACCAUCAUGUAAGAUUUAUGGGAAUACAGAAGAAUCUAGUCUUCAUGUUUUACAAGAUUUUCCUAAGGAAAAAGAAGUGUGGAAUCAAUUAAUCCCUCACAGAAUUCAGAUAAGUUUUUUCACUUACUCCUUAGAGGAUUGGCUGACUUUAAACAUGGAAAAUAAACUUGAGGUUACUCUCUAGGAUGCGGAUUGGCCAUCUUUGUUUGGGAUUGUUUGUUGGAAAAUUUGGAAACAGAGAAAUGUGUGCGUGUUUCAAGAUGACCAUUGCAACAUAAGCAGUUUGAUUCAUUCUUCGUGGUUAUGGGCAAGGUCCAUUAAGUAGAGAUAGAUAAGUUCGAGAGGGAGUAAUGGGAAUCAAAUAAGAAGCCAAAGAUGGGCCCCUCCACCUAUUGGUUUCUUUAAAAUAAAUACAGAUGGCGCUUGCAACUUGAGUUUGGGUUCUGCAUGGUCAGCAACGGUGACACGUGAUAAGCAUUGUGACAGCCCAAAAUUGACCCUAGUCGGGAAGUGGUUUCGGGACCACAAAACCGAGUCAUAAAAAUAAUUGAUUUCCAUAUUCUAUGCUUAUUAUGUGUGUACAUGAGUAUGUGGAAGUUUCAUUCUCCAAUUUUGCCAAUUGCAUGAGAAAUUAUUAAAUAGGGAUUGAUAUGAGACAUGGUGAAAAUAUGAUAGGCUAAUUUAAAAUGGUCUAUUAAUGCAUGUUGUGAAAAUGAUGGGUUUGCAUGUCAAAUUACCCAAAAUUUGAGCUAGUGGUUGGCCAUGCUAUGGGUGGAAACAUGUUGGGAACAUGUUGGCCUAGUGAGGUAUGUAGGAAAAAAAUAAAAUAAUAGGCAUGGAAAUUAAAUAAUGAAAAGGAGCAUGAUGAAUACACAAAAAAAAAAGUGUGUAGUUGAUUCUUUUCCCCCCCAUGGCCGUGAGCUAAAAAAAAAAAGAGAGGAGAAGAUCUUUGUUCAUCCUUUUCUCACCUUCAUUUAGCCUAAAUUAGAAAGAAAAACAAAGAAAAAAAUUUCUCAUCCUUUGGUUCAUCCUUGGCCAAAAAUUUUAAUGAGGAAAGAAGAAGAAAGGUGAAGAGAUUCGGCCAUGCAUGUAGCUAGGCUAAGGUAUGUUUGAUGAUGUUCCAUGAGAUGCAUGCAUGUUUUAGUUGUUAGCUUGAGUUCUACCUAGCCCAUGGUCUAAAUCUUGCUAUGUGAUGGAAAUGGCACUUGACCAUGGAUGCAUCAUUCUUGGUUGAUGUUUGAUGUUGUGGUGAUGAGGCAUGAGGAUGAGUUAAGAUUCGGCCUAGGUGGAGGUCGUGUUAAUGCCAUUGCAUGCAAAAUAUGAAGCUUGUUAAUGAUGCAUGUGAUGAUGGCUUGAUGAUUUUUGAACCUCCUUUUUAGCAUUUUUGUGUGAGCACAUAUGUGCAUUGAUUGCUAAAUGGAGAAGAAUCGGCUAGCAAGAUGUGUGCUAAGGCCGAAUGUAACUUUGCAUGUUAAUGAGCAAUGCAUGUGUUAAAUUGAUGAAAAGGGGGAGGAUGCUUUACUAGUGUGUAUAUGUGUGUAUUAAGUGUUGAAAUCGACCCCAAAAAUAGACAUGCAUAUUCGGCCAAGGGGAAAGAAAUUAGCUAAUAUGUUGUGUUGAUGCAUGAUUUUUGCAUGUACGAGACUUUAAUGUCUAAUGUAUAAAUAUGGGCUAAGUGCCUUGUGUUCAUCUUUUUGAUGCCUAAAUGAUGAAAUCAAUUUAUUUGUUUAAUUAAGCUCAAGAGCAAAGGGGAAAUAAAUCCGAUAAAGGGAAGGAAAAAGUGGUCGAAUAGUUAGCGGAAUCGUUCGACAACACCCGAGGUAAGUUCUUGAGUAAGAGAGCUUAAAUUACGAUGUGAUUAAAUCAUGUUUUAAGCAAAUUAAAAUCAUGCUCUAUGUGUGGCUAUUGAGCCGAAUGUGCAAGGACGAUAUGUGCCUUGUGUUUGAGUUUCGCAAAUGAAAAUGAAAUAUGAAUGUGCCAUGAAUUAUUGUUAGAUGUGCAUGAUUAAUUGAAUGCUGUCCGGGCUAAGUCCCGAAGGCUUUGUGCUAAGUGAAUAUAUCCGGACUAAGAUCCGAAGGCAUUUGUGCGAGAUACAAGUUCCGGGUUAAGCCCCGAAGGCCUUUGUGCGAGAUACUAAAUCCGGGUUAAGUCCCGAAGGCAUUCGUGCGAGUUAUUAAAUCCGGGUUAAGUCCCGAAGGCAUUGUGUGAGUUACUAAAACCGGGCUAUGUCCCGAAGGCAUUUGAACGAGGAGCUAUAUCCGGUUAAAUCCCGAAGGUAUGUGAUUUGGUAAUGAAUGAGCUUGCUGUAAAAUUCCAGCGAAUACACGAAAAACAUCCCAAUAUGGGGAUAUGUUACGUAUGUGUUGAAUUUAGUCGAGCCCGUACAAAUAAAUGUUCGCUCAGUUGAUAAACGAGCUACCGGCCUUCGGCUAAGUUAGUCUAUUGUGUAUGUACAUAAUGGUUGUUUAUGUUGUGAAGCAAGUUUGAUAUCGGUAAAUUGCGUAUUAUGAAAUAUUCCGUUUAGCUAAAUGUGUGUUAUACUUUGUUUAUGCUGGAAUUCCUUGCUCAAAACUUACUAAGCAUAAAUUGCUUACUUGUUACACUGCUCCUCUGUUUUAUAGAUUUUUGGUUCUCCAGCUAUCGGACUCGGGAUCUUGAAGUCGAAGUCGCCCACACUAUCAAAGGCUCUUUUGGGUACUAUUUUGGUUGAAUUUUGAUAUGGCAUGUAUAGGACUACCCAUUGUUGUUUUUCGAGUACUUUAUGAAAUGUAUAAGUGUACAGCCAUGCGAAAAUGGCUUGUAGAAGUAGAAUAUGGCAUUAGACCAUUCGUGUUUAUGAAUGUAUAGAUGGUUUCAUGAUGUAACUAUAGUUGGAAUGGAAGUGUUGAGCAAAUGAUCAGCCAUUGGAAUGGCUAAGUAUGAUCAUAUGUGGGCAUAUGUAUGACAAGGCCCUAGUUGGUCCAUGAAACCCCGAAAAUAGGUAGUGAAUAAAUAUGUAAUCGAACCUUGAUGAAUCUACUUUCAUAUGAAAGUAACGAAACAAUCAUACGGACAGUAUGUUAAGAGAUAUUCAGGUUCUCGUGAGACAGGGCCAGAACGGUUUCUGGAUUCCCUGUUCCGACUUUGGAAAUUCAUUAUAAAUUAACCAGAGAUAAUUAGGAGUCAUACCAUAUAUGUAUAGAUUCCUCUCUGAGUCUAGUUUCUAUAGAAAUAAACGGCAUCAGUAUUGGAGCCCUGUACAAGGAGAUAUCCAAGUCGUAAUGCGCAAAGGUCAGGGUAGUCGAUCCCUGUAACAUGGGAGACUUUGACUAAUAAACUGUACUAAUUGGCCCAACCAAAAAUUCUAGAAAAAAAUAUGUAGAUGGGCAUAUGAGUCUAGUUUCAGGGAAAAAUCACGAAACUGAUUUUCGAGUUGUGAAGCUCAAGAUAUGAUUUUUAAAGCGACUAGUACACAGAUUGGGCAGUGUCUGGAAAUUUUUCAAAGUUUGUUAACACCUCGUGUUCGACUCCGGUGUCGGACUCGGGUUCGGGGUGUUACAAGCAUGGUAAUUGGAUGUGGGGAAUAGGAAGAAGUAUUGGUACAUGUAGUGUACUACAAGCUGAGCUUUGAGCAAUAUAUGAUGGCCUCUGUUUUGCCUGGGAAGCCUAAUGGGCAAAUGUUAUUAUUGAGAAAAAUAGUGUGCAAGCUAUUAAAGAUGUUGUGCGAAUCCAGGAACUUUGCCAACGCGAAUGGAGAGUGCUCUUUAAAUAAGUACCAAGAGAGGUGAAUUUGACUGCUGAUAUUUUAGCUGGUUUGAUGAAAGAUGCUCCUAUUGGCUUAAGAAUAUUUCAUGCUUCCCCUUCACAGGUUGAUGAUCAAUUAUAGACAGAUAGACGAGUUAUGCUACUCAGCAUUGAUAUUACUAUUAGCUUGUAAUUGAAGCUUUUUAUUUCUUGUUACAAAAAAAAAUCUGAUAUUUAGGGUUAGUUUCACUGUAGGAAGUAUAAGCCAUAUUUGAAUUUUAGAAUGUCAGUAUUUUAAAUUGUAUUAUUUCAUUUGAAUAAAUAUUUUAUAAAAUAAGAAAAGUAUAUUAAAAACAAAGGAUCCUAUUAAAAAUUUAGCCUAUAUUUUCUUUAAAGGUUUUUUUUCUCUUUGUGAGUUGUUUCGAGUAAGAUCUCGAGUAUUUUUUUUUGUUUCUUUGUCUUGUUUUUGGUUUCUUAGGAUUUUCCUUUAGGACUUUUUGAGUUUGUUUUUAAGAAUUUGGUCGUUCUUCUUUUUCGAUUGUUUGUUUUAUUAUUUUGUAGGUUUUUCUUUCAUUUCCUUUUGUGGAAGUUGGCAGUGUUAUUGGCCUUUAACAAGGGUUACAGAAGGCUUGCACUUCAUUAAUUUUCUAACUCAUUAUGGGUCAAGAGGGUAGAGGUUAUGGAGAGUGAUUUCUCUAUUAAUUUAAAAGAAGAUAGGGCGGAGGUUGACUGUAUGGUGAGUUGUACUUUGAUUGGUAAGGUUAUUUAUGAUAAGAAAUUGUAUCGGAGGAGUGUCAGUAAUGUGCUGCAAAAUAUUUGGUUUUCAAAUGAAGUGGAAUCAGUUGUAGAAAUGGGGAUUAGUUUGUAUACGAUAAAUUUUUAAAGUUCAGCUUGGAUGGAGAAGGCUUUACGUGAGAGUCCUUGGUUGGUGAUGGGGUGUUUCUUUGUCCUAAUGAAGUGGGAACCAGAUAUGGGUGUUCAAGAUAUUGAUUUCUCUAAGGUGGCUUUCUAGAUCUAGGUACACAAUUUGCCUCUUAUGAUGUUAACUAUGCAAAAAUCCUAAGAAGGUUGAUAACAUAAUUGGGGAUUUGGUUUGUGUAACACCCCUCACCUGUCUCCGUUACUAGAUUAGGGUUACGAGAUGCUACUAUACAAUACAUAACAUAAUUAUGCUAUAUCAAUGCAAUACAUUCCCAAACAAUUGUUAACUAUCAAAUUUGUAAUCAUGUCAUUCAUAUCCUAACGGUAUUAAAUCGAGCUCAACAAAUCUAUAAAACAAUUUAAAACAAAGUAGGGACUCAUUUGAAACAUUUUAGAAAAGUGAGGUAAAAAUGAAAAUCACACAGCUGUGUGAAUCUAUAGGACAUGGUCGUAUUGACUAACCGUGUGGGAGGAGGUACACGAUCAUGUCUCCAAACCAUGUAACUAACUGAUGUCGUGUGUGCCAAUUGAAACUUAAAUCACAUAGACCACACGGUCAUGGCAUACACCCGUGCAUGGCACAUGACCGUGUGCACCUAAAUGACACUUUCUCCACAAGUUACCUAAUUCAAUUUCCUUAGGCCACAAGCAAUAUUAAACCAUCAUUCAAACCUACUCAAAGUCAUCAAAAUAUACCUAAAACAACAUCUAUCUCAUACAUCCUAAGUGUUUAACUAAUAUGCUACAUUUGACACCUUAAUUCAAACAUAUUCAAAUUCAUAUUUAACAACCAUCAAUUCAUAAAACAUAUGCCUAAUAUUUGAACCAUUUCAUCAAUCAUAUACCAAAACAAACCAUACAAAACAUGGCCAAAACAUCCUUAAAUAUGUACAUACUUAAUCACCAAAAGUACCAACUUAGCAAAAUACCUCAUCAUUAUUCACAUAGCCAAACCCUACCACAACUUGAAUAUAUAUAUGAAAUCAAAACACCUACUACAUGGAACUUAUAACCUACCCAAAAAUGGUCAAAAUUCUACCGAGUCAUUAAACUGAUAGUGUGAGCUCGGACUUGACUUCCAAUCGACAAUGACUUUCGAUUAUCUAAAAAGAAUCUAACAGGACGGACGUAAGCAAUUAUUGCUUAGUAAGCUCAUAUUAAAAUUAACUCAACUUACCAAUUUUUCAAGAAAACAACUAAAGCAUGGAUUAUACCAAUUCGCAGGAUAAAUUCUAUGCUCAUGGUUAGCCUAUACAAAUCACAAAUAUUACAAAUUAGUACUUGUCACACCCCAAGUUUAGCGGAUCUAAGAAUGAGGCAUGUAGUUGUGAAGUUAUUUGUUUGGCGUAGUGUAAUCCACCAUGUUAAGUUUUCUGACGAAUUGAAAUGUGGCAUAUAGUACCUGCCAUUGAGUAAAUAAAGGUAUUAGGUUAUUUUGUUAUCUAAGAGAAGGACAUAUCAAGCGAAGUUCGGUCAGGUAAAAGUUACUGCCAAAUGUUUAGUAUGCCUAAUCUGUUUGAAUAUUGUGCUAGUUGGAUUGUAAAGUGAUCUGGUUAGGCUGGUCUAAUAUCCAUUAUGCAGGAUUUUCAUUUAAUUUUCUCUCAGAAUCUAUAGGCCAUUAAGAAGGACAAAUUUUGAAUUAAGUGAUACUUGUUAAGUUCCACGAAGUAGGACUGGAGAGUAUAUAUAUGUGAGAAGGGUUUGUCAGGACGUUUUCUUCUUCCUUCAGUAUUACUCUUUGGUUCUAUUUUUAAAUUUAAAUGUUACUUGAUCUACCACAAAUCAACGUGGCAAAUUAGGAUUGACGCACUUGAUGAUCUUUUUCUCGAGCAAAAUAGAGUUUUUAGCAAUUUUUUUAUUUUCAUAUUUUUGGGUAAUAAGUGAAAAUGUCUUCAUUUUGUCUAUUUUUUCCCAAAUUGGUAGAUAGUGCCAUUGGGAGGUCUAACGUGUGUUUGAAUGCAGUAGGGACGUGUCAAAGGUCGAAAAUGAGCGAGAACGACAUCUAGGGCAAGGGUAUGCGUUAUCCAACCUCUAAAAUCGCGAAUCCUAUUUUGAGUUUUCAAUAUGAUAGAUCUGAAGAGGGUGAUGGAUGGAAUGCCCUGGUUUUUAAUAGGCAUCUUAUUAUUUUCCUUUAACUGGAGAAAGGGGGAAGAUCCUUUGCAAGUCCCUCUUAUUCAUGCCUUAUUUUGGGUGUAAUGCCUUUGUGGUGAAAUCAGGGUAAGUUUAGAGACUCAUUUGCUAGAUAAAUCUGUGGAACAGAUUUGGAUAAGUUUGAAAACAUCUCUAUUUGGAUAGCCUUGUGAUAAAAUUGAGUAUGACUUAAAGGCAAUUUCUGAAAGAGUCUCAAUAGUGUUUCUAAAGGGUGAAUCAACCAUAGUAGUCUGUCAGUACAAGUAAUUUGGUAUAUUCGUAAUUAUGAGUAGCCUAAGAGUUUGUCAGAUUUGAAUUUGUUUUCUUUAUGUAAGGAAGCAAUUUGAAUUAUCUGGUAUCUGUCAAAUCUGAGUGUUUCACAUUAUAGAUAAAAAGGUUAUCUGAAGUAUAAAUUGUCCAUCAAAUCAGAGUGUUCUCAUUAUAUGUAAUAUGGUUGUCUGGGAUUCCACUGGAUGACUUAGAAGACUUCACCCAUCAGAAUAAGUUAUGAUCUGGGUUGAUAUAAGACAUGAUCUGACUAGUAAUCUGAUAGCUGUCAAUUCAUUAUGAGAAUCCACCAAAUGUAAGAUUUGUAUGAAGCUUGUCUUAAAAGAUCAGUUAGUAUUAGUAUCAACCAAGAAUAGUAUCUAUGAGUACCCCAUCAUGGGGGAGGUAUUCAACAUCUGACUGAGUGAGAAUCCGUCAAAGUUAGGUUUUGUAUGGAUACCUUUCUAUGAAGUGUAUUCAUUUUUUGAAAAGGAAUGAGAUCUAUAUUGAGUGUUCAAGACUAGAAUCUGCUCAAUUAGUGAAUUGUAUGUAGGGUGUUUGAGUAUGGAAGUUGGCAUAUAUGCAUACACCCAAUAUUAAGGAAGUACUCGCCAAAGUUAGAAAGGAAAUCCAGAAUCUUUCAAGAUGAGGAAUUAAACAACAAAUGUUGCAAGGUGAUUUGAGUUAAAACUCACUAAUUUCAUUUGAACUUACAAAUGUUUGUUUAUGUUUCAAGUUUCGCCUUAAGAGUAGGUACGCCAAAAGGGACCAAGCCAGGAUUGUGCCAAUGUAGCAGUUCAAGUGGCAAAAUUAUGCAUACAAAGCGCACUAUAAGAGUAUGGUGUAUAGUACUCUACGCUAUAAAGAGUUAGUUUCAAGCUGUAACGUUAUAUGUUUUUCAAACUUUGAUGUAAUCAUCAAAUAUCUAUUUUAAGAAUAGUACAAAAGAAAUAAGAAAUAUAUAUAUUAGAAAAAUUUUAUGCCUGUUGUAAAAUCUCUGCUAAAUGCUCUUGUAUUGAAUUCGGUGAUUCGGGUCAAGUAGAGGGUGUUAUAAUCUUUUCAAUUUUUAACCGCUUUUUUGCACGACCCAUACGGCCCUAUAUAUUUCUCAACCUAUUUUUAACAUAAUUUUUAAUGUUAAACUAAUCCUAAACAUCCCCUAAGCCCUUCUAAUAGUAGUUAAUCACCUCCCUUCCAUCGUUGUUUUAAGCUUUCGCCAUUUUUUUCGCGAGUUCCUUUGUUCCUGCCACGCCAUUAUUGUCGCCUCUCUACUGCUCACCUCUAUUGUCAGCCGCCUCGUCAACCAACAAUCUCAGUAAAAUGUUUUUAACUUUUGUGCUUUAUUUUUUUAUUUCAUCGUAUUAGUUUAUUUUCGGAGUAUAUUUUUAUAUUACAUUCAAACGGCCCUGAGAAAAGUUUUCCCCACCUCGCAAUUGAGUGAAUUAGGAGAAUUUAAUUCUACCCGAUUUUGAAGCCAAGAAGUUGAAAAAUACUUCUUGGAACUCCAAGGGAAGAUUUUCAUUCAAGAACGCGGGUUUGACUAGUCGUUCGACUUGAACGAUGAAAUUUGGGACUUGAUUCGUGUGAACCAUUCGACUGACUUUUGUCUCACAUAAAAAGAGUCAGCAAUUGACUCUGUUGUGUACGAGUUUUAUGCCUUGUUAAAAGAGCGAGAAAAGAAUAAAGCAUAGCACAAUGUGCACCCUCAUGCGAUCAUCUGAGGCAAAAAGCUCAUGUGUACUCCCCAAAAAAUUUACAACUUUUCUAAUGCCCCAUACUAUGUCUCUGAUGCUUUAGAUGCAUUAGAUAUUAAUCAUUUCAGAGACAUAGAUAUGGAUGAGAUUGUUACUUACUUAACCGAGGGGAGAGAAGUUUGGAAAUACCAAUCGAACACCAACAUCCCAUUAUUGUUCAAUAAGAAAUAAUGUUCUUGGUUUCCAAAAUAUGGAUGCAGUUUAUCUAUACGCUAAUCUCACCAGCUUUAAAUGUGUCUAACCUUAAUGCAUUUUGAGUUAUUUUUUUUAUUGUAUCUUGCAACGUCGAGAAGUGUGCAUGAGUGAUAACUCUUGAAAAGAGUUAUAUUUAAGGCCUCUAAAUAGAAUUAAUUAGUUGUAAUUAAGUGAAUACAUUUUCAUUUUUAGGAUAUUUUUAGAACAUUGCAUAAUAAACCUUGGAUUGUGAUAUAAUGGUCAUUAUUUGUUACUUUUAUAACUUGGGGAGGAAAUGUGUGGUUUUGUGUGAAUACAGGUGUAAGAAGAGCAAGAAAAUGAAGAUGGAAAAUAAAGGAAGUGAAAUAUUAUCGUAGCAAAUAGUGAAAUUGAUUGCCAACAGAUUUGCCAUGGUAAUUUCGAGAAGAUGACUCAGCACUUUAUCCACAUCAUUCUCAGCCAGUUGUGCGUGUACCAAAAAAUCCAACCUGAAAAGAAAAAUGAAAAAAGUGUGCUGAGGUGAGACGAAUCUACCCAAUAAAAAAAGAAGAGAGAAGAAGAAAAAAGGAGGAGAAUUUGUAUAAGAAAGAGACUAGUUACAACAAUCCUCUCUCUGCACAGAGAAAAACUCCAUUGGAUAAUUCCAGAGAAAUAAAGGGUAGCAGCUACAGAGAGCAGAAUAUAGACGUGUAGAAGGGAAAGAGACAUCUAUCCUGGAUUCACAUACGAUUGGAAGAUAAAAGAGAAUCUAGAGUGUGGCGAGAAAUCCUGCAGUUAUGCCUUUAGUUUUCCUGAUUUUUGUUAUUCAAAAUUCUUUAAAUGUUGAUGAAUGAUUUAAUUUUGGUGUUUACUUUUCCACCCAUGAACUAAAUCUUUUCUGGGUUGGAGUUAUUUGGGUAGAUGUUUAUCAUCUUUAAUUUUCAUGAUUUGAGAUUGCUUGUAUCUUUUUUCAUUCGUUUAUGCAUAUUUUAAAUACAUGCAUGCAAGCUCUAGACAUAGUUGAUUGUAUGUUGUGUUCAUAGAUGUAUUUUUAAUUCUGAAAAGGUUAAAUAUACUGGAUCUAUAAUUUUUUUAUGCAAGCGAAUAUUCGACUAAAUAUUCGUAGCACUCUAGACAUAGAUGUUGCGAGUUGUGCAGAGAAGAACGUUCAUUGCAGUUAUUAAUCCAGAGUUCUAUAGACAUACAAUAACUUAGAUUUUAAGCUUUAAACCUAGCUAUUGAAAGAGGCAGGUUACAGUAGUAACUCUCUAAGCAAUCAAUUAGACAAUAUUUUGCCAUGACAUUAUUUUGAUAUGAGGAUUUCACCUGAAUAAUUCCAGCCAUAUUCAUUUAACAACAGAAUUACUCUUGCUUUUCUCUAUAAUUUGCCACAACAUUUUAUUUGCCAUAUCAAUUCUUUGCUUUUAACAUUAAAUUACAUUAAUUCAUUUUACCAAUAUCUUAUUCAAUUUAAGAGUAUUUCCUUCUAUUUAGUAUAGUUAAUAGGAUUAUAAUAACUUAAUCAAUCUUAUACCAAUUUUAGAUCCCUUUGGAUACGAUACUUACUUAUCACUUUAUUACUUGAAUGAUGUGUACACUUGCACAAUUGCAUUAGGUAUUUAUACGCAACAAGUUUUUGGUGCCAUUGCCGGGGAUCGACAACAUUGGUGAAAAGUUGAUUUGUUAUUAUUCUUGUAAUUUUUGUUAGAAUAGUUAAUUAGUAUUUUAUUUGAUUUUUCAGGUUUUGUACUAGUGCAUGAGAAGAAGUAUUCAAGAGGAUACAAAAUACUUUUUUGAUCCUAAGAUUGAAAGGAAAGUAAGGCGAAGGAGGUAAGCAUUAAGGGAAAUGAAGAGGAUUAUAAAUGAUCCAUUCAGAGAAUAUCAUGUACUCUAGAAUGAAAGGAAUGCUGAUAUUCCUCGAAUCUUAGAUGACAGAGAUAGACCCAUCAGAAAACAUGUAGUGCCUAAUUUGGGUGAUCUAAGUCCAGGAAUUGUUAGGCCACAUAUUCAAGCUCAACACUUUGAAUUAAAACCAGUAAUGUUUCAGAUGCUGCAGAUGGUAGGACAGUUUAGUAGUUUAACAACUAAAGAUCCCAGAUUGCACUUGAGACUUUUUCUUAAAGUCUGUAACUCAUUCAGGCAGUAGGCUAUUCCUGAAGAUGCCCUCAGAUUAAAAUUAUACCCUUAUUCAUUGCGAGAUCAUGCUAGAUCAUGGUUGAAUGCAUUACCAUCAAGUACGGUGGCGUCUUGGAAUGAACUGUGUCAUAUAUUUUUGCUUAGGUACAAUCCUCCCAACAUGAAUGUCAAGCUGAGGAAUGACAUUACAUCGUUCAGGAAAUCUGAAGAUGAGACAUAAUACGAAGCAUGGAAGCAUUUUAAGGAUUUAAUUAGAAAAUGCCCAAUGCAUGGUUCUCAACAUUGGACAAAAAUGGAAAUUUUCUACAAGGGAUUAAAUGCUCAUACAUGAAUUAUAGUGGAUGCAUUUGCUAAUGGGACGUUGCUUGACAAAUCCUACAAUGAAGCAUAUGAAAUUUUGGAAAGAAUAGCCAACAAUGAUUAUCAGUACUCCACUACAAUGAAGAGUUGGUACUGGUAGAAUAGCAAACAUUUGAGGAACGCCAACACUUAAACUAGGUAGUUUCUUCUCUUAUCUAUUAGGCGCACAUUAGGGACAAUGUGCCAAAUAAAGUGUAAGGUAACAUAGAAAUUUUCAUAAUUUUUCAAAAAAAUUCUAAUUUCUUAUGUUUUUAUUAGUUGUUUUCGUUAAUUUUUGUUUUGUAUGUUUGUUUGUGCGUGAGCUUAUAGCAUACAAGUGAUUGGAUAGAAACAUGUAAAUAGGAUUCUGUGUUUGAAUUGUAAAUAUAAGUCGAUGGCAAUCGACUUUAGGUUGUUUAAUAUUACACUAAUUAGUUCAUUCUGUUACACUGUGAAUAGGUGAUAGUGUGUUAGGUAUACCAAAUGACAAAUAGGUACAUAAAAAGCAUAUGUGUUUGUUUGAAUAAUAAGUGUUAGAGUGUUAAUAUUUAGUUAAUUGUAAUCCAUGAAUUGAUAAAAUUAGGGAUGACCUAAGGCAUUGUUUGGCAGAAAAAUUUUGAUCUAAAAUGCCGACCUUGAUUUAAAAUCCCUAAUACCCUAUUUUUUAGCCUAAAACUCUAUUUCUUGAUGAACUGCAAUGGAAGCCCUAAGCCUUAAAUAUAAUCUCUUGAUCCGAUUUUCAUCUUCCUUGCAUGAACUUAGACUUCAGGCCAUCGAUAUUAAGGGUUAGGUAGAGACGACAAGGUAGUUUUCAAAAUAAAAGGAAAAUAAAAGUGAACCCAAGGGAUAGUAUAGUAUGGUGAGUAUAAAAGUCUUGCAAACUUGUACGUAAAUAGAAAAAUAGAAAAAAAUUAUCAAAAGAAAAAGUUUGAAAAGGCUAAAAUAGCCAAGCGACAAGUUCUCGAGAAAAUAGGAAAGCAAAGUGAGUGAAAAAGAAAGAAAAGAAAAUUUCCUCAUUGUUUUGCACAAAUAGCUCGCUAAGACGAUUGUAUUCACUAAUAUUGUACUAUACCUUAGGAAUCAGAGAGAAAAGGUAGGUGAGAGAAGGGGAUAUAAAGUGGUGAACUAAAGGGGUUAAUCGGGAAAGUAUUGGGGUCAAUAUAAUUUUCCAAACUAUUUUCAUGCUUAAAUCGUUUUGUUGUGUCUGUCCUUUAAUUCCAAAUCAACCUAAGUUGUAGA